RNAcentral lists this long non-coding RNA (142869 nucleotides) under Phaseolus vulgaris (common bean). Its description in RNAcentral is "long non-coding RNA (PVUL_LNC000526)". The record is from RNAcentral. Lineage: Eukaryota; Viridiplantae; Streptophyta; Magnoliopsida; Fabales; Fabaceae.
AUCUGCAGGAGGGAAUGGAGCUGGAAGAACACAUGCGAGCAAUAGCAGCCACUAAGAUUGCAAUAAUCGUUUUCUCCAAAUCAUACACUGAAUCUACCUGCUGUCUUUUUCAGCUUGAAAAAAUCAUUGAAUGCUUCGAAACAUUUGGUCAAAUAAUUCUUCCCAUAUUUUACGAGGUUGACCCAUUGAAUUUAAGUUAUCAGGUUGAUUUCGGUUUCGGAAAUGCGUGUGAAGAAUUAAUUGACCACAAAAGCUAUCCAUUAAUGUUCAGGUGGAGACGUGCACUCAACACAGCGGCAGGUAUCAGUGGUUUGGAUGUCAGAGAUUUCAGGUAAACAAAAGAAUUCUUGGUACUUUUUUCUGUUUGAGACUGAAUGAAGCAUAUGUUAAGAAUGUGAUUUACUUUUGGUAACCCUUCAUUUUCAAGGCAUGAUGCUGAACUUGUGGAGAAAGUUGUUUUCCGCGUUUUUGAAUUGCUGGACUAUAAAGACUUCUCUAUUACCCAAUUUCCUGUUGGAUUAGAGUGGCACGUGGAAAAGGUGAUUGGAUGUAUUGAAAAUCAUUCCACCAAAGUGUGUAUGAUAGGGAUAUGGGGAAUGGGAGGGUCAGGUAAAACUACCUUAGCCAAAGCCAUCUAUAAUCGAAUUUAUCCUCCAUUCAUUGGUAAGAGUUUUAUGGAAAAUAUUAGAGAAGUUUGGGAUCCAGCAGGGCAUGUUGAUUUGCAGACCAUGCAACUCAAGGUCGAGGUGGGAAGCGUUGGGAUGGGAAAAACUAUGCUCGAGAAUGGACUUUCUAGAAAAAGGGUGCUGAUUGUGCUUGAUGAUGUGAAUAAGUUUGACCAAUUAGAAAAACUAAGCUGGAAUCGUGAUUGGUUCGGUCAAGGAACUGUGAUAAUCAUUACAACUAGAGAUGUUCAUCUACUGAACCGACUCAAAGUUGAUUAUGUUUAUAAAAUGGAUGUUAUGAAUGAAAAUGAGUCCCUUGAGCUUUUUAGUUGGCAUGCCUUUAGAAAAGCAAAACCAAGAGAAGAUUUUAAUGAACUUGCAAGAAACAUGGUUGCUUAUUGUAGAGGACUACCACUAGCUCUUGAGGUUCUUGGUUCCUUUUUAUGUGAUAAGACAAUGGAAGAGUGGGAAAGUGUAUUGCCAAAAGCAAAAGUAAUUCCCAUUCAUCAAAUUCAAGAGAAAUUGAGAAAAAGUUAUGACGGUUUAAGCAAUAUGGAAAAGGACAUAUUUCUUGAUGUAUGUUGUUUCUUUGUUGGUAAAGACCGAGGUUAUGUCACAGAUAUAUUAAAUGGAUGUGAACUACAUGCUGAUAUUGGAAUAACAGUUCUCAUAGAACGUGGUCUUAUAAAAGUUGAAAGGAACAACAAACUUGAAAUGCAUCCUUUGUUUCGAGACAUGGGAAGAGAAAUUAUUCGUCAGAGUUGGCCAAACGAACCAGGGAAAAGGAGUCGAUUGUGGUUUCAGGAUGAUGUACAACAUGUACUGAAAAAGAUGACUGUAAGAACAUUCUUUAUAUUAUUUUGAAACUUAUUUUCUAAGUGUUUUCAUUUCCAAGUUGAAUGCAUGUGUUGUUACCUUGUUAGACUCAGCAUUCAGUUUCAAUGAUCAAAAGAAAUUGAGAGAUUUCUCAAUUGUAUCUCUAUGCUAUAUUCAUCACAGGGGACAGAAGCUACCCAGGGAUUGUCCCUGAAACUGCAUUCGACAAGCACAGAUUGUUUCAAAGCUCGUGCUUUCAAGAAAAUGAAGAGAUUAAGACUGCUACAACUGGAUCAUGUAAAACUUACUGGAGAUUAUGGGUACCUUUCUAAACAAUUGAGAUGGAUUUGUUGGCAAGGGUUUCCUUCCAAGUACAUACCAAAUAACUUUCAUAUGGAAAAUGUAAUUGCAAUUGAUUUAAAACAUAGUCAUCUUCAACUCGUCUGGAAACAACCCCAGGUAUUUAUUACAUGCUUUUAUUCUUUUAAAACUCACAGGUUAAAUAAAAUAGAUAUAGUAUAAUUGGUUCAGGUUAUAACUAUUGCAUCCUUCUAUUUUCUUCUCUAAUCUUUUCCAAAAUUACUAUCUUUGUAGGUUUUAAAGUGGCUAAAAUUCCUUAAUCUUAGUCACUCCAAGUUUUUGAGAGAAACACCUGACUUUUCAGGACUACCAAGUCUUGAAAAGCUCAUUCUAAAAGAUUGCCCAAGUUUGUGCACGGUACACCAAUCCAUUGGAGAUCUCCACAAUCUACUUCUGUUAAAUUUGAAAGACUGCACAAGUCUAAGCAAUCUCCCCAUAGAGAUAUAUAAGUUGAAAUCUUUAAGAACUUUCAUCCUCUCUGGUUGUUUCAAGGUUAAUAUAUUGGAAGAAGAUAUAGCGCAGAUGAAAUCCUUGAUAACUCUUGUUGCUGAAAAUACAGCUGUGAAAACAAGUGUCUUGUAAGUGUGCUCAUUGUAAUUGUCUUGGUCACAUUAUUGAAACUUUCUAUAAGAAAUAUGGAUAUCCUCUCACAUGCAGAAUUCUCAUUUUGCUCUUAAUGUUCGAUCACUCGGAGAUAUUGAUGAAGGUGAUGAUACUACAACUGAUCUUUCUCGAGUAGUAGUGUCUUCUACUAGAAAUAUGACUCUGACUCCUGAGAUACAUUGUUGAUUUAAUAUUUCUAGGUAACUGUUCAUAAAAUUAGUUAAGAGUUUGUUACUGCAGUUACUAUAAAUGUAAUUGUUAGCAAAGAUAAUAAAAUAUCUUCCUCUGUAUUAUUCUAAAAAACCAACAAUUGGUAUCAGAGCUAUCUUCUUGAGGGAUCUGUGAGGUUAGUAGAGUGCAUCAAUGGAAGGAGGUUUCAAUUUUUCAGCAAUGGCACCACCUGUCUUUGAUGGAGACAACUAUCAAAUGUGGGCUGUUCGUAUGGAGACCUACCUAGAAGCAUUGGAUUUAUGGGAAGCUGUAGAAGAGGAAAUUCAGUCCCUUCCAGAAAACCCUACUGUGGCACAAAUAAAAUCACAGAAGGAAAAGAAGAUGAAAAGAUCAAAGGCAAAAGCAUGUCUAUUUGCAGCUGUAUCUCCUAUGGUAUUCACAAGGAUAAUGUCCUUGAAGUCAGCAAAAGAAAUCUGGGAUUACCUCAAGGCCGAAUAUGAAGGUGAUGAGAGGAUUCGUGGAAUGCAAGUGCUGAAUCUAAUCAAGGAGUUUGAACUGCAGAGAAUGGAGGAGUCAGAAACCGUAAAAGAGUAUUCUGACAGACUUCUAAGCAUUGCCAACAAAGUGGGAUUGCUUGGAUCUGUGUUAAAAGAUUCAAUAAUUGUGAAAAAACUGCUUGUAACGGUUCCAGAGAGGUUUGAAGCCACCAUAACAACCCUAGAGAACACAAAGGACCUAUCAAAAUUUUUUCUUGCAGAGCUCUUAAAUGCUUUACAAGCACAAGAACAAAGAAGAGCUAUGAGACAAGAUGGAGCAAUAGAAGGAGCCUUAACAGCCAAUCAUAAAGGUGGUUGGAGAAACAAAGGUAGCCAGAUCAAGCAGAACCAGCAAGAAAAUGAAGAAGUUGUUGCACACAAUAACCACAAAAGGAGAAAUUACCCUCCUUGUAAGCAUUGCAACAAGUUAGGUCAUCCACCGUUUAAGUGCUGCAGAAGACCUGAUGCUAAGUGCAACAAGUGCAAUCAACUUGGGCAUGAAGAAGUCAUUUGUAGAAACCAAAGUGAGCAACAAGAUGUAAACCAAAGUGAGCAAAAAGACAUAGAUGCUCAAUUUGCAAAUGAGGAGGAGGAUGUACUUUUCGUUGCAACUGGUUUCUCCAACAAUAUUUCAAGUGCAUCGUGGUUAAUUGAUAGUGGAUGCACAAAUCACAUGACUUAUGACAAACAACUUUUCAAGGAGUUGAAGCCUUCAAAAAUUUCAAAGGUCAAGAUAGGCCAUGGGGGUCACAUUUCAGAAAAAGGAAUAGGAACCAUUGUUGUAGCAACACAUUCAGGUACUAAAACUAUUACUGAUGUGUUAUAUGUACCUAACAUAGACCAAAAUUUAUUAAGUGUUGGUCGGUUGCUGCAAAAAAGGAUUCAAGGUGUUUUUUGAAGAUAACCACGGUUUGAUCAAGGAUGCUACAGGACAAGAUUUGUUCAAGGUACAAAUGAGAGGCAAAAGUUUCUCAUUAGAUCUAUUUCAGGAGGAGCCGUCUGAUUAAGGACUUAUGAAGAUGCAAAAAUCUGAAAUAGAAGAUGAUCCACCAAUUAAAGGCAAUCGAUUACUCUCUGACAUAUAUCAUAGAUGUAACAUUGCAAUAUGUGAACCUGUGGAUCACAAAGAAGCUGCGGAUCACAAAGAACCUGUUGAUCAUAAAGAAGUUAUCAAUGACCCAAAGGCGGAAAAGGCAAUGGAGGAAGAGGUAGAUAUGAGUGAGAAGAACAAAACUCGGGAUCUUGUUGACAUACUUCGAGAUAGAAAGGUACAUCAAAUGGAUGUCAAGUCAACAUUCCUAAAUAGAUUUCUUGAAGAGAAAAUUUCUGUUGAGCAACCUAAAGGUCUCAUUGUGGAAGGAAAAGAAGACAAAGGUUAUCUUAUCAGCUUAGGCUUUGACAAAAGUCUUUUAGAAUCUGCACCUUAUUGAAAAAAAUAAAAAUUGCAGAUUUGUUUACCAAGCCACUUCCAACCAACAAGUUUGAGUUCUCAAGACAGAAGAUUGGAAUUUGCAGUUCAAAAAAUCAAGGAGGAGUGUUGGAAAUUCUGUUUUUUUAACUGUUCGUUAUUCUGUUUUAAUUCUGUUUUAAUUGUUGAUUUAAUAUUUCUAGGUAACUGCUCAUAAAAUUAGUUAAGAGUUUGUUACUGCAGUUACUAUAAAUGUAAUUGUUAGCAAAGAUAAUAAAAUAUCUUCCUCUGAAUUAUUCUAAGAAACCAACAAACAUCUUCACAUUAUUGCUUUUGAAGACUUGACUCCAAUAAUUCCUUUGAUGGAGUUCGCUUCUUCUUCAUCAUCAUCGUCUUCAUCCUUCUUAAGAUCAGAACCCCAGUUCACAUACGACGUGUUCAUCAACUCUUGGGGAGAAGAAAUCGGUAGAAAGUUGGUUUCUCAUCUUCAUUCUUUCCUUUUACAAGCUAAAGUAAAAACUUUGAUUAAGGAGGAGAAUCUGCAGGAGGGAAUGGGGCUGGAAGAACACAUGCGAGAAAUAGCAGCCUCUAAGAUUGCAAUAAUCGUUUUCUCCAAAUCAUACACUGAAUCUUACCAAAGUGUGUAUGAUAGGGAUAUGGGAAAUGGGAGGAACAGGUAAACCUACCUUAGCCAAAGCCAUCUAUUCAUUGGUAAGAGUUUAAUUGAAAAUAUUAGAGAUGUUUGGGAUCGAGUAGAUGGAAGCCAUGUUGAUGUGCAAGAAAAUCUUCUAUAUAAUGUCCUAAAAUCCAAGCUUGAGGUGGAAAGCGUUGGGAUGGGAAGAACUAUGAUCGAGAAUGGACUUUCUCGGAAAAAGUUGAUGAUUGUGCUUGAUGAUGUGAAUGUGAACUCUAAUAAUCAUUACAAAUAGACAUUUUCAUGUACUGGACCUACUCAAACUUUAUUUUGUUUAUACAAUGGAUUAUAUGAACGAAAAUGAGUCCAUUGAGCUUUUUAGUUGGCAUGCCUUUGGAGCAGCAAAACCAAGAGAAGACUUUAAUGAACUUGCAAGAAACAUGGUUGCUUAUUGUAGAGGACUACAACUAGAUCUUGAGGUCCUUGGUUCCUUUUUAAGUCAUAAGACAAUGAAAAAGUGGGAAAGUGUAUCCUCAAAAGCAAAAGUAAUUCCCAUUCAUAAAAUUCAAGAGAGCUUGAGAAUAAGUUUUGAUGAUUUAAGCAAUGUGGAAAAGCAUAUAUUUCUUGAUGUAUGUUGUUUCUUUGUUGGUAAAGACAAAGGCUAUGUCACAGAUAUACUAAAUGGAUGUGAACUGUAUGCUGAUAUUGGAAUAACAGUUCUCAUAGAACCUGGUCUUAUAAAAGUUGAACGGAACAAUAAACUUGAAAUGCCUUCUUUGUUACGAGACAUGGGAAGAGAAAUUAUUCGUCAGAGUUGGCCAAAGGAACCGGGGAAAAGGAGUCGAUUAUGGGUUCAGGAUGAUGUCAAAGAUGUACUGAAAGAGAAUACUGUAAGAACAUUCCUUUUAUGAUUUUGAAACUUCGAUUCAAAGUAUUUUUUUUUUUCAAGUGCAAUGCAUGUGUCGUUAACCGAUUAGGCCCAGCAUUAAGUAUCGAUGAUCAACAGAUAUUGAUAUAUUUCUCAAUUGUAUCUCUUCGCUAUAUUCAUCACAGGGGACAGAAGCUAUCCAGGGAUUGUCUCUGAAACUGCAUUCAACCAGCAGAGAUUGCUUCAAAGCUCAUGCUUUCAGGGAAAUGAAGGGAUUAAGACUGCUACAACUGGAUCAUGUACAACUUACUGGAGAUUAUGGGUACAUUUCUAAACAAUUGAGAUGGAUUUCUUGGCAAGGGUUUCGUUCUAAGUACAUACCAAACAACUUUCGUAUGGAAAAUGUAAUUGCAAUUGAUUUAAAACAUAGUCAUCUUCAACUCGUCUGGAAACAACCCCAGGUAUUUUAUUACAUGUUUUUUUCUUUUAAAGCUCACAGGUUAAUUAAAAUAGAUAUAGUAUAAUUGGUUCAGGUUAUAACUAUUGCAUUCUUCUAUUUUCUUCUCUAAUAUUUUCCAAAAUUACAAUCUUUGUAGGUUUUAAAGUGGCUAAAAUUCCUUAAUCUUAGUCACUCCAAGUUCUUGAGAGAAACACCUGACUUUUCAGGACUACCAAGUCUUGAAAAGCUCAUUCUAAAAGAUUGCCCAAGUUUGUGCAAGGAACACCAAACCAUUGGAGAUCUCCGAAAUCUAAUACUGAUAAAUUUGAAAGACUGCACAAGUCUAAGAAAUCUCCCCAGAGAGAUAUAUAAGUUGAAAUCUUUAAGAACUUUCAUCCUCUCUGGUUGUUUCAAGAUUAAAAUUUUGGAAGAAGAUAUAGCGCUGAUGAAAUCCUUGAUAACUCUCGUUGCUGAAAAUACAGCUGUGAAACAAGUGUCUUAAUGGUUAAUUUACACAAUGUGCACAUUACAGAUACACAAGCAUGGCACAAUAAUUUUCUUUAAUGAUGAAGAUUGGCAUGGCAUAGUGUCAAAUUUAGGAUAUGGAGACAAGGUGGCGAUUUUUGUGAGUUUUGAUCCGUCGUCAAGAUCAUAGCUCUCUAUUUGAUAUGUGGUGGAUCAAAUGACUUAGUAAAAGAACCUUUUGAGUAGUAAUUUAUAGUUAAGAAAAUCAAUGUUUAUUUUGCCCUGAUUCUCACUUCUCACGUUAUACCUUCUUGGCUGUGCUUGAGGCUAAAUAAUACAUAGUGGAACGUUUGAAUGAUAUCGUUGAGGCCCUGAGUUCUAUCUAUGUCACAGUAGAAUGUGAUAUCAACGAGUUGUCUGAUUCUCUUAUUACGAAGUGGAUUUUAAGCUUAACUCAAUCUCAUUAAACCGAUUCAUGAGGUGAGGUUUGCAUCCACUUAUAUACAAUGAAAUGCCAUAAUCUCUAGUCGAUGUGGGAUCUCCAACAUCUCUUGAAAAGUUUAUUCAUUUGAGAUAUUUGGAUCUCCCCUUACACUAAAAUCAAGAAGUUACCUGAAUGGACAUGCAAGCUGUAGAAUUUACAAACCUUGCUGCUAUCGUGUUGUACAUAUCUACUUGAAUUGCCUCAAGACAUAGACAAAUUGAUUAAUCUGCGCCAUAUGGAUCUAAGUAGAACCAAGUUGAAGAAGAUGCCCACAAAUUAAUUAAAAUGUCUCAAGACUUUGACUUCCUUUGUUUUCAGAAAAUAGGAGGGCAAAUUAACGGUUGGAGCAUUGAAAUUUUUUCCACAUCUACUAGGAAAGUUUUCCAAUUAAACCUGCAACAUGUUGUAGUAUUCAAUGAUGUUUUUCAAGCUAAUUUGAAAAUAAGGAGAUAAUUGAGGUGUUAAAAUUGGAAUUGGCCUACAUUUUGAAGAUAAGAAGUAAUGUACCAGUUCGAAUUCACAUAUUGAGAAAGAAGUAAUGUACCAGUUCGAAUUCACAUAUUGAGAAAGAAGUACUUCAUUUUGAAGAUUCUAAUUCAUUGUUAAUUCAUUGUGGUGGGUAUUUGUGAGUGGUUAUUGGCGGUUGUGGUUGGAGAUAGCUGUUGGAGGCAGUGAAGGUUACUUGGUGAAGUGAAUUCUGCGUUUUUUUUAAUGGUUUCCUAUUAGCGUUUUUUUUUUUUACGUUUUCUUCUUGUAUAUCAAAUUGCGUAAGGCGGAACAUCUCCAUUGUUGAAAUCAAGGGUGGGCAAAAAAUCCAAAUUACAAAAUCCAAUCCAUAAUUAUCUAAAUCCAUAUUAGUUUUAAUCAAUUGAAAUGGAUUUAUCUCAAAUCCAAAUCUAUAUUUUUGGAUUUUAAAUCCAAUCCAUUUAAUUGGAUAUGGAUUAGAUAUAGAUUGGAUACAUUUUUGGAUUAUCCAAAUUGUAUUUUGGGUUGGAUUUUGACUUGGUCCAAUCCAGGUUGAGCCAAGACAAUUGGGGCCCAAGUUGAGCAAAGUCGGCCCAAGUCCACAUUGAGCCGAGUCGUCCGGACCCAAGUCAAAUCGAGUCGGUAUGGGCCAAAGUCGAGCCAAGUCAUUUCGGGCCAAAGUCGAGCCGAGUCAACCCUGGUUCAAGUCGAGUUGAGUGGUCGAUAUUGAGUCGACUCGGCCGAUAUCGAGCCCAGUUGACCCAUGCCAAUGUCUAGUCAAGUCAGUCCAAGCCCAUGUCGAGUUGAUUCUUUCGGGUCCGAUAUUGAAUCGAGCAGGCCCGAGCCGAUAUCAAGACGACCAGGACAGGGCUGAUGUCGAGCCGAGCAAGCCCAGGCUGAUGUCGAGCCGAGCAGGUCCGGGUCGAUGUUGAGUCGAGCAGGCCCGAGCCCAUGUUGAGUCGAGCGGGCUCGAGCCCAUGUCGAGAUGAGCGAGCUCGAGCCCAUGUCGAGCUGAGUAGGCUCGGGUCCAUGCCAAGCCGAGCAGUCUCAGACCCAUGUCAAGCCGAGCAAGCCCGGGCAGAAGUCGAGGAGAGCAAGCACGGGCCAAUGUCGAGUAGUCCGAGUCAAGGCCGAUAUCGAGUCGCUCAGGCCAAUAUCAAGUCGCUCAGGACGAUGCCGAGCCGAUGCCGAGCCGAGCAGGCCCUGGCUGAUGUCGAGCCGAGCGGGCCUGGACCGAUGUCGACCCGAGUAGGUCCGGACCGAUGUCGAGUCGUUCGGGCCCGGGUCGAUGUCGAGUUGUCCAGGACAGGGUCGAUGUCGAGUCGUCUGGGCCCAGGCUGAUGUCGAGUUGUUCGGGCCCGGGCUGAUGUUUAGUCGAGUGGGCCCAAACCGAUGUCGAGCCAAGCGGGCCUGGGAAGAUGUCGAGACGAGCGGGCCUAGGACGAUGUCGAGCCAAGCGGGCCUGGGAUGAUGUCGAGCCGAGCGAACCGGGGCCGAUGUCAAGCCGAGUGGGUCGAGGUCGAUGUCGAGUCUUUCUGGCCAGGGCCGAUGUCGAGUUGAGCAGGCCCAGACUGAUGUGGAGCCGAGCGGACCAGGGCCGAUGUGGAGUCAUCCGGGCCCAAGCCGAUGUAAAGUCGUUCGUGCAUGUCGAGUCGUCUGGGCCUAGGCCGAUGUCGAGUUGUUCGAGUCUGGGCCGAUGUCGAGUCGUCCAUGCCUGGGUCUAUGUCGAGUCGAUGUAGAGUCGUUUGGGCAUGUCUAGUCUUCCGAGCCCGGGCCGAUGCCGAGUCGCCCGUGCCCGGGCCGAUGUCGAGUCGUCUGGGUCCGGGCCCAUGUCAAGUCGUCCAGGCCCAGACUCAUGUUGAGUCAUAUGGGCUUGGGCCCAUGUCAAGUCGUACGGGCCCGGGCCAAUGCCGAGUCGUCUGGCCGGCCAAUGUCGAGCCGUUUGGGUCUGUGUCGAUGUAGAGCCGAGUUGGUCUGCGUCCAGGUUGAGUCGGCUUAGGCCCAGUUCGAGUCAAGUUAGUUUGUGUCCAUAUCAAAAUGGAUUUAAUGUAAUUGAUAAAGUGAUUUUAAUCUAAUUAACAAAGUGGAUUUAAUCUAGAUUUAAUCCACUUUAAAUGGAUUUAAAAAAAAAUCUAAAUAUAUUUAAUCUAGUUAAAAUAGAUAUGGAUUUUAAAUCCAAUCAAUUUAUUUGGAUUUUUUAUUGGAAUCCAUGAAAAAAAUGCAUACCAAAAUUGUAAACAGAAUUUUACAAGCCGGUUUACAAACCAAUUUGCGGAUUCCAGUAUACAAUAUUGGAUCCGUUUGUCCUUUCAAGUUGAAGAAUCUAUACACAAUUUAUAAAAAUGUAAAGAAUUCCGCUUUCUAAGAUCCUAUAUACAAUAUAAUUAAAUUACUUCUAUGUUUUUUUAUUAAGUUAAGUGAAUAUAUUUUAUUGUUUUGCUAUUUAUAAAUUUGAAUAAUAUGUAGGUCACUCAUUGUUUAAUUAUGGCUAGGGAGUCAGAAAUGUGGACGAAUAAUUUUGAAGUAGAAAGAAAUUAUGAUAUGGAUAACUUAAUAAAUUAUGAAGUUAGUAAAUAUGAAUUGUUCGAAGUAGAUUAUGGUAGUCAUUUUACAACUAAUGAGGUAAAACUUAAACAUUUGGACUUGGCUUUGUAGUAGUCAUUGUUAGAUCUAACACGACAAAUUGAGGAUAAGGUAGAAAGAUAUUUGUGUUGUUAGGUUAUGAGAAGGGUGGUAAGUAUAUAAAAUAUAAGCAUGAAGUGGAUAAGUGUUAGAGGUACAAGAAAAUGUAACUUUCCAUUUCAAAUCGAGGUAAACCUUUUGGAAAAGGUGCAAGUUGGGUAUUGAAGGUAUUGUGUUGUACUCAGGAUUGAUCAUGUUUUCUUGCUCCUAAUCCAUUAGGAACGUCAUUUUGGUGUACUUGUUGAUGAUCCUCAUACUUUAACUUACUUUCCUUCCUUAACAUGAGGAUGUGGUGGUUCUGGUGUUCGGUCUUAAUCUUCCUCAAUUUUCGAUAGGGGUCGUGGUCGUAGUUCUCAAGUGUGUCGUCAUUGUGAUUGUUCUGGUCACACUAUUGAAACUUUCUAUAAGAAUUGUGGAUAUCCUCCUCACAUGCAGAAUUCUCAUUUUCCUAGGAUUUGUUAAGAUUAUGCGAAAAUUGAUAGAAACUCUUACAUGUGAGAAUAUGAAAAGAAAUUCAUUGAUAAAUUGUCAUUUCAUUGUUUCAGUUGUUAUCCUGGAAGUUGAUUGUAUUUAUAUUUUGUUGUAUUUGAAGUUGGAAUCACCAUAAGUUUCUAAUUUAACAUGUUAUUUAGUCAAUAAAGUUGUUUUGAUUUUUUUUUGCACCUAAAUAUGAUUUAUUUAUAUUCAUUUACUAUGCUUGAGGACAAGCAAGAUUCUAGACUGGGAGGAGUUGAUAAGUGUCAUAAUUCAGUAAUAUUUCAUGCAAAAAGAUAAGCACUUAUAGACUUUAAUUCUUAAUAAAGUUAUAAUUCCAUCUCUAAUUUAGCAAUUUGAGUUUUUUUUUUACAUAUUUUUGGAUUAUAAGAUGAAUAAAAACAAUUUAUUCCCAAUUUUGUACUAAUUUUAGAAAUCUAAGGGAAGAUGGAGAUAAAAGGGCUAAAAUAGAAUGGACAAGUUAAAGAUAAGAUGAAAGGACAAAGUUGGAAACCUGUCAAAACUCGCCCAAGACUCUCACAAGCCUUACUUAAGUGAGUUCACUCCAGUGAAGUUGGGCUUUUGCUCGUGAAAAUCGCUUAAGCAAGCAAUAUUUUGCUUAAGCAAAAUGUCACUUAAACCAAACCCAAUUAGGUUAAAUUGAAGGCGUGAGACAAAACCUUAGACAUCAUUGGGAGGACAAUCAGAGAUAGAAAGAGGAGGCAACCAUCAAAGAGGAAAACUCUGGAUCUUCUUUUAUUGCUUUCCAUUCUUGUAAUGGCCAAUAUUGGUAACUAAGUGUUUCAUUUGGGAUUGGAAGUAAUUUGUUCAAACUAUGAUGUAUUAAGGUGAUAUUUAUUUAUAAUAUUAUGUUCUUGAUUGAUGAUUGGUUUUAUCAUUCAUUCUCAAAGUUUGAAUCUUUAUUCAUAAUUUUGAUCCUUGGAUUUGACAGGAAAGUACUUCUAAACAUAUGACUUAAAUGAUAAUGCUUAGUAUAUUUGAAUGUUAGGAAUAAAUUUGAAAUGUUAAUUGCUUUACAACAUUUGUUUGUAAUGAUAAAAAUUUUAUAAAUAUGUGAGAAAUCGAUAUUUAAGAAACAAUCUUAAUAAUUUUGUAUGUGAAUAAUCGAUAUGAAUGAUUUGUGUAUGUGCAUCAAUGUCAAUCAAGAUGAAAUGUUAUAUGUUUUUAUGCAUUGAAAUACAAAUGAGAGAGAAAGAUUAACCUCAAUCCCAAUUUUUUCAAUUGAAUAAUCCAAAUCAUUUACUUUAUUUUUAUUUAAUUUCUUACAAAUUCAUGAUGCAAACAAACUUUUACACAUCUUUUUAUACUUAUUGAAUAUUAUGCUUGAAAUUUUAGAACUGUUUCUUGUGGGUUCGAUAAUCAUCCUUGGGAACAAUUUAUUACUUUUGACUUUGUACACUUGUCAAAUAAGAAAGUCAUCACUUAGAAGAGGAGGUUUAUAUGAAAUCACUUACUGGAUUGAAUCUUUCUUAUCUUGCCCUUGUUUGCAAGUUAAUCAAAUCUUUAUAUGGCCUUCAACAAGCUAGUAGUCAAUGGAAUUUCAAACUUUUUACUACUCUUGUUGUUGUUGGUUUUGUCUAGUCAAAAUCUAAAUAUUUCUUAUUCGCUAUGCGUUUUGGUCAUUCUACAUUUUGUAGUUGAUCAUGAAUAGCACAGUUUAAAUUUUUUAACUGAACUUGUGGGGUAUCGGUAACUAUAGUUUUAUAAGAUUGCUUUGUGCUCUUUCCGGUGGAGUAUGUGAUCAGUUACUGAGCAAGUCAGAAGAUUUAGAAGAUAACCUUUUCUAAAACCUAUUAAGCAAUGCUAAUAGAGUAUAGAUCAUCUAGCUCACUUUAUUAUUGCUUCUGAAAUAUAUUGAGACAGUGAAAUCUGUAUUUUGGCCAUAAAUCUAUAUAGCAGAUCUGGAAGUUUAUAAUUAAUGAAACCAUAAUCAAGAAAGAUUUUUGGUUUCUCACAAUCGAACUGUCUUAUAUUUAGCUUAUGAGUCACCCUAAUAGAAAGUUGGGAACAUUUUUUGGCCGGGGAGAACCAAAUUAGAAAAGAUAAAUCCAAACUUUUCAUGUUGCGUAUUGACCUACAAUUCAAACGACCUGGUACAUAUCAUGUCUAUCCAACAACUUCCCUUUCCAUAAUUUGUUACAUUCACCUAAAAAUUGUCCUCCUAUAUUUUACAUUAAUAUAAUGCUUGUAAAAGCAUAAUCCAACAAGAAAACUAUUGUUGGAAAUUCUGUUUUUCAACUGCAAAUAAAUGCACAUAAGUGCAAGUGAUAUUUUAUUAUUCUGUUUUAAUUGUUGAUUUAAUAUUUCUAGAUAACUGUUCAUAAAAUUAGUUAAAGAGUUUGUUACUGCAAGUACUAUAAAUGUAAUUGUCAGCAAAGAUAAUAAAAUAUCUUCCUUUGAAUUAUUAUAAAAAACCAACAAUUGGUAUCAGAGCAAUCUUCUCGAGGGAUCCGAGGUUAGUAGAGUGCAUCAAUGGAAGGAGGUUUCAAUUUUUCAGCAAUGGCACAACCUGUCUUUGAUGGAGACAAUUAUCAAAUGUGGGUUGUUCGUAUGGAGACCUACCUAGAAGCAUUGAAUUUAUGGGAAGCUGUAGAAGAAGAAAUUCAGUCCCUUCCAGAAAACCCUACUGUGGCACAAAUAAAAUCACAGAAGGAAAAGAAGAUGAAAAGAUCAAAGACAAAAGCAUGUCUAUUUGCAGUUGUAUCUCCUAUGGUAUUCACAAGGAUAAUGUCCUUGAAGUCAGCAAAAGAAAUCUGGGAUUACCUCAAGGCAGAAUAUGAAGGUGAUGAGAGGAUUCGUGGAAUGCAAGUGCUAAAUCUAAUCAAGGAGUUUGAACUGCAGAGAAUGGAGGAGUCAGAAUCCGUAAAAGAGUACUCUGACAGACUUCUAAGCAUUGCCAACAAAGUGAGGUUGCUUGGAUCUGUGUUAAAAGAUUCAAUAAUUGUGAAAAAACUGCUUGUAAUGGUUCCAGAGAGGUUUGAAGUCACCAUAACAACCCUAGAGAACACAAAGGACCUAUAAAAAGUUUCUCUUGCAGAGCUCUUAAAUUCUUUACAAGCACAAGAACAAAGAAGAGCCAUGAGACAAGAUGGAACAAUAGAAGGAGCCUUAACAGCCAAACAUGAAGGUGGCUGGAGAAACAAAGGUAGCCAGAUCAAGCAGAACCAUCAAGAAAAUGGAGAAGUUGCUGCACACAAUAACAACAAAAGGAGAAAUUACCCUCCUUGUAAGCAUUGCAACAAGUUAGGUCAUCCACCGUUUAAUGCUGGAGAAGACCUGAUGCUAAGUGCAACAAGUGCAAUCAACUUGGGCAUGAAGCUGUCAUUUGUAGAAACCAAAGUGAGCAACAAGAGGUAAACCAAAGUGAGCAACAAGAUGUAAAUGCUCAAUUUGCAAAUGAGGAGGAGGAUGUACUUUUCGUUGCAACUGGUUUCUCCAACAAUAUUUCAAGUGCAUCUUGGCUAAUUGACAGUGGAUGCACAAAUCACAUGACUUAUGACAAAAUACUUUUUAAGGAGUUAAAGCCUUCACAAAUCACAAAGGUCAAGAUAGGCCAUGGGGGUCACAUUUCAGUAAAUGGAAUAGGAACCAUUGUUGUAGCAACACAUUCAGGUACUAAAACUAUUACUGAUGUGUUAUAUGUACCUAACAUAGACCAAAAUUUAUUGAGUGUUGGCUAGCUACUCGAUAAAGGCUUCAAGGUGUUGUUUGAAGAUAACCACUGUUUGAUCAAGGAUGCUACAUAACAAGAUUUGUUCAAGGUACAAAUGAGAGGCAAAAGUUUCUCAUUAGAUCUAUUUCAGGAGGAGCUGACUAGUCAAAGGCUUCUCAAGAUGCAAAAAUCUGAAAUGGAAGAUGAUCCACCAAUUAAAGGCAAUCGAUUACUCUCUGACAUAUAUCAUAGAUGUAACGUUGCAAUAUGUGAACAACAUGUGGAUCACAAAGAACCUGUUGAUCACAAAGAAGUUAUCAAUAACCCAAGGCGGAAAAGACAAUGGAGGAAGAGGUGUAUAUGAUUGCGAAGAACAAAACUCGGGAGCUUGUUAACAUACCUCGAAAUAGAAAGGUACAUCAAAUGGAUGUCAAAUCAACAUUCAUAAAUGGAUUUUUUGAAGGGGGAAAUUUCUGUUGUGCAACCUAAAGGUCUCAUUGUGGAAGGAAAAGAAGACAAAUGUUAUUAGAUCAGCUUAGGCUUUGACAAUAGUCUUUUAGAAUCUGCACCUUAUGUCAAAUCAAAAGGUGUUGAAUGGAGAUUAAGCAGAGCGAUGAUGAAAAAAAAUAAAAAUUGCAGAUUUGUUUACCAAGCCACUUCCAACCAACAAGUUUGAGUUCUCAAGACAGAAGAUUGGAAUUUGCAGUUCAAAAAAUCAAAGAGGAGUGUUGGAAAUUCUGUUUUUCAACUGCAAAUAAAUGCACAUAAGUGAAAAUGAUAUUUUAUUAUUCUGUUUUAAUUGUGUUUUAAUUGUUGAUUUAAUAUAUUUUUAUAUAACUGCUCAUAAAAUUAGUUAAAGAGUUUGUUACUACAAGUACUACAAAUGUAAUUGUCAACCAAGAUAAUAAAAUAUCUUCCUUUGAAUUAUUCUAAAAAACCAACAACUAUGUCUAUUAUUUUCAAAAUUUUAAUUUCUUUCGCUCUUUCAGCAUGUUACCCACUUAAAAUUUAUUUGUUCCCUAAAGAAACAAAAGACUUAAUGUCUCUGGAUAUGCGAACUACCUUAAAUCUAUGUGUGCAUUUGCUUCUUUUUUUUGUAACAAAGAAUUCAGCAAUUGGAAAGGCUCAGGAUUGUCUUCUCUUUCAUUUUGUUUAUGUAAUUCCGGAUUUAUGUAUUGUACUUUAUUUAAGUACAAAAUUAGAAUAGGUUGACUUGUUUAGUUGCAAUUCUGAACAUAAUACCGUAAUUUAAAGUAGGGGAGUCUGAGGGAAGUAAUGAUGAGAUGAUUGAUGAAGCAAAUCCCUGCAAUAUUGAACAUUUGGAUGACAAAGCCUUGUUUGUUAUAUUCGUUGAUAAUGAUGUUCCAGGACAUUGAUGGUUUAUAUUGAUGAAGGUGGUAACUGGAAGGCAAGGCACGAGUGAGCUUGGUCGUUGAUGGGGGCACAAACAUGGUCCUUUCUGCUCGUGUCAUCGGGACUGAACCAAUAGUUUCAAAUAUCACAUGAAAAAAGAAAAGUUUUGUUACCACUAUAAUCGGUUAUGCGAAACUAUUUGAAUAUAAUAAGACUAGUGCAAUUUUACCGUUAAUAUGUUAACCAAUUUUCGUUGUCCUAUAAUCCACCAAGACAAGUCGACUGAGGUUUAGUUACUUUACAUCGAUUAUUUUGACUUGAACUAAAUUACUUUUUAGCAACUUCGAGUAGUAUUUGGAUAAUUGUGAAACUGAUUCUGGAGGCUGAAUAAUUUUGAAAAAGGUGAUUAAAGUUCGUAUAAUUUGUAAAACGAAAUAUCGGACGAAAGAUAUUGUUGACAAGAUGAAAAGCAUGGCAUCGGAUAUCAGAAGCAAUUAAAGAAGGGUGCCAAAAGCAUGGUGUCAGCACCAUUCACCUAAAGUAAUAAGAAUCAUAUAACUUUAAACGAAGGUGGAAAGCAUACAACUCCAAUAGCAUCUUUACGUGACUUUUUAUGCUUUCUUUUGGCAAUGCCCCGUGUCUUUUAGUAACUGCAGAGAAAAUAAAUAAUUUGUAAGCCAGAACAAAUCUCGAGUAGUUAAAAGCAACACUCACGUAGGGAUGCUAAAAUGGCCAGAUAGCAAACAAUUUGUUUAAGUAGAUCUUCAAAGACUUCAUACGACAUAAAUGGAAUAGUUAUGAGGUGCAUGGUAGCAGGGUGUUUAUUUUUAAAGAAAAAAUGAAAAAACUAAAAUCUGAUUUAAAAAUCUUGAACAAAGAAGUCUUUGGAAAUGUUAAUCAGUUAGGGGGAGAACUACAAAAGUAAAUUCAAAAGUUAGAUGCAAGAGAUGACGAGAGCAAGUUAGAUGAGGAAAGAAGAGAGGAAAGGAGGUUUUUGUUAGUUAAGCAGAGUAGAAAUAAUUUUAAACAAGAAGCUAUAAUGCAACAGAAAGCCCGUCACAGGUGGUUGAAGCAAGGUGAUUUUAAUACCAAUUUUUUUUCACUCUAUAAUUAAAUGGAGAAGGUCAAGAAAUGGGAUUAAUGGUUUGCUAGAGAAUGGUCAAUGGUGUGAGGAUCAGGUGCUCGUUAAGAAAAAGGUUAGAGAAUUUUUAUAAGGACAUGUUCAAUGGGGGAGAAUGGAAACAUGUUAGGUUAGAUAAUACAAUUUUUAAUACUAUUUAUGGAGAAUAUAAUGAAAUCUUGGUAGGAAUUAUAACAGAAAAUGAAAUGUUGUGAUGACUUUAAUUUUGGUUUUAUAAAAUUUUGUUGGGAAGAGAUCAAGAAGAACAUAGUUACAUAAAGUUAUUGAUCUUAGGCAGUCAGCGUUCUUAGAAGGUAGGGAAUUAAUGGAUAGUGUGAUUGUGGCCAAUGAAGUUCUAGAGGAACUAAACAGAAAAAACAAUAGUUGCAUAUUUUUUAAAGUUGAUUACAAGAACGCCUAUUGUUGAACCUUGUGAUGUUCAAUGUUUUGAAGAAUCCAAAUCCUUUGAAGGAUGUUGAAGCCUCUGCUUUGCUUGAUGUUGCUGUGCUUGUUUAAGCUUUGUUUUGGGGUAGUUUAUAUGUUGUAAUCCACCCUUGUAAUAAAUCUCAAGCAAUUAGCAUCUCAAUCUUUAUAAAAGUAAAAUGUUUUUCAAACUAAGUUGAAACAACCGAUUGUUUUGUCGAAACAACCGAUUGUUUAUACUUAGGUGUUUUGAGAAAGAUUGAAAACUAUUUUUAAAUAGUUGAAACUAUUAAGUACCAAAACAACCGAUUGAUUCGAGGAAACAACCGAUUGUUUGUUUUAUAACAGAAAAACUGUUUUCUUUGACUGAGCUUUAAAUGCUUUAACUGUAUACGCUCCAGUCAUUAAAUGCUUUGACCAAUCUUUUAAUGCAAUUUAAGAGUUUGUUAAGAUUUGAUAACAAACUAUAUCUUUGAAUAUAUUCAGAAAAACAGUUUUAAGAAUUAAGAAUCUUUGACAAAGUUUUUCUAAGAGAGUUUUCAAAAUGCUGAGAUUGCUUAAGAGUUUUGUGAUUGAUCAAGGUGUUGGAAUAGGAUUCUACUUGUAUUGAUUUCAGAUAUUCAUUUGUAACAAGUGCAAUCUUUGUAAUAUGUUGAACAAUUCGUUUCUGUGUUUGCUGAGAUUGGCUGUGUGUCCUUGAGGUGUUCAAGAUCAACAAUCUUAGUGUUGGCCAAGGAGAGUAUGUUUCUUGAGGUGUUUCAAGGUCAUUCUCUUGGUUGUGGUGUAAGUGAUCAAGUGGUGAUUGCUUAGUGGAUAUCCUCAGGGUUUCUGAGAAGACUGGAUGUAGCUCUAGUUUGGAGUGAACCAGUAUAAACAAUUGUGUACAAUCUCUCUAUCUCUAACUCUUUAAAUUCAAUUUAUUUGUUGUUUGCUGAUAUAAACAACCGAUUGUUUCUACGAAAUAAUCAAUUGUUUUUCUGGUGCUACAGCUUUUGCUUGCUGUUUUGGCUAACUGAAUUGCUGAAUCAAUUGGUUUCUGAAAUAAGUUCAUUCUAGUUUUGAAAAGUUUGCGAAAACCCCUUUAAACAAUUCACCCUCCCUCUAGUUUAAAGCCAUCUUUUCUAACACCUAUGACUCGGUAAGAUGGGAGUUCAUCUACUAUAUGUUAGAAAGAUUUUUGUGAAAGAUGGAUAGCAUGGGUAAAAGCAUGUUUAGAAUAAUCUUCAGUGUUAGUAUUAGUGAAUGGGAGUCCAACUUAGGAAUUUAAACCAUAGAAGGGGCUGAGAUAAGGAGACCUCUUAGCAUAUUUCUUGUUUCUUAUAGCAGUAGAAGGAUUAGCAGGGGUUGUAAGAAUAACAGUUGAGAAAAAUAUGAUAGAAAAUAUGGAGAUUGGGGAUAAGUUGGUUAAGGUGAAUAUGUUACAACACGCGCAUGAUACACUAUUUUUCUAUAAAGUCAAUACCCAAAGUGUGUUUAUUAUAAAGGUAAUCCUAAACUGGUUUGAAUUAGCAUCUGGCCUUAAGAUAAAUUUUUUGAAGAGUAAAAUUGGAGGGGUGGGAGUUAAUCACAAUCUGAUUCAAUGUUUUGUAGCAAUUCUUAAUUGUGAUGUGGCGAAAACCCAUUUAAAUAUCUGUGAAUGUUAUUUGGGGGUGCCACAAAAGAGAUAAAUUUGAGGAGGGUGUGGUGGAAAGAAUGAGGAAUAGAUUAGGUAGAUGGAAAGGUAAAUUUGUAUCUAUGGCAGGUAGGAUAUGCUUAAUUAAAAGUUCUUUCAUCUCUCCCUCUGUUUUAUUUAUCUUUCUAUAGAAUGCCAAUACUGGGAACGAAGGAGAUAGUCAAAUUACAGAGAAUUUUUUUAUAUGAUUGGGGUUCAGAGGGUAGGAAAAUAGCAUGGGUUUCAUGAAAAAAGUUUGUGAAUCAAGAGAAGUUGGAGGACUCAGAAUUAUAGAUAUAAGAUUGUUUAAUGUCACUCUCUUGGGAAAAUGGAUUUGGCAAGGGUGAGUACCGAUAAGGGUGACUUGUGGAAAGAGAUUUUAGAAUCAAAGUAUGGAGGUUGGAGGAAUUUAAAGGUCUAAGGGAAGGAUAUAUAGUAAGGAUUUACUUUGGUGGAGGGAUCUGAAUGAGUUAUGGAAAUCAGAGGAACGGGGAUGUAAAUUUGAUGAUAAUAUAACUUGGGAGGUAGGAAAUGGAUGGAGAUUAGUUUUUGGAAAGAUAAAUGGACGGAUAAUGAAGAACUAAAAGAUAAGUUCUCUAGAUUAUUUUCUCUAAGCACAAACAAAGAUUCUAAGUUGUAUCAAGUUAGGGAGUGGAAUAAUGACAAUUAGUUAUAGAAGUUAGAAUGGAGAUGGAAUUUAUUCAAGUGGGGAAAGAACCAGGCACAUCAAUUGGCACAAGUUUUGGAAGACACGAGUUUAAACAUGAAAAAAGACUGAAAAAAGACGAUAAGUGAGUUUGGAAGAAAGGAGAGACGUCAAAUUAUACUAUUAAAUCAUUAUAUAGAAUCUUAAAGGGCGAAGUAGAGGGGGAAGGCAUGUCCAUGUACGAGAAUUUUUAAAGGAUUAAGGCACUGCUUUCAACACAAACACAACAUGGAGGAUUUUAGAAAAUAAAAUUGCUACAAAGGUCAAUUUGAAAAGAUGUAGGAUAAUUAUGAUGAGUAAUAUUUUCAGUAUAUAAGGGAAAGAAGAUGAGAGAACAUGUAAUAUGUAGAGUGGUUUGACUAGUACGGGGUGGUAUGUUAUUAAUACGAGUUGUGAAAUAUAAUGGGCAAUGGUUUAUUGGAUUAUGAAGGAAAGAAGAAUUAUGGUUAUGGUUAUAUAACUUCUCUUCUUGGAAACAUCCAUUUGUUAUGGAGGGAGCGGGGAGCAGCGGAGCGUGGGGAGUAGAUCGGAACAGUAAGGUGUUUUCUUUUGAUGGGCAGGGUGAGCAGAGAUCUCGCCGGAAACCAAACCUCCAACCUAGUAAGGCUAGUAAAUCUACAACCUUUUUCUUUUCAAAUUUUCCCAACGGGUUUGGAGAGAAAGACAUGCUUAAAAUCUUUCAAAGGUGGGCGAGGGUGCAAGAUGUUUUUAUUUCACGAAGGCUUAAUAAGUGGGGCAAAAGAUUUGGGUUUGUGAGGCUGUUUGAUGUGAAGAAUGUGGGAAAACUAGAGCGGGAACUUGACCAAAUAUACAUUGGGAGUACAAAACUCUUUGUGAACAUACCGAAGUACCACCGUGUGGAUGUGUCAAGGGAGGAAGGAAGGAACAAAAGCUCAGUGGGGACGGGGAGGCUAGAGCAUGGGGUGAUGGAGCGGGUUGAAACGGAAGUAAAUAAGUCAUACAAAGGGAAGGAGGUCUGGGUGGAGAAGGGGGAGAAGAAAUCUUUUGCUGAUGCAGUUAGACGUCAGGAAAGGUGGGCAUGGAAGGGACCAGUCUUUACCGCAAAGCAACAGUCAUUGCCGUGGAUGGAAGGAAGUGUGGUAGGGCGUUUUAAUACUGAUUUGGAUUUUGAACAGUUAGGAGAAGAAUUCGUUAGAGGAGGUAUGAGCAUGCUCAGAGUAAGAGCGAUGGGGGAUAACCUUGCUCUUUUAACAUCAAGAGGUGGAAAGAAGAUGGAGGAGAUUAUAAACCUUAACAAAGAAUGGUUUAAUAGUGUUUUGGUCAAGAUGCAGCCGUGGUCACCAUCGUUCACAGUGAGUCAUAGAGUGGUUUGGGUAAGGUGUCUUGGUCUGCCAAUAACCUUAUGGAACAGAGAGAGCUUCGCUAGAGUGGUUGGAGACAUAGCUACGCUGAUUGAUAUUGAUGAUGCCACGUUGAUGUGGGAAAAUCUAGAGUUCGCACGUCUGAAAGUGAGAAUCGAGAAUAAUCGGCUCUUAAGGGUGGCAAGGAAGUUCAGGAUCAAUGAUCAAAAUAUAAGUGUUUUUAUUGAGGAGGAACACCCAGUGGUAUUAGCAGGACAGUGCAAAGACUCACAUCGUAUCUAUGAUUCUUCAGACAGUAUCACCUCAACCGAAACCUACGUGGAGGAAUCGGCUUUCUCGGUGAAAAGCUACGAGGAGGGGGGAGUCGGAAGGACUAUAGAACGGAGUCAGAUGAAGGGGAAGGUGGUCGGAGGUGGAGAAGAGGACGAAGGCCAGGCGCAACGAUUGAAUGCCCGUUUAGGGGAGCUCUCUGCAGGGUUCAGUUCGUGUCAGGAAAAAGGUGGUAAUCCUUUCACUGAUGAGGAAAGUCAACGACAAAAGCUAGUUGAGGAACCUGACUUUGGAAACGCUGCUAUCCAGGUCGGCAAGCGUUCUUUUUGUAGCUUUUCUGCACAUGCUGAGCUGGCCAGAUUAGUGGUGGACGUUGAAAGCAUGUAUAACCAAGACAUAUUCGUGCUAGGUUUGGGCCAGGGUAGAAAGGAAGCCCAAGAAGACGUGCUGCAGACGGGUAUGGGAGUGGGCUAUUCCGGGUCAAGGCCUGGUAAUGCUCUGUCGGACCUUGGAUCCGAGAUGGAGACGAGAUUUCGAACUGGAGGAAGACAGGGGGGAGCACGAGGAGAGGGAACAUAUGCUUUUCAAGAGCAGGAGAACAAUAUGAACGUUGAGAAGGAAGGUAGCAGAAACAUAUAUCUGGAGUUGGAGAGUGCGAAGAAGAAGACACCGAUGGAGCACGAUGGGACACAUGCUGGCAACAUCUCUUCCAAAAACCAGGACGCUGUUCUUGGGAUCGGAACUCACCGCAGAAGAGGAGGGAUGCUGUUGGGGUGCAGAGAAGGUGGUGGGCAUGAGGAAAGGGGAGUCACAACCACACAGCGUCGGCGGAAAAUCAAAGGCCUUGUUGAUCUGGAAGGCUCCAAGUCACACCCAAGGCGAUCUGUUAGAAUCAGAAACAAAUGCCCGUAGAAUGCUCUAUCCUUUCUCUCUAGACAAGGUAUGCCCACAGUCUCUCUUUCAGAUGGAGAUAUUGAUAACUGCAAUCUUAGGCUGCGUGAGUUUGACUCACCAGAGGAACCAAUUAAGCUGUGGGAGAUUAGUAGGAAAGUUGGGAUAAGGUGUCAUAAGGACGAACAGGAGGUUAUCCAGGAGUUCUCGAGUCUGGAGGAAAGGGAUUUGAAGACCAUGAGUUGUGUAGAGGAAGGGAAGAAGAGAGGUUUUUUAUGAUUAUUGUUAGCUUCAAUAUAAGAGGUCUGGGGGGUGGUACCAAGUCAAGGUACAUGAGGCACUUAAUAGGAAGGGAGGAGGUGGACUUUGUUUGUAUACAAGAAACAAAGGCUAAGGACAUCUCGGAUGCUAGGUGCUUUGCUUUGUGGGGUGAUAACAAUGUAGGCUGGAUACACAAUAAAGGGGAGGAGGGGAGUGGAAGCCUUUUGUCCAUGUGGCACAAAGAAGGUUUUAGUUAUGAAUACCACUUGAUGGGGAAAGGUUUUAUUGUGGUUGUUGGUCAACAUGUAAAAUCGUCCGUUAGGUGUGUUGUUGCCAACGUUUACUCUCCCUGUGCUCUGAAUGCAAAGAAGACUCUAUGGGAGGAGCUCUCUAAUGUUAAAACGGUGUCACAGGAAUCAAUCUGGUGUUGUUGUGGUGACUUCAAUGCUGUGAGAAGCAGAUCCGAGAGGAAAGGAGUCAGGGGUAGGAAUGAUCAGGUAAGAGAGAUAUCUGGUUUUAACAGCUUCAUUGAUCACAUGGCCUUGUUAGAUUUACCCUUGGUUGGCAAGAAUUAUACGUGGUUUAGACCGGAUGGAACAGCUAAAAGUAGAAUUGAUAGAGGGCUAGCCACGGAAGAAUGGCUGUUGAAGUGGCCCAUGUGCAAACAGUAUGUCCUUCGAAGGGAAGUUUCUGAUCAUUGUGCUCUGGUGAUGAAAUCUGUGGAGAAGGAUUGGGGUCCUAAACCCUUUAGAUCGAUUGACGCUUGGUUUUUGGAGAGGGGUUUUAACAUCUUGGUUAAGGAUAAAUGGGAAUCAUUCCCAGUCCAAGGGAACGAAAUUGUUAGUUUUAAGGAGAAAUUGAAACUCCUUAAGUCAGAGCUGAAAGUGUGGAACAAAGAGGUGUUUGGUAACCUCCAUUCUGCGAAGAGGAGGAUGCUACAGGAGUUGGAGGAGCUAGACAACAGAGAUUGUACCGGGGGUCUGGAGGAAAGUGAUAGGCUUAACAGAAUGGCGUUGACAAGUCGAUUGGCAGAAAAUGACAAAAAAAUUGACUCUCUUAUGUGCCAAAAGGCUAGAGCAAGUUGGUUUAAGAGUGGUGAUUCUUGUACUAGGUUCUUUCACUCAUCUCUGAGGUGGAGAAGACUCAGGAAUGAAGUGAAGGGUGUUCAGGUGGGGGAAAAAUGGUGUGAGGAACCAGGUACUGUUCGGUUAGAGGCGAAAAAGCUGUUUGAAGUUAGGUUCAACGCAACGAAAGAUCUAGGGGUGAGGUUGGAUGAGGUAGAGUUUAAGACUCUAACUUUGAGAGAUAAUGAGGGGCUUGUGGCUGGUUUCACAGAAAAAGAGGUUAAAGAUGCAGUGUGGCAGUGUGAAGGGUCUAAGAGCCCUGGUCCGGAUGGGUUCAACUUCAAUUUUAUUCGGAAAAGCUGGGACUUUGUUAAAGCAGAGUUAAUGGAAGCAAUGGCUUUGUUUCAUGCGACUGGAAAUAUCCCGAAGGGCUGUAAUGCUUCAUUUAUUGCGCUUAUCCCGAAGGUGAGGGACCCCACUAAGCUGGAGCAGUAUAGACCCAUUUCUUUGGUUGGCGUCUUUUACAAAAUCAUUACAAAGGUGUUGGCUGGGAGAUUGAAGAAGGUAUUGCCAGCAAUCAUAGAUGAAAGCCAAUCAUCUUUCCUAAAGGGUAGAGGAAUCUUGGAUAGCGUCCUUAUGGCAAAUGAAGUGGUGGAGGAUCUCAGGAAAAAGGGGAGAAGUGGUAUCUCCUUAAAAGUGGACUUUGAGAAGGCUUAUGACUCGGUUCGAUGGGAUUUCCUGUAUGAUAUGUUACACAAACUGGGUUUCCAUUCUGUAUGGAUCUUGUGGAUCAAAGGUUGUCUGGAAUCAGCUACUGUGUCAGUUUUAGUUAAUGGGUGUCCUACGGAGGAGUUUAAGCCCUCUAGAGGGUUGCGUCAGGGCGACCCCCUAGCCCCUUUUUUGUUUAUUGUGGUUGCUGAAGGACUUGCUGGGCUAGUAAGACAAGCUUUGAAGGUUAAUAUGUUGACGGGCCUGAAGAUAGGAAGGCAUGAGGUGGAGAUGUGUAUCUUACAGUUUGCAGACGAUACUCUUUUUCUAUGUGAGGAUACCUUUAUGAAUGUGUUAACUUUGAAGGCCAUCCUGAGGGGCUUUGAGUUAGCUUCAGGACUGAAGAUCAAUUUCCAUAAAUCAAAGUUAGCAGGGAUCAAUGUACAAAGCAGUACUAUACGGUGUUUCACUAAGACGUUGAACUGUAACCAGAUGGAGGUGCCUUUCAAGUAUCUUGGACUGGAGGUGGGAGGGAAUCCAAGAAAGAAACAAUUCUGGGAUCCAGUUAUAACCAAGCUGAAAGCAAAGCUCAGUGUUUGGAAGGGGAGGUUUCUAUCAGUGGCAGGGAGGAUCUGCUUAAUCAAUUCUGUUCUAACCGCUAUUCCACUGUAUUAUAUCUCCCUGUUUAGAGUACCGACCUCGGUGUGUAAAAGGAUUAUCAGUAUUCAAACAAGAUUCUUGUGGGGUUGGGGGAAAAUAUCUAAGCCAAUUGCUUGGGUUAGCUGGAAAGAUGUAUGCAGACCAAAAGAGGAGGGAGGGCUAGGGUGUAGGGAUAUAUUUUUGUUUAAUAAAGCUCUCUUAGCGAAAUGGAGAUGGCGGUGUCUUUCGGAAGAGAAUGGAAGAUGGAAGAAGUUGUUGGACUCCAAAUACGAUUUGGGAGUGGAAAGCAGCCUUACACCUGUCAAAUAUCAAUCGUGUUGGUGGAGAGACCUCUCUAAGAUGUGUAAUGAGGGAGGAGGUAAAGGGUGGUUUCAGGAAGAGUUAGGUUGGGAAAUAGGUCGUGGUGACAAAGCAAAGUUCUGGGAGGAUGUAUGGAUCGGAAGUGUGGAUCUCAAAUCUAUGUUCCCACGCCUAUAUUCUUUAUCUUUAAACCAAGGUAAAACAGUGGGUGAGAUGGGUGAAUGGGAUGGCACGGAGUGGAGGUGGGACUUGAGGUGGAGGAGAGGUAGAUUUGAAUGGGAAUCUUCUCUGGAGAGGGACCUUAAUAUGCUUCUAUCAGGGGCCAGUUUGAGAGAAAAUGUCCAGGACACCCAGAUAUGGGGGAAGGAGGUACCGGGGUUGUUUUCGGUGAGCUCUGCCUAUGACUGUCUAGCUAAGCAUGGUAGAGGGAACCAGGGAGAAGUGUAUAAACUCUUGUGGAGGGUGAAGGCUUUUCCAAAUGUGAUAGUGACAGCCUGGAGGGUACUGAUGGGAAGACUUCCUACAAGAGUGAGUCUGAGCCGGAGAGGGGUAGUGGUGAACUCAAAGAUGUGCCCCUUGUGCCAGUUACAGGAGGAGACCUGUUAACACCUUUUCAUGGAGUGUAAAUAUGCCCAGAAGGUUUGGUCUCUAUGCUUUCAGUGGGUAGAUAUUUCAUUCGUACAGCAACAUGAUCUGAAGCUGCAUUUUUCACCUGUUUCAAGUUAGUAAUAAGCAGAAUAGGAUCUGGAAAGGGGUAUGGAUAAAUGUCAUUAGAUGUUUAUGGGACCAGAGGAACAUGAUUGCAUUCCAACAAGGGGUAGUAGAUGCUGAGGAGGUUUUCCAGAGGGCUCAACUGAAGUCUUGGUUGUGGAUGAAGCAUAAAGUUCGCUCGUUUUCUUAUUCUUUUGUAGAUUGGGUUUUCAACCCAAAUAUUUGCAUCAGAAGCUGCUAAAAUCUUCUGGUGUACAUGCGUCAGUGAUGGUUACGAAGAAGAUGGUUGUUACUUCUGAAUUGGCAUCAUGUGAAGUAUUUGGUAGGAAGGAAUCUGUUUUAGUGAUGGUUUGGGCUCCUUAUGGAUUAGUUAGUUUUCUCCAGGCAGGGAAUUGGGUUGCUGGUUCUUGUCUCGGGGGUGGCCUAUGUUAAUGGUUUUUGCAGGAACCGGAAGCAGGUUGUUAAGGAGAGCAUAUAUAUGCUAAAAAGGGAGUACGUUGGUAGGGGAGUGACGUACCAGUACCAAAGGAGGGGUGGCUGUUUGAAGUGAUACCAUGGGUGCAGCCGAUUCUCCAAGGAUGGAAUUGAGUCACACAAUUCAGGGGGUCCGACUCAAUCUGGAAUAGGGUCGUGAUGUUUCUAUGCAGAGAAGGUAAGGUGGUACAUGGUGUUUCGUAAAUUCGUGGCUGAUUUGUUGUGGCUGGCAGGUUUGGGAGGUUAUUGGCUGGUUAAUACAUAGGUGAUGGAGACGGUGGGUGAAGGAAAAAGGCAUAUGUGCUUGUGAUUCACUUAUUCUAAAAGCCUCUAUAGCUGUUAAGCAAGCAAAGACCGACCUUGGAUGCACAGUUCUAGUGGUGUGGUGGUAUUGAAAGGAAAGUAGGAAGUAGAGACUGUUGGAGCGGGGUUGGUAGACGGAAGAGUGGAAUUCUACGCUGGUAUAGAGGGCUGGAUUGCAGGGUGCAGGGGGAGUUCUAGGAGAUGCUCUGCUAUAUCUUUUGGAAUGGUGUUGGGGUUGGGAAGCUGCUGGUUUAUUCUGCUGGUUUUUCCUGUAGUUUUCUGUCAUGUAGGUAAAUGUUUGUGAACUGGCUGGGGAUAUAGCUUUUGCAGGAUAUGUCACACUUGGGUUAUCCUUCCCGUUCGGAGGAGUAACUAUGUGGCUGUUGUAUACGGGUUGGGAUACCCCUUAAGUAUCCCUCGUAAUUUUAUUUAUUUAUUGCUGAUAAAAAAAAAAUACAGUUUAUGGUUGAAAGGGUGGUUUGAUGCAGGUACGUGGCUAGUUCAUUGUAGCAGUGAAGGUAUGAACAUUGAAGCAGGAUCAGAAAAAAUAAAUUGCGAUGAAGGACGGACUAAUUCCAUAACUCAAAGUUCUCAAAGAAGAUAAAUGACUUAUUUGUACUCACAUUAGAGUUUUCUUUAUGAAUUUAAGGAGAGAUUUUUCUUUGGUACAGGCUCCUUUUCUAAGUCAUUUGCUUCACUACAUAUCAGAUAGACAGUUGUGUUCUUAACCAUCAAAUCGUGACCAAAACUCACAAAAAUCUCCACCUUGUCUCCUGAUCCUAAAUUUGACAUUAUGUCAGGCCAAUCUUCAUUAUUGAAGGAAAUUACUGUGCCAUGGUUGUGUAUCUGACAUGUGCACUUCGUGUAAUUAACAAUUAAGACAGUAAUAAGUUCAGGUUCAAUGAUUUCGAAGGUUGAUAAAUAAACUACACACAAAGCCAUUCCCUUCACGACACGAUCUUGAGGCACAGUGAAAUAAACAGAAUGUCCAUCACCCAUAUGGGCCAACCAAUAAGGAAGAUUGUCACCUGGGAGAGAAACAUCACAUGACUCACUGCUUGCAAAUACCUGUAUCAUGUCAUAAAGAAGGACGUAUGUUUAGUUAAACAAAAAUGUUAUACAUGAUUAAAACAAAUCUGGUUAAUAGUUUUGUUGUGUAUAUAUAUAUAUAUAUCACCAUCACUUUUAGUAUGCAUUUCUGUUUUUGUAGUUUAUAUUUCAACAAUCAUUGGGAAUAAAGCAAUCAUGAAGCUAGUAAAGCAAGAAAGUGGAAAUCAAUUUGGUAGUACUUAUUAUAAGCAUAAGGACUUGGUUAGUUGAUUACUAAAAUCAGAUACUUUUAGAUGAAGUCGUGGUGCUAAAACUUCAGUAUUGUAGUUUCUACUAGAUACUUCAUUAGGAUUAUUUUAUGUUCUCAGAAAUAGUAGCUAAAAUGAUGGUGAAGGUAAUAAACAAAGGGAAAACUAGAGAAGAACCUUAGGUAUGCUAUCGCUUAGAGUAUUGAAGAAUUCUUUGUAUCUUCCAAUGCCAGUCAGAAAAGACUUGAGGUGAUUCUUUGAAAUAUCUGAUUCUGUAAUAUUUCCACCAUAUUCGACCACUAUACUUUUUACUUGUUCAGAUAGAUGAAACUCGACGUCACAUUCCACCAGAACACUUCGGAGAUUGGCAAGGCUUCUAAGAAAUGCUGCAAUUUCAUCCCAACUAUUAUCCUCCAUAUCCAUGAAGAGAUGAAUAUAAGAUAGGGGAUUCAUUGUUGGCCACAUCCGAGACCGAAUGAUAGAAGGAAAAAGAUUAUGUGACAAUUCCUCACAUCCACGUAGGAAUAUAUAUCCAAUGCUUUUUGGGCUUACAAUUGUAAAAGGCAAUUGUUUAGUAACUGUAUUUUCAGCCAUUAUAGUUAUCAAGGAUUUCAAUCCCACUAUAUCUUUUUCCAUUAAGUCAAUCUUCGAACAACCAGAUAAAAUCAGAGUGUUUAAGGAUUUCAACUUAUAUAUCUUUCUGGGGAGAUUGCUUAGAUUUGUACAGUCCUGCAAAUUUAGCAAUGUAAGAUAGCAGAGACAUUCAAUAGAUUGGUGUACUUGGCACAAUCUUGGACAAUCUUUGAGAAUGAGCUGUUCAAGACUUGGGAGUCCGGAAAAAUCAGGGGUUUCUAUCAAAUACUUUGAGUGACUGAGAUCAAGGACUUUUAGCAGCGUCAAAACCUUUAAGAAGAUAGUUUUUGGUAAUAUAUUAGAGAAGAAAACGAGAAAACGAAAUAGUUAUAAGUGGAAACAAAUAAUAAUUUUAAAACAGAAUGGCACGUGAUAAAAACCUGAGGUUCUUUCCAAAGGAAUCGAAGAAGACUGUGUUUUACAUCAAUGGCUAUUGCAUCAUGCAGACAAAAGUGGUUAGGUAGGUAUUCUGUAGAAAACCCUCCCAAACUAAUCCAUCUCAGAUUCUUAAAAUGGUACUCAGAAUCUCCAGCGACUUCCAGCAGUCUUGAUGACUCUCUUACCUGUAAAGGAUAGCGUCCAAAGAAAUCUAUUCCGAUAGGCAAACUCUGAAUGACUUUUGUGCCCUUAGAUGAAAAGAGCUAACAAAAAGAAAUAUGUUGCACAUGAGAAAGUAACCACUUCCAAAAAAAAUUCCAAAACCAUUGAUAAAGGAUGUUCUUACCGUAUUCUCUGACAGUGAAUAUCUUGCAUCCUUAUCAAACCACAGUUUACUGUUCUUCUCAGGUUCUUCUCCUGAAAUUUGAUAAAUAAUUUCUCUUCCCAUUUCUCGUAGCAACGAAUGCAUUAUUAAUUUGUUGUUCUUAUUAAUUUGUAUGAGACUAUGCUUUAUGAGAACUCUUAUUCCACUAUCAGCGUCUAUUCCACAGCCAUUUAGAAUCUUCGUAACAUAGGUUCUGCUCUUACCAACAAAGGAACAACAUACAUCAAGAAAUAAAUCUUUUUCCAUUUGAUUGCGUAAACGGUCGAAACUUAUUUUCAAUUUCCUUUGAAGAUCGUGCUGGGGAAUAUUGUCUAAUCUUAACAAUACUGAAUUCCAUUCUUCUUUGGUCCUUUCAUAUAAAUAACUUCCAAUGACUUCAAGAGCUAGAGGUAGUCCUCCACAAUACCAAACUACACUUUCUGCAAGGAGAUGGUAUUCUUGUUUUGGUUUUUUUUCUCUAAAUGCGUGCCAACUAAGAAGCUCAAGGGACUCCUUGGCGUUCAUUGACUCUACAUGAAAAAUAGAAUCAGCUUUAUAUAUCCUCAGUAAGAUUUCAGAUCUUGUUGUAAUGAUUAUUACACUUCCUCCUCCUAACUUAUGACGGCAUUCCCAUAGUAAUUGUCUAUUAAGCUCAGGCACAUCGUCAAGUACAAUGAGCACUCUUUUUCCAGGAAGUCUUUCCCGAAUCAUAGUUCUUCCCAUCUCAAAGCUAUGUAUCUCUACCUUUGAUUUUAGGACAUCUGAAAGGAGUUGUUCUAGUAAACCAAGAUUCUCUCUUAUUCCGCUAACUUGUCCAAUCUCUUCAAUGAAACUUUUCUCCGUGAAUGUAUCAUGAAGUUGAUAGUAGAUUGCUUUAGCAAGGGUUGUUUUACCAGAUCCUUCCUUUCCAUAUAUCGCUAUCGUACAAACUUUUGUGGAUUUAUUUUUGAUAGUUCGAAUCAGAUCCUCUACGUGCGAUUGUAAUCCAACUGGAAAUUUAGUAGCAGACAAUACUGGAAAAUGAAGAACGGUCUUAACAAUUUUGUCCACUAGUUCAGCAUCACUCCUUCAAGGUCAAUAACAAUUAUACAAAGUUAUGUAUUACCAAAAUUGAAGUACAAGCUUAGUAAGUGAGUGAUUUACCUGUAAUUGCUCUCAUCACAUCCAAAGAAAUUUGCAGCUUUGGUGAGUGCGUGGCUCCACCUGGAUAUGGCAUGCUCCAGUUGUUCUGCUGAAAAUGUUUGGUGUGCAGUUGCUUUGAAGGCUUUUCCAAAAUCACCCUUCUGAAGACGUACAUCAGAUGGCUCAAUUUCGUAAUAAACAGGCAGAACAUGUCGGCAGUAAGAUUGGUGCCAUUUAAUGAUUUGUUGGAGCUGAUCAAGACACCAAGCAGAUUGAGAAUAGGUUUUGGUGAAAACAACAAUCGCUACCCGACAGAGAUUGAGAACAGGUUGUUGGAUGUGAUGUGGGUUGUCUGCACUGGGGUGGUGAAGGAAAGUGGUGAAGCAAACAGCAGAGAGGGCAGAAUCGAGAUGAGAAACAAAUUUCCUUUGGAUGUCUUCUCCAUUGAAGUUGAUGAGCACAUCAUACAUCCGUGGGAGUUUGGAUGAUGAAGACGCCAAUUCCAUGGAAGGAAUUGAUGAGGUCAACUGUUAGAAGAAGAGAAAGCAAUAAUGCAACACGGACAAAAGACACAGAACCAUUUAAAGUAGCCAAAGAUUAUUAUAUAUUUUUCAUAGUCGCGGAAGCGCGUUAAUCCCAGCACACGUUUAACUUUAGCCACUUCAAAAGUUAGACCAACACCCACUCUGAACCACCGAAAAAAUAAGUAUGAAGAUUUUUCUAAAUAUAUUUUAUUAUGUAGCAAAGACAUUGAAUAUUGAUAUAACAUAAACACGAAUACGGAAUAAUAGGUAUAAUUUUUAAAAGGUAAGAUAUUGAGACACAGAUCUAUAUAUUAUAUAAUUAUAAAAAUUAUAUAAAUUGACAAUAAAGAUUAAAUUGAUAAAUAUAUUUCAAUUUUUCUUUUUAGCAGAAAGAUGUUUUUCAUGACUAGUUCAAACAAAUUUGUUUUUUAUUUUUAUAAUUAUUAUAAAAAUUUAUACAAUAAGCUUGAGUUUUUAGAAACUUUCAUAAUCUUGAACUGAUUACAAACAGCAACUAUAGCACGGGUACAAACAAAUGUCACUAUCAUAUCUUAUCACCCACAUCAUCAUUGAAGACACAAACAGGAAGGAGUGUGUUGUUGCAAAGGCCAAAACUUUGUCUGCAAAUAUAGUAGAAGACAAACCAACUCCAAAAAGGUGCUAGAAAAAAUCUGAUCACAAAAAGAAAUAUAAUAAUAAAUUCGUAACAAUGGAGCUAACCCCACCUUUAAGAAAAAUGGAAAUUGCUUUGUCUGUGGAAAGUCAGGUCAUCAUGCACCUUAGUGCAAACAUGGAGCCAAAAACGACUAUCCUUCCAAGACAAAUCUAGCCGGAGGGGAAGAUACCAUUGUUGCAGUCAUUUCACAAGUAAAUCUUGUGACCAAUGUGAGCAAAUGGGUGGGUCUACCAAACACAUCUAUGGAAACAGAAAUGUGUUUAACUCCUACACAAGUGUGGGGAUGGAGAAGGAGAAGUUUAUCUUGGUGAUUCCAGGACAAUUGUUGUCCUAGAAAAGGAAAGGUUUUUCUAAAGCACACAUCUAGUAAAACUCUGGCUUUGAGUCAUGUGCUACAUGUGUCAUCGAUUAAAGUUAAUUUGAUCUUUGUAACAUUGCUAAGCAAAGUUGAGGUUAAAGUGUCAUUUGAAUCUGACAAGAUUAUCAUAACAAAAAAUAAUAUUUUUAUGGAGAAGGGAUAUUGUGAUCAAUGUCUUUUUGUAUUGAAAUCAAAUUACACUAAAAUUGUAUCGGUAUGACACAGUUUUGGUGUGAUCUGAUUUUAACGACGACACGACUUUAUUUAGAAUAAUUAAAAAAAAGACCUGAUUAACAUUAAUCAAAUCGUAUAUACUUAAAACAACUUCAAUAUCACAAAACUAAAGUGAUAUCAUAGAUACACAACUUCUUUACAAUAAAAUGAUGUGAUAGUACGAGAAAUUAAUUAUAUGGGUAAUAUUUUUAAAAUGUGUAAAUUUAUGUAAAUCUUUGACAAAAUUGCACCAUUUUAGAAAAGAAAAAUCUUCUCACCAACUAUUUUUUCAAUCUGCAUGGUUACCGUGCACUACAAGAAAUAAGGUAAAAAGUGUGGGCUUCAGAGAGACACAAAUAGUAAAAAACCUACGCAAAAUCAUUGUUAGUGUAGGCCUAGCGUCUCCCAAAAAAUGGAAGUUAAUACCCUGGAUGCUAACUUUUUUCUGUGGGUCUCAGCUGACGCAAUCUGAGUACACCUACACAAUGUGCACGCAAGUAGACAUUUUGGCCGCCACAAAGUUAGAACUAUUAUUUUAUAAUUUUAAGCUAGUGUAGGUUUAGCCUCCGCUUCUUGGAUGCUAAAUUAAAAUCAUGAAUGAGUUUGACCGACACUAUUAAGAAAUAAUUUAAAAUGUUAGUGUGGGUUAGGCCCACACAAAAUGUGAAAUAAAAGAAAAUGUUAGUGUGAGUUAGACCCACGCAAAUUGUGAAAUAAAAAAAAAAGAUAUUCAAGCUAGGACAUUUUUGAAUAUUUAUACAUAUGAAUGUAUUAUUGCAAGAGUGAGUUAGAAUUAUUGCAAGAUUGUUACACCAAUUACAAAAGGAGAAAAGAAAACUAUUAUCCAACAUUAUAUAGCAUUUAUAGAAUGAAAGAAAAGAGCAUGAACAAUAAAUAUUCUUCUUUUUACUUUACAUAUACCUAGCACCAUGUAUCCAACAUUAUUUAAUAAAAAGAAUGGGGAAGCCACAACAUGAAAAUUAAAGUUUGAUCACCAAUUGUUAAACCCAACAACUAAUUUAUCUCAAAAACACCAUAAUUCAGAUUAAAAUCAACAUAGCAAUUCUUCAAAUAAUCAACUCAUAAUUUACUUUAAAAAUUGUCACAAACAAUUUUUAGUUCAUAAACUGAAUCAUCAUGAAAUAAUCAAAAUAUAUGCUCUGAAAUUGUCAAGAAAACCAAACUUAUACAUUCUACACCGUCUACUAUAUCUAAGCUUUUCAUUUCAAUCUCAAACAAUUUCCCGACCAGCAACUUGUUGGGAGUAAGGGAGCGUAGCCUCUGUCAAAGGCAGGCAAGGAGGUUCUGAUCAAAGCUGUGGUACAGGCUAUCCCUACAUUAUGAGUUGUUUUAAGAUUCCUCAAACAAUAUGUGAGCAGAUAGAGUCAUUGAUUAGCAAGUUUGGAGGUCUCGGCUUCAGGAAGUUCUCUUGUUUCAUUUCAAUCAGGCUCUCCUGGCAAAGCAGGACCGGAGAUUAGUUCAUAAUCCUGAGUCAAAGAGAAUACCUCUGCUGUUAGCUAAGGCUAGUCACCUCAAGUCUUUGUAUGGACAAUAGAUAUUGUUGUAUAGGUACUUUCUCUGGGUUCUUCCCGGGGGGGUCUAACCAUCUUACUAGAAAAAAAAAGUAGUUCCUUUAUCUUUUUUCUACUUGUUAAGGCCUAUCCUUUGACUUAUUUCUGUUUCGAAAUGAAUUAAUGUAGGUCGGAGAUAAGAGCGUUGUGUUUAAGUCGUCAUCCCCACAUCCAGAUCUUCUAGACUAGGGUUCUAUUGGCAAUUUAGAACUAGCUUCCCUUACCUGAACUUUAGCUGAUGAUCACUAGGAUCUCCAAAUCUACCAAAAGCCUAAAGGUAAUUUAACCUGCACCACAGAAUCCUGAUAAAAGUAUAACUAUAUAACUAGGACCCUUUGUUAACAAAAUUAACCUUGAAGCUAAAAGAAUCAUAUGCAAAGCAUAAAUCUAAUAAGAUCAAAAUUAACUCAAAAGAAAAAGGGGCCAAGAAUGAACUUACUCUAUCUGAUAUUUUGAUCAAGCAAUCUUAUAGGGUUCACUGUCAGCAUUCCAAUGGCAGACUCCGAUCGCCAAACUGAUAAGUGAGGAGGUCAGAAUCUUAGAGAGAAGGGAGAGAAAAGGAAAAAGAGGAACAAAAUUGAACUUACUCUAUAAGAGAUUUUGAUCGGGCAGUCUUGUAAUCUUCGCUGCCAGGAGUCCAAUGGCAGACUCCAAUCGCAAAACUGAUAAGUGAGGAGAUCAGAAUCUUAGAAAAAGGGAGAGAAAGGAAAAGGGAAAUUUUAGAGAGAUGGUGGUUCUUUUAAAAUGAGACCUGAAUAACUGAAUUCUCUAUUUAUAUGUCAUUUUCAUUUUAAUAAUAAAAUAUUCAGGUAUCAUUUAAAAUAUACCACUUUUACUCUAAGGUUAGUUUUUAGAUCCCUACAGAAAGUCAGUUUACAAUUAAGACAUUCAAUGACACGUUGAGCAGAAACAAGAUUAUAGUAAAUUCAAGAAUGUAUAAGACAUCAUACAGAAAAAAAAAGAUAAGAUAUUUGUACGGUUCCUGCAUGUUCAGCUAUAACACGUGAAUUGUUUGGUAAUUUAACAAUUAUAGGUUUUAUCCUGUAAAAAAAAUUUAAACAAAGUAUUCGCAGUGAGUAACGUGAUUUGUUGCUCCGGUAUCUAAAAUCCAAUAAUUUUUUACAUACUUACCUUUCUCAGUUUUCCAAAAGAUAACUCACCAGUGAAGUUGUUCACCUUAUGAAUAGACUCAUUUUUUUAUUCUUGGAAAAUCUUCAAGAUUUGUUGGAUCUGUUCUUGUGUAAACUGUGCACUCUCUUGACUAAGGGAAUGGUUAGACCUUCUUGGUCAAUAUCUUCAGUCUUGUUAGUAGCAGCGUAAUUUUGUGAAAAAAUGUUGUUGAUGGCUCUAUCAUUCUUGCGUUUAUACCAUGGAGGGAAUCCAUGUUUUAAAAAACAUUCAUCAGCAGUGUGGUUUAGUUUGUGACAAUAACUACCAUAAUUCUGAUUCCGACUUCUUCCUCUCCCUUGUGAUUUCCACCUGGUUUCAAUGACUUUAUCUUUUUUUCAAUUAUUUGGGUUUGUAGAAUUUAUCAGAAUUUUGCUGUCAAAAACUACACUUCUCAUUAAUUGUCUUUCUUGUUGUAGAACAAGUGAGAACACACAAUUGAUGCUUGGUAAGGGGUCAUGAGUUAUGUGAUAGGACAAUGGAAGACUGGGAAGAUAUAUCGUCAAAACUAAAAAAUAUUCCCAUUGAUCAAGUUCAAGAGAAAUUAAAAUAAGUUUUCACGGUUUACAUGACAUGGAAAAGAAUAUUGUGAAGAUUGAUUCAGAUAAAAUCUAAGUUGAAGUUAUGUUAGAUUUUCUGGUGAUUUUUUAUUGUUUGAUAGGUAUUAUCGUUUGAUGAGUAUCACGGUAUCGUUUAAAGAAUUAUUGUUUUGAAUCACCUGUUAUGAUUAUAUGAGAAACAUAUUUAUGAAAAGUUGUGAAACAGUUUUUUUUUUUUUUUGUGAAACAGUUUUUCAUGGACAAGUUGAGACUUUUCAUAUGUUUUGACCUAGAAUUAAUAAAGCUUGAUGGAAUUCAAUUUUCUUCUGGAUUAUUUUCCUUCUAAUGUUAACACCUUAUUGUCUUUAGAUUUAAUAAAUCCCAUUACAAAAAUUAAUUGAUUCCUCUUAUUUUACGCAUGAAAGAAAAGUAAGUUAAAUCUACUUUAUAAUCAUGUAUUUAUUUAAAAUUAUUUAAGCUCUUUUCUAUCUAUGCAAUAAUCAAGUCCAUAGAUACAACUAAUUAGUCUUAUUUGCAUGAGAUUAGUGUAAAAAUGCCUUCAAGUGCUAAAAGUGUAAAUGAGUGAUUUUCUUUGAAAACUAUUCAUUGUUGUGAAGUAAUAUUUCUAAAGUAAUGAGCAUAUAAUUUUAUAUUUACUUGUUUAAGAGUGAACUUUACUAUCAAAUAAAGUUAUAAAUGUUAUGUACCUAGAUAAUUACUUGUGAUUUUAUCUACUACUUGUUGUAAGUCAAAAAGUGACAACAUUAUAACCUUUUUUUUUUAAAUCACUUUGAAAAACUAUAGAUAAAUCAAGUUGGGUAACCAAUAUAAAAAUUAUAUUAUUAUUAAAUAUUUUAUUACAUGUACAGUACUUGUUGGUUAUUUCUUUUCAGAAUACUUGUGAACAUAUUUUAUAAAAUCAUCAAAUGAUUUCCUCUCUAGGUCUGCUUAGCCAUUUGCAAAAAUACUUUCCACAUGUCUUUAUUAACUCUAUUAAAAUAUCUUCAUUAUCCACUAUGUGUUUCAUUUUGUGUCAGAUUUUUUUAUUUGAUUGCAUUAGUGUAUCUUCCUUUUCCUUUGUAAGUGUUCAAUCUUAUGUCCCUAACCAGGUGCUCUACACAUUCAUUUUGUUAUUAAAAUUGAAUGAAUAAUUAAUUUUUUUUAUCAAUGCAUUUUUUUUAUCAGCAAUAAAAAAUAAAUAAAUUGGGACCACUUUACGGGUGAUCCAACCCUUUUACAAGAACACAUAGAAUCUAACUCCUAACUUGGCACCCAAAAUCGUCGGACAAAGGACCAACCAAACCAAGCGCUAACUAGCUUUACCGAAUCGGUCGUAUACAUGCCAAAGGAUCCAUAACCCAACAGGGGUAGGAAAAGUAAACUUCGCGGGACUUUGCAGGAAUCCAAGACCAUACCUUUACUUGCGCAGAGACAAAAACUUCUAACACAUCUAUCACUCCUCCAUUAAAGACGAUCGAGUUCCUAUGCUUCCAAAUUUCAUUCACAAUUCCAACCCAAAUUGCCCCCAAAAUGCAUGAAUACCUUCAUAGUUGAUUAUAAAAAGAAAUAGACUUUUAAUUUUUUUUUUUAAAUUUUAAAAUUGCUUAAAAUUAUAUGAACUAAAUCAUUUUAAUUCGUAAGACUAAAUAUGUUAAAUUAUUUAAAAUUAUAAUUUAGUCUCUAAGAAUAAAUAUCUAAAAUUGUUUAAAAUUAUAGGUACUAUAUUAUUUCAGUCUUUAAAAGUUAAAUUUAAUUUUUUAAAUUAUAGAAACUUAAUUGUCAGUAAAAAGUACACAUUUGUAAUUUUCUAACUAUUAGCGGUAUUUGUCUACAUGGUUAUUUUUUUGAAUUUUUUAAAGAUUAUAUUUGGACAUAUCAAAUGAAUAUCAAUUUAUAAGAAUUAAUUUUAAAACAAUUUAUAACAAAUUAAAAUAAUUUGUAAGAUCUAUAUUUGAAAAAAUAUAGUUGAAAAUUAAAAAAUUAAAAUAAUUAGGUGACUUUACAUAACUGAAAACUAUAAUGAAACUUGUAAAUGUAAAUUGAAAAAAAAAAUGAAAUAUUUUUAAAUUAGACAUAAAAAAAUAUAAUCAGUGUAAAUAAGGAGAAAUGAAAUCAAACUUUGUUUAAUUUAGUCUUUACAUAAAGGGAUGAGGCUACAGUGCUUCUUCUGUUGAAACGAAAACAGAGAGUACAUAGCAUAUAGCAGACGAAACACAUAACAAAUUAUCGAACCGCAGCUAUCUUUAUUUCAUAAUGCAAUAUUUUUUACGAGGAUUUCUGAAUGCAAUAUUAUAUGCUAAAAAGGGAAAAGAAUUGACAAAAGUAACAACGACAAAGCAAAUACAAUAAACAGUUCAAGUAAACAAUGUGAGGAGUGAGAAACAGGGUAAAAUAAAUAUGAAUCUCGUAACUAUGAGCUAUACAAAGAAAAACAAGGAAAGGAUCAGAAAAAAUAAAUUGCAACGAAGGAGAUAAAUGACUUACUAGAACUCACAUUAGAGUUUUCUUUAUGAAUUUAAGGAGAGAGUUUUUCUUUGGCACAGGCUCCUUUUCUAGUCAUUUGAUUCACAACAUAUCAGAUAGACAGCUGUGUUCUUAAUCACCAAAUCGUGACCAAAAUUCACAAAAAUCUCCACCUUGUCACCUGAUCCUAAACUUGACAAUAUGUCAUGCCAAUCUUCAUCAUUAAAGGAAAUUCCUGUGCCAUGAUUGUGUAUUUGGCAUGUGCACUUCGUGUAAUUAACAAUUAAGACAGUAGUAAGUUCAGGUUCAAUGAUUUCGGAGGUUGAUAAAUAAACAACACACAAAGCCAUUCCCUUCACCACACGAUGUUGUGGCACAGUGAAAGAAACAUAAUGUCCAUUACCCAUAUGGGCCAACCAAUAAGGAUCAUUGUCACCUGGGAGAGUAACAUCACAUGACUCACUGCUUGCAAAUACCUGUAUCAUGUGAUGAACAAGGGCAUGUUUAGCUAAACAAAAAUAUUAUACAUGAUUAAAGCAAAUCUGGUUAAUAGUUUUGUUGUAUAUACAUCCCGAUCUUUUCUUUAGUGAUUUAGUCUGUUUUUAUCUCUUAGUUUAUAUUUCUACGUACGAUCAAUGGGAAUCAAGCAAUCAUGAAGCUAGUAAACCAAGAAAGUGAAAUCUAUUUGGUAGUAUAAGCAUAAUGACUUGUUAGUUGAUUACUAAAACCAGAUACUUUUAGAUGAAAUCGUGGUGUUAAAAGUUCAGUAUUGUAGUUUCUUCAAGAUACUUAAUUAUGAUUAUUUUAAGUUCUCUCAAAUAAUAGCUAAAAUGAUGGUGAAGGUAAUAAACAAAGGGAAAGCGAGAGAAGAACCUUAGGUAUGAUAUCGCUCACAGUAUUGAAGAAUUCUUUGUAUCUUCCAACACCAGUCAGAGAAUACCUUACGUGAUGCUUUGAAAGAACUGAUUCUCUAACAUUUGCACCAUAUUCGGCCACUAUGGUUUUUACUUGCUCAGAUAGUUGAAACUCGGCAUCACAUUGCACCGAAACACUUCGAAGAUUUGUGAGGCUGCUAAGCAAUGGUGAUAUAUCAUCCCAAUUAUUAUCUUCCAUAUGCAUAAAGGAAUGAAUAUAAGAUAGGGGAUUCAUUGUUGGCGACAUCCGAGACCGAAUGAUAGAAGGAAAAAGAUUAUGUGAAAAUCCCUCAAAUCCACGUAGGGAUAUAUAUCCAAUGCUUUUUGGGCUUACAAUUGUAAAAGGCAAUUGUUUCAUAACUGUAUUUUUAGCAAUUAUAGUUAUGAAGGAUUUCAUUCGCACUAUAUCUUUUUCCAUUAGGUCCAUCUUCGAACAACCAGAUAGAAUCAGAGUUUUUAAGGAUUUCAACUUAUAUAUCUUUUUGGGAAGAUUGCUUAGAUUUGUACAGUCCUGCAAAUUUAGCAGUAUAAGAUUGCAGAGACAUCCAAUAGAAGGGUGUACUUGUCUCAAUCUUGGACAAUCUUUGAGAAUGAGCUGUUCAAGACUUCGUGUUCCAUAAAAGACAGGGGUUUCUAUUAAAUACUUGGAGUGACUAAGAUCAAGGACUUUUAGCCACAUCAAAACCUUUAAGAACAUAGUUUUUGGUAAUAUAUUAGAGAAGAAAACGAAAAAACUAAAUAGUUAUAAGAAGAAACAAAUAAUAAUUUUAAAAGAGAAUGGCACGUGAUAAAAACCUGGGGUUCUUUCCAAAGGAAUCGAAGAAGACUGUGUUUUACAUCAAUGGCUAUUGCAUCGUGCAGAUAAAAGUGGUUAGUUAGGUAUUCUGAAGAAAACCCUCGAAAACUGAUCCAUCUCAGUUUCUUAAAAUGGUACUCAGAAUCUCCAGCGAGUUUCAGCAGUCUUGAUGGGUCUCUUACCCGUAAAGGAUGGUGUCUGACGAAAUCUCUUCCGAUAGGCAAUCUCUGAAUGACUUUUGUGCCCUUUGAGGAAAAGAGCUAAGAAAAAGAAAUAUAUUGCAAAUGAGAAAGCAACCACUUUCAAAAGAAGAUUCAAAAGCAUAGAUAAAGGAUGUUCUUACCGUAUUCUCUGACAGUGCAUAUUCUGCAUCAUUAUCAAACCACCACAGUUGACUGUUCUUCCAGGGUUGAUUUGUUGAAAUAUGACGAAUAAUUUCUCUUCCCAUUUCUCGUAGCAACGGAUGCAUUAUUAAUUUGUUGUUCUUAUUAAUUUGUAUGAGACUAUGCUUUAUGAGAACUCUUAUUCCACUAUCAGCGUCUAUUCCACAGCCAUUUAGGAUCUUCGUGACAUAGGUUCUGCUCUUACCAACAAAGGAACAACAUACAUCAAGAAAUAAAUCUUUUUGCAUUUGAUUGCUUAAACCGUUGAAACUUAUUCUCAAUUUCGAUUCAACAUCGUGCUGGGGAAUACUGUCUAAUAGUAACAGUACUGAAUUCCAUUCAUCUUUGGUCCUUUCAUAUAAAUAACUUCCAAUGACUUCAAGAGCUAAAGGUAUUCCUCCACAAUAAGAAACUACUCUUUCUGCAAGGAAAUGGUAUUCUUGUUUUGGUUUUGCUUCUCUAAAUGCGUGCCAACUAAGAAGCUCAAGGGACUCGUUUGCGUUCAUUAACUUUACAUGAAUAACAGAAUCAGCUUUAUAUAUCCUCAGUAUGUUUUCAGGUCUUGUUGUAAUGAUUAUUACACUUCCUCCUCCGAACCAAUGAAAGCAUUCCCGUAGUAAUUGUCCAUUAAACGUAGGUAUAUCGUCAAGUACAAUGAGCACCCUUUUACCAGAAAGUCUUUCCCGAAUCAUACUUCUUCCCAUCUCAAAGCUAUCUAUCUCUACCUUCGUGUUUAGGACAUCUGAAAGGAGUUGUUCUAGUAAACGAAGAUCCCCUCUUAUUCCGCUAAAUUGCCCAAUACCUUCAAUGAAACUUUUCUCUACGAAUGUACCAUGAAUUUGAUGGUAGAUGGCUUUGGCAAGGGUGGUUUUGCCAGAUCCUCCCUCUGCACAUAUUGAUAUCAUACAAACUUCCGUGGAUUCAUAUUUGAUAGUUAGAAUCGCAUCCUCCAUGUGUAAUUGUAAUCCAACUGGAAAUUUAGUAGCAGACAAGACUGGUAAAUAAAGAACUGUCUUAACAAUUUUGUCCACUAGUUCAGCAUCACUCCUUCAAGGUCAAUAACAAUUAUAGAACAAGUCACGUAUUACCAAAAUUAAAUCACAAACUUAAAAUAUGCGUGAGUGAUUUACCUGUAAUUGCUCUCAUCCCAUCCAAAUAAAUUUGCAGCUUUGGUGAGUGCAUGGCUCCAUCUGGACAUGCCAUGCCUCAGUUGUUGUGGUGAGAAUGUUUGGUGUGCAGUUGCUUUGAAGGCUUUUCCAAAACCACCCAUCUGAAGACGUACAUCAGAUGGCUGGAUUUCGUAAUAAACGGGCAGAACAUGUCGGCAAUAAGUUUGGUGCCAUUUGAUGAUUUGUUGAAGCUGAUUAAGACACCAAGCAGACUGAGAAUAGGAUUUGGUGAAAACAACAAUUGCUACACGACAGAGAUUGAGAAUAGGUUGUUGGAAGUGAAUUGGGUUGUCUGCAUUGGGGUGGUGAAGGAAAGUGGUGAAGCCAACAGCAGAGAGGGCAGAAUCGAGAUGAGAAACAAAUUUCCUUUGGAUGUCUUCUCCAUUAAAGUUGAUGAGCACAUCGUACAUCUGUGGGAUUUUGGAUGAUGAAGAGGCCAAUUCCAUGGAAGGUCAACGGUUAGAAGAAGAGAAAGCAAAAAUGCAACACAGUCAAGACAGAAAACCAUUCAAAGAAGCCAAAGAUUAAUACAUUUCUUUUUUAUAGUCGUGGAAGCUCAUGAAUUGCAGCACCCAUUUUACUUUAGAAAAGUAAUAUAUUUACAACUUGUUCUAUUAUACAACCUUCAUUUAAAAAAUAUAUAUAUUUUUUCAUUAUUUUAUAAAAAACUAAAAUUUUAGACAAAAAAAAAUAAGAUUUAUACUAGAACAAAUGAGACUCUCAAUAUAUUAAUAUUAGCCAAUUUCUUCAUGCACCCAAUCAAUUGUGAUUAGCACCCAACGAACAUUUUAAAAUCCAAUUGUAUCCUUGUCAUGUUUAUUUUGAAAAAAGCUUGUAGGGUGCGCUGAUGCAGAUGAUGCUCUUAAACCUUCACGCAACAAUGGACGACCUUCACGCUCCUGACUUCGUCUUUGUUCAAGGGGUCUUCCACUCAACACUACGCUGCCGGAGAAAUGCCUACCAAGGUACGAGGAUGCGAAAGCUCGUGCGAGAGAUGUUGUUGGGUGCGAUAAUGGAAGAAAUGAACUUGGGUGUGUGAUUGAGUGGAGAAAUCACUAAACCCUAAUUUCAUUUUCAUUAAAGAUAAUUCGAUACUUUCACAAAUACAAUUGGGUGCAAGUUCAAAUUGAUUGAGUGUAGGGAGAAUCAGCCUCAAUAUUAUUUACUUUAGCCAUUUAAGAAGUUAGACCAACACCCACUGUGAACCAAAAAACGUAUUACACUAGUUUUUCUAAUUAUAUUCUUUUUUUUUCUAAAUUUACCUAUUAACUUUACUUUUUUAUUUUAGAAAGCAUUAUGUUCUCUCUCUUUUAACGUUCGGCACGUAUCACUUUAAAUUUUAAAAGAAUAAAAAAUAAUACAUUUUCUUUCCACGUAUAUUUAAAGAGGCCGCUGUAAUAAUGUAAAAAAAUAGAAAGUAUAAAUACAAUUUAGAUAAACGUCCCUACACCUGAAUUUAUUUUUUAAAUAAAUAAAAUAAAAGAAUUGAACGUGAGUUUACUAAAAUUUAGGAAGUUUAUUAUCAAUUACUAAAAAUACAAAUGAGGUGAGUGUAAUUGAUUUUCUUUUUAAUAGUUUUGACAGAAUAUCGUAAGUUAUUUUAAUGUUUAAAAAACUUAAUUGAAUAUCAUAAAUUUUUUAAUAAAGAAAGUUAUUUGAAAUUUUUUUGAAAUCCAAAGUGAAUUAAUUGCAGCCCUUAAAGUGUCUUUCUAAAAACUGAACGUGAAGGUCGCAGAAAAAUGAAGUAUAAAACAUAUAUGAAAUUUAAUAUAGUGAUUGAGAUAUUUCCGGAACUAACCUGGUUUCUUUUGCCAGUUGGAAUUGUGUUUUUAAACACUAGAGUAUAGUAUCUUCUCAGAUUUAUUUUAGCCAAAGAGGUGUAAUUCUUCAGAAUAAAAUAUUAAAAUAGAAAAAAUAUUAAAAAAUUAUCCAUGAGUAUGUUGUUUCAUACACAAUUACAUUGUAAAUAAGUUAUAUAUAUACUACAAAUUUGAAUAUGUAAUAAAAGUGAAGUUUUACCAAUUUGAUAUAACUUUAGUGUUAGAGAAGAAAUAUUUUUCACUCACACAACAACUUCAAUUGAUAUUAAUUAACUUUUAAUUUUAAAUGAAAUUAUGUUAGUAUGAUAUAACUUCGGUUCAAAUCAGAUUACAUUAAAUUCAUAACACGGAUGUAAUCUGAUUUUGACUAAGACGGUAAAAAAUAACACGAUUUUAUUUGGAAUAAAAAAAAGAGUACAUAUACUUAAAACAACUUUACCUAUUACAUUGAAAUUGUUUUUUUUUCUUCAGUAAAUAAUAAUGAAAUUAAAUGGGUUCACUUUAGGGGUAGUUCAACCCUUAUCCAGCAUAAUGAUGUUCAAAGAGUACCUUUCCAUCUACAUAUCAACAAACAACACCUCCUACUGUCUAUCCCGUCUCUACCAAUAAAAAAAAGAAUAACAAGGAUCAACCCUUAUAAAAAUACUAAAUUGAAUGCAUACAUACCAAGGGUUCUAGACACCAAUGAGAGAAUGAGAAAUUAGUUGACGACAUCUUUGAUGAGAUCAAGACCAAACCUUAACCUGUGCUAGAGAGAAAACUUCAGUAUGAUCAACCACUCCACCUUUAAAUAAACAGUUAUUCAUGUGCCUCCAUAUCUCGCUAACCAACGCAAUCCACACGUUGUUCAUAAUAAGAUUAACUGAAGUGGGUGCAUCCAGAAUCUUGAAAUGUUCAAAAUGAGACUCAGGAUCCAUAAAAUCGACUGAUCUUACUCCUAAACAGUCAUAACAAAGAUUCCAAAUUAGCCAAGCAACUCUGCAUUCGCAGAACAAAUGAUUUGUUGACUCCUCUGACCUUUUACAUAACCAACACAGAUUACUCUCAACCUUGAUACCUCUUAUCUCCAGAUUAACGCUACAAACAACAUUGUUUUCAAUCACUCUCCAAGUUGUGACUGGAGCUGAGGGAAGUACCUUAAUUUUCUAGAAAAAUUUAUAUCUUCUUCAGUCCUCCUCACUUCCUUCUUCCCUUAAAAAACCAUAAGCGUUCUUAACUGAAAACUAUGUUGACUCAUUAUCCUUCCAUACCCAUUAUCCAUUGUUUCCAUCUUGAGUCGCUUAUAGAGAUCAUCUCUAAGAGUUGAUUUUCUUGCUCCUAUUCCCAAGCAAACAGACCCCUUUUCCACCUUAAGUUCCACUCCUAGGUCCCAUUCUCAUAUUCCACAAUCACAUAAAUUUUCCUCCUUAUUAACAGACAAAGAAAAUAACCUUAGAAAUCUGCGUUUCAAGUCUUCUAAUCUAUCCAAUUGUCUGACCAAAACAUAACAUAUCUCUCGUUUCCAACCUCCAAAUUCAAACGAUCUUCAAACUUCCCUCCCCAUUCCUGAAACCUCUAGACCUUCCUUAAGACCUUACUAUUAUUAUCUUUUUUCUCCUUCAAACCUCUCCAUCCUCCAUACUUAGAUUCCAAUACCUCCAUCCAAAACCCCUUGUUUCCGUUUUCAGGUGCCAAAUCCAUUUUCCCAACAGAGCCAAAUUAAAUUGCCUGACAUUAAUAAUAUCGAGCCCUCCUGCUUCCCUGGAUUUACAAACCUUAUCACAUGCCACCCAUGCAAUCUUCCUUCCAUCUGACCUCCAUCCCCACAAAAAAUUUCUCUACAGACUCACAAUCUUCUUUAAAACAAUAAAUGAUAUCUUGAAUAGAGAAAGAUAGAACAAAGGUAUGGACGACAAAACUUACUUAAUUAAGCAUAUCCUCCCCGCCAUCAAGAUAAAUUUUCCUUUCCACCUUCCUAGCCUUUUCUUUACCCUGUUAAUCACUUCAUCCUAGAACUCACCCCUCUUAUGACACCCCCUACAGGCAUCCCCAAAUAUUUAAAAGGAAUUCUCAUCACCUUACAAUUUAGAAUUGUCGCAAAGUGGAGAAUCUCUAUCUGCUCCACCCCGAGAAAUUCACCUUAAGACUAGAUGGCAAUUCAAAACAGUUCAACAUAACCUUUAUAUUAAAUACGCUUUUGAUCUUUGGAGCUAACGGGUCACCUUGCUUCAACCCUUUCUUUGGAAUAAAUUCCUUAGUAGGAUUCCCGUUUACGAGAAUUGACAUCAACGUUGAUUCCAAGCAAGCUUUAAUCCAGGAAAUCCAUUUUUCACAAAAGCCAAUCCUUCCUAGCAUAUAAUAUAUAAAUCCCACCUCACAGAGUCGUAAGCCUUCUCAUAAUCCACCUUGAAAAACACACAAUUUUUCUUCUUCCUCUUAAACUCUUCUAAAGCUUUAUUGGCUACCAAAAUACUAUCCAAUAACCCUCUUCUUUCAAGAAAGGUUGAUUGCCUAACGUCGAUAACUUUACUGAUCACUUUUUUCAACCUGAUAGAAAAAAUCUUUGAAACUGUUUUAUACACACACCCUACCAACAAAUUCGGUCUAUAAUCAUUAAGUUGUUGCAUAUUAUCAUUCUUAGGAAUCAAACAAAUGAAAGAAGCAUUUGAUUCCUUAGGCCACCUACCAUUGACCAUAAAAUCAUUUACCGCCGAGACAAAAUCUUCCUUAAGACAACCCCAACAAAACUUAAUGAAACUGAAAUUAAAACCGUCAGGACCAGGGCCCUUCGAACCAUCACAACUACAAACAACGUUAUUAAUUUCUUCUUCAGAGACUACUCCAACUAGAGACACAUUAUCUUCUUUUGAUAACGAGGUGAAUCGAACAUUGUCCAACCUAACCACUGGCUCGGACUCCCUGGCGAAUCUAGCUUCGAAAAACUUUCUGACCUUAGUCAUUACCACCUCCUUCUCCUCACACCACUGAACGUUCACUUCUACCCCGUUGAUCCCGUUUCUCAUUCUUCUCCACUUCAUAGAUGAGUGGAACUUUUUUGUAUUUAAGUCGCCUUGUUUCAACCAACUUUUCCUUGCUUUUUGUUGCACAACCGUUUCUUGUUUAAAUAAGUUUCGACUUUGUUCAGUCAACAAUAGUAUCAUCUCCUCUCGCCCAAACUCAUCUAAAAUGCCUUCGUCGUCUUUUGUUUCCAACUCUUGAAUUUUAUUUUGUAAUAAAAUACCUUCUUGAUUGACGUUCCCAAAAACCUCUUUAAUCCACUUUUUCAAAUCUAAUUUUGAUCUCUUCAAUUUCUCUUUUAGUACAAACGUCCCUCCUCCCUACAUUUCAUAACUCUGCCAUUUACUCCAAAAAAAUUCUAAAAAUCUUCCAUCUCUUUGCCACACGUCUAGACUUCUGAAAGGUUUCGACCCUCAAUCUACCGACAUUGUUUUGAGCACUAUAGUACAAUGAUUAGAAACCAUUGUACUGAGAACUAAUUGUUUACUAUUCGGCCAUACAUCCAACCAUUCCCUAGAAAUAAGAAUCCUGUCAAUUUUGCUCUUAAUCGUCCCAAUUGGCUUGUACCAAGUGAAAUUUCUUCCAACCAUCGGAAUAUUCAACAAUUUUGCAUUUUCGAUAAAACCAUUGAACCCCUGAUUUCUGUACAAUAAUAUGAUACUGAAACUGGGCUUUUUCUCUCCUUCCUUCUAAUUGAAUUGAAGUACUCAACAACACACCACACCAUGUUUUGUUUACUCUUCCUGAGGUCACUAAUCUCAUCACAUACCUCUUUCCGUGCUUUCAACGAUCCAGAGUUGUACACAUUCAUUAUCAUAAGUUGUACCCUAUUUCCUACUUUCCAAACUCCUUCGAUAACCAAAUAAGAUUUUCCAUUAAAGUAUCUCAUCAUAUAAAAACUACUUCUUCUCCAUAUAGUAAUAAUUUCUCCUGCAUUAUUAACUGCCCCAUUCUCCAUCCAUUCAAUUUCAUUUGAGCCCCACAAAUAAUAGCAAUGCUCCUUACUAAUCACUAAGCACUUUGUCUCCUACAGACAUACCAUUCCAACCUCCUCUUUUCUAAUCAAGUCUCUUAAGUAUGUUCUUUUCGUACUUAUGCCAAUCUCCCUUAUAUUCAUGCUAAUUAGACUCAUCAUCAGAAACACAAUUCUCCAUCUGACUACAUUUGUAGUCCCGACUGUCCAAACUACCAAGUCUAUUUAAAACAACCUCUUCUUAUUUUAACAAAGUGAAACCCAUCUCCUUACCAGAUUUCCAUGCCCUCCUGAUUUCGCCCUGCUCAUCUUUUAACCGCAGCAUUUUCCUAUACUUUCUAACAUCUCUAACUGAGAUAGUAAUUUCUGACCUUAAACCCUUUAACGAAACUGACUUAGAUAAUCUUUCAACCAAUGGUGAAUUUUUGUCUCUCAAAACGAACAUAUCGCCUCCCCCUCCACCAAUAUUGUCCAUCAACCUCCCCACCGGACAACUUGCAGAAAUUGUCUCCAUCCUACAUGCCUUAUUCUUUGGUGUCGAUACCACCACUGCUCUAUCGUCGACAUCUGCGACCUUUACACUCCGUACUAACCCCACCGAGCUCAUCUUUUUCGUGGCGUUUGCUGUCUCAUCAUCUGUCUCGCACACAACAGUUCCUUUGCUUCCAUAGUCAAUCCUCCUCACCUCACCUUUUUCCUCCUAAAUCUGCCCUGCCCCUCCCACCUAACAGCCACCAUUCGCCUCUCCCUUUCGUGUCGUCGCCCCACCUCGAACACUCGCUAGCACCAUCCGCUGCGACGCACAAUCGUGGUGCAGAUGCGUGAGAACUGGCUCCGGCGUACGCUUUGAUUGUUGUCGCCUACGAUUUUGGCACAACCCUUGCUUCCUCAUCGCCACCCAUCAUCGUUUUUUCCUCGGCCAGCGCUCCAAUCGUCAUGAGUCAUGUCCCCGCGCCGUUCCCCUUUGACAGUGGUAGAGGUGAGACGUCGUCGACUUUCUCCACUGCGUCGAGCGUCGCCGUCCACGUCGCCACCCUUUUUUCUCCUCCUGCCUCUCCACCGUGCCCUCCACUAACGUUGCGGGUUUCGCCGCCGCUAUUAAUAUCCACUAAGAUUUUAUUCCGUGCCUCAUCUUUUUCCAAGUUAAUAAUCCCCUCUUUCCUUGGUUCCAACAUACCAUUGUGACUCUUCCUGACAUAAACAAUUCCUCCAUUAAUGCAUGUGCCGCCUUUUGAAAUUUCUUCCUUUUUUUUCAGAAAUUGAACAGUCGUCUCCUCCCUUUUCCCUCUCCUUGUCUACCAUCGUGAUCUAAGUACUCGGACUCUGAAAAUUCUUCACCAAUGCUAGAGUCAAGUUGUGCUUCCGAUUCAUCCUCUGAAGCCACCCCCCACUUGUGAAACAGAUUUCCAAACGAAGGAACAUGGAAAUUUUCUUCCUCAGAAAAAACCUAACAUAGCCUAUCACUUAUCCUCAUUGAUUUCGCCAGUCUUACCUCCUCGCCCAAUGGGAUUCUAAUACACAACCUCGCAUACUCUAACACCUCCUUAGAAAUUAUUCCUUCAUCAACCUCUACAAGCGUUCCUACAAGAACCCCUAUGCAUUCAAAACAUUGGUUAAUCCAAAGAGCCAACGAUAUACCCCUGCAUCGGAACCAAGCUAUCUUCUCAAAAAUCGCAAAAGAGUCAUCCCAUGGAACAAUUGAUUCAAAAUUACCUUCAAACCAUUCUUUGUUGUCUGCAAUCAACCUCUUAAUUUGUCCCUCUUCUUCACAUGAUAGCAGCACGUACACCCCCCUUAAGAUUCUCCCCCUUACUAAAUUAAAUCCUCCCAAAAUAAACUCUCCUUAAUAUUUUGCACAUCCGUUGUUUUUGACAUUUUCCCGAUGAAGCAUCUCUCCAACCAAAAAGACGUCUCUGCAUUAACUCUAACAUGUGGCCAAAAUUCAUCUUCUCCCUUAUGAUCGGAUCUCGCUUUUCCACCCCUGACUGCUUGUGCAUAUAUAAGAGCACUGUUGAUUCUUUUGGUUCCAAACUUUCCAAUAAUAAAUUUGUCUCAGCGAAGUGUGCAUUGACUUCUCUUGCCUUUUGUAUUUCGGUUUGUAUUCCUGAAGCUUCCAUGUACCAAUCCAAAAAGAAUCAAGUUGUUUUUCUAAAGCAUACCCAUCCUUAACGUCAUGAAAUCUGACAAAAACCAAAGCGUUUUUUCCCUAACUUUCUAGAUAUGAAGACAUCUAUAACCCUUCCCCAACGUUUAAAAACCCUCCAUAAAUCCUUUUCUUGAAAUUCAUUUGGAAAAUUAGUGAAAAAGAAAGUAGCUUCUGCCGUCUUCAAUUGCCAAAACACUAGUACAAAAAAGUAAAUUAACGACGGUUAAAAUUGACAUUUAAAGACGAUUCCGGAAUCGUCGUUAUUACCGGCGUCGUUAAAAGGUAUGGUUUUUUAACGACGGUUCCCAUAACCGUCGUUAAAACGCGCGACUUAUAACGACGGUUCCCACAACCGUCGUUAAAAAUGGGGUUGCGUUUUUUGAUUUCAAAAAUUGAAGGCACUUUUAAAGACGGUUCCCAUAGGAACCGUCGUUAUAAGUAUGGGUUUUAAAGACGGUUCCAAGUGGAACUGUCGUUAUAUGUCUUUAUUAAAAAAAAAAAAUCUUUUAAAAAUCUUUUAAAAAUCUCAAAUAACCUGCUUAAAAAGUUUUCAAUUCCAUAAAAUAAAAACAUUUCAAAUUAUAAUUUAAAUAUAAAAAUUAAAUACAACAAAUUAUAACAUUAUAAAAAAAAGUUUGGUAGUAUAUAAAAAAAUUUGUCAUUGUAAUGAUUUAUCUAUACUAGAGUGUUAUACAUGGUUACAAAAUACUUUGACCAUGUUGUUCUCACAUACUCCAAUGCUUCUAAAUCUAGCGGGUGUUGGUCGUUGAACAACUGUGACAUUUGAAAUAUUUUGAAUUAGUGCAUGAAUAAUAAAUCUCAAAUUUUAAAGUGUUUAUUGUAUUGAGGUAUUACCUUAUCCCAACCUUUCUUAAUUUCAGCUUGCAAAAUAGUCAACAUCCACUGCAUAACAUAAUAACCGCACUCAUAAUUUUCAGGUUGCCUGUUGGACUGCAUGUGAAAAUAAAUGUAUUAAAUGAAUGAGUGAAACACAUUAAAUUAAGUAAACAAAUAUACUCUAAAUACCUUAAGGUACAUCCAAGUGAGUUUUUGUGCGUUUGAAGUUCUCCUCCCACACAACAUAUUAUAUCCAGAGUAAGCACUAAAAUAAUAAGAUUUCAUGUUAGAAUACAUAACAUUAUAUAAUAUAUAAGUAAUAAUAAAUGUUAAAUGAAACUCUCGUACCUAUCUAUAAUGUUUUUAAAAUAGGCAGGAGGUUUUUUAUGCAAGGAGCAAAACCAUGCNNNNNNNNNNNNNNNNNNNNNNNNNNNNNNNNNNNNNNNNNNNNNNNNNNNNNNNNNNNNNNNNNNNNNNNNNNNNNNNNNNNNNNNNNNNNNNNNNNNNNNNNNNNNNNNNNNNNNNNNNNNNNNNNNNNNNNNNNNNNNNNNNNNNNNNNNNNNNNNNNNNNNNNNNNNNNNNNNNNNNNNNNNNNNNNNNNNNNNNNNNNNNNNNNNNNNNNNNNNNNNNNNNNNNNNNNNNNNNNNNNNNNNNNNNNNNNNNNNNNNNNNNNNNNNNNNNNNNNNNNNNNNNNNNNNNNNNNNNNNNNNNNNNNNNNNNNNNNNNNNNNNNNNNNNNNNNNNNNNNNNNNNNNNNNNNNNNNNNNNNNNNNNNNNNNNNNNNNNNNNNNNNNNNNNNNNNNNNNNNNNNNNNNNNNNNNNNNNNNNNNNNNNNNNNNNNNNNNNNNNNNNNNNNNNNNNNNNNNNNNNNNNNNNNNNNNNNNNNNNNNNNNNNNNNNNNNNNNNNNNNNNNNNNNNNNNNNNNNNNNNNNNNNNNNNNNNNNNNNNNNNNNNNNNNNNNNNNNNNNNNNNNNNNNNNNNNNNNNNNNNNNNNNNNNNNNNNNNNNNNNNNNNNNNNNNNNNNNNNNNNNNNNNNNNNNNNNNNNNNNNNNNNNNNNNNNNNNNNNNNNNNNNNNNNGCAAGAUCACCAUAAAGGACCUUCUCCACCGUGACCUUCAUGAAAUUAGAAGGAAGAGGCACAUUGUGUAACAUUGUUCAUAACACUUACCCAAGGCAACGAAUCGGGUCAAAGAAUUACACUCAACAUAUAGUUCGCAUUGGCUAGUUGAGCCAAAGUCAUCCCCUGAUAGAUGAACUGCCGAACAACUCCCUUUAGUGCUGACUUUCUUAAUAGGAGGCGGAGGUGGUUCAUCUUGUACCAUAGUUGGUGGUUGCUGUGAGUGUCCUAAACCCUCCAACCGCUUUUUGAACUCCAUUUCCAUUCGCGCACUAAACUCCUCCAUGAAGCUUUCUUUAAGCUCUUGAGUUACCUCANNNNNNNNNNNNNNNNNNNNNNNNNNNNNNNNNNNNNNNNNNNNNNNNNNNNNNNNNNNNNNNNNNNNNNNNNNNNNNNNNNNNNNNNNNNNNNNNNNNNUACUCUUGGCUAGGUUCAUUGGAAAAUUGUUCCUUGCUGUGUGAUGGAGCUCCAAAGUAUGACCGAAUCCCAACCCCAUAUCCAGCUACACGAACACAUCCAGGGUGUUCAGGUCGUCCGAGAGCAACAUUAAGAAUAUCAUUGCGACCACAUGGUUUAAAAGUCCCCUGUGUUGAUUGCUCAUUAAGAGAAUCCUAAAACAAAUGAAAAGAAAUUGACAAACUUCAACACAUUGAAUUUAAAAUAACACAUAGAAUUUAAAAUAACACAUUGAAAAGAAAUUGUCAAACUUACAAUGCGUUCAACUGUUUGUUCUGUAGACUUAGAACUCCAUGUCCCUAAUGUGUUUAUACGGGCACACUUCCACAUCUCAUGUCGGAGUGGUGGGGAUGGAGGUCUUAAAGAAUCUACACUAUUCAUUUCCUCAAUGGAAGUAGAACGUGCUUUCAUCUUUUCUUCAAGCAUCUUCUGCUCUAGCAACUUAUANNNNNNNNNNNNNNNNNNNNNNNNNNNNNNNNNNNNNNNNNNNNNNNNNNNNNNNNNNNNNNNNNNNNNNNNNNNNNNNNNNNNNNNNNNNNNNNNNNNNAAUACGUUAAUAUAAACUAUAUUCAAAUAUAAAAGUGAUACUAACCUGCCAUUUUUCAGUUUGUCGAAUAUUGACAAACUGCUGCCAAGUUUCUUCAUCAAUGGAUGCAUAUUUUGCACAAGGAUUUUCUUCUUUUCUUUUCCCAUAUAUAUAAUCUGUUGUCAAUUUUGAUUUGAACUGACACUACAAGAAAAACCUGUAUUACCCAUGGAUAAUUACCCAUGAACUUUUUUUGGUAUGUAAAUAGGUUUUUACCUACCAAAAAUUUUGUAGGUAAUGUUAUUGAACAUAAAAAGGGGAGAAAGGACUUUACCUACGAAAGUUAAGGUGGUGGGAAAGUUUUUAAUGUAUUUUAAAGUAAUUUUUUUUUUUUUUUUAAAAAUAUGUUGGUUUCCUUCCGAGGAACAUUCCUCUCCACUCACCUCUCAAACACUCUCAAACUCUUCUCAAACACUCUCACACUCUUGCUCCCUUGACUGAAACAGGUUUCUUAAACUGAAACACGAGUUUUUGUUUGAAAACGUCAAUGGAGGUUCUGAAAUCCUAAACCAAACCGUGAGAAUGUGAGAAACCGAAACUGUAACACCUUCGAAGCUCCAAAACGGCCAAAGAAUGAAACUUUGAAGUUCCCGUUUUUUCUCUCCCAGUCUCUGUUUCAUUCGAAGAUUUCAACCCAAAUUCGUGUCUUCCGAAAUCUACACAGAAAUCCCCAAUUUUUGGUUUCAAUUUGUGAAACCAAAAGCCCUAAUCUGGUGUUCGUGAUUGUAAACCUAAAUCUUGAAUGGUGACUUCGAAAAUUUCGUGAAAACCCAAUGGAAAGCGUCGUCGUGGUCGUCGUGGUGGCCUGAAGCGCAGACGUUUCAAGGGCGAUUUACAGAGGCUUAUUCAAAGGUAUUGAAUUUUUUUUCUUUGAUUUAGUGUACGAUAAUGUUCAGUUGGAUUACUUAACAUUUAAAGUGAGUUUAGAGAGGUGACCGGUGCGAUGCGGCGGUGCGAUGCGGUGGCUCACCGCUUCCACCGUUUAGCACCUAUAAAUAAUACCUAUAAUAAGCAAGCACAUAUUCCCUUACCUGUACUUCCUUCUCUGUUCAGUAUUCUGUUUUUUCUCUGUUCGGAAUUCCCAAUUGGGUUUCCUUCCUUCAGCUUUCUCUUGGAUUCAAUUCUACGUUCAGUUACAUACCACUAUAAUGUAAUAAAAUGUUUCAAUUCUAUGUUUCACCUUCAACUUUCUCAUUCUUGUGAUUUUUACUUAAUUGAUUUAUUGGUUUGUUAAAUCCAUGGGUAAUUAUCCAUGGUUGAAUGCAGGGAUUAAGAGUCUGUUUAUAUACACUUUUUCUUGCAUUCACCUAAAAUACAAAACAAGCUCAAAAUAUAACUAGUUUAUUAAUUCCACAUUGGUAUUCAGUUAAUUUUUGUCUCUAUUAUUUGAGGAAUGGGGGUAGUUAUUGAGAAUUGCGUUCAACCAUAUAUGGAAAAUGUGUUUCUCUAUAAUUUGAAACAGAGUUUCUUGUUAAAGAUGUUAAUGGCUAUUUUAGUGUUGUCGUCUUUAAUAGUAGAUACUGAUAGAGAUUGACAUGUUUGUUACAAUUGAUGUGCAGCUUAAUAACUUUCCUCUAAUGUCUAAAAUUGGUCUGUGAGAGAGAUUAUAGAUUGAAAACUCACAUGGUGUUUUUUGCGCGUGGUUUAUGAAAAAGGAAAGGAAAUAAUUAUGUUAAAUUUACGUACACAUAUGUUAAAUUGGUGUCAAUCUUUGAGACCUACAACCAUAUGUAUAUAUAAUAUCUAUCUGUGUGAAAUAAGCUCAAAGCAAAGCAAUUUCCUCAAUGGUCCUACACAAAUGAUGCCUUGACAAGGAGAUGACGAUGGCCAUGAUGAGCAUCAUGAUCUCAAUAACAUGAUCAUNNNNNNNNNNNNNNNNNNNNNNNNNNNNNNNNNNNNNNNNNNNNNNNNNNNNNNNNNNNNNNNNNNNNNNNNNNNNNNNNNNNNNNNNNNNNNNNNNNNNNNNNNNNNNNNNNNNNNNNNNNNNNNNNNNNNNNNNNNNNNNNNNNNNNNNNNNNNNNNNNNNNNNNNNNNNNNNNNNNNNNNNNNNNNNNNNNNNNNNNNNNNNNNNNNNNNNNNNNNNNNNNNNNNNNNNNNNNNNNNNNNNNNNNNNNNNNNNNNNNNNNNNNNNNNNNNNNNNNNNNNNNNNNNNNNNNNNNNNNNNNNNNNNNNNNNNNNNNNNNNNNNNNNNNNNNNNNNNNNNNNNNNNNNNNNNNNNNNNNNNNNNNNNNNNNNNNNNNNNNNNNNNNNNNNNNNNNNNNNNNNNNNNNNNNNNNNNNNNNNNNNNNNNNNNNNNNNNNNNNNNNNNNNNNNNNNNNNNNNNNNNNNNNNNNNNNNNNNNNNNNNNNNNNNNNNNNNNNNNNNNNNNNNNNNNNNNNNNNNNNNNNNNNNNNNNNNNNNNNNNNNNNNNNNNNNNNNNNNNNNNNNNNNNNNNNNNNNNNNNNNNNNNNNNNNNNNNNNNNNNNNNNNNNNNNNNNNNNNNNNNNNNNNNNNNNNNNNNNNNNNNNNNNNNNNNNNNNNNNNNNNNNNNNNNNNNNNNNNNNNNNNNNNNNNNNNNNNNNNNNNNNNNNNNNNNNNNNNNNNNNNNACAAUUCAUUGUUACACAUUACUUGCUAGUUCAGGGUGAAGUAACUUAUAAUACUCUUUUUUAAUACAUUAAAGGGCUAAAGGCAUCUUUGUGGCAACUUCAAUCUUUAGUCUUUAGUUGUCGUUGGUUCAGAACAUGGAAUUGUUUCAUGUAAAUCGUAGUUGGAUGUACGAUAGAUGCUAUAUUGGCAGAGGGGGUUUAAAAGAAAGUUUUGUGAAUGGGGUUGAAGAGUUUGUCAUUAAAGCUUGUCAACAACAGUCUUAUUUGAAUGAAAGGGAGCUUAGAUGUCCAUGCGAUAAAUGUCAAUGUACAAAGAUUUUUCCAAUUGAAAUGGUCAAGCUUCACCUCUAUAAAAACGGUUUCAUGUAUGAUUAUCAUGUUUGGAUUCAUCAUGGUGAACAAGUGCCACAUGUUAAUGACAAUGACGAUCACGUUCGUGUUUCAAGUAGUGAUGUACAUGUGGAUGAAAGUGAACAAUUUGUAGCAAUGCAAGACAUGGUGCACGAUGCUCUUGGGCAACAUGACACAUUUGAACCAUCUAAUUUUAAUAACAGAGAGGAGCCUCCCAAUGAAGAAGCUCAGAGAUUUUAUGAUCUGUUGUUAGAGGCUAAUGAGCCAUUGUUUGUAGGGGCUGUAGAUUCUAAAUUAUCAAUGUGUAUGAAAUUGUUAGCUUGCAAGUCUAAUUGGAAUGUUCCUAACCAAUGCUUAGAUUUUAUCACAACAAUGUUGUCAGAUGCUACACCAAUAAAAGAGGGUUUGCCAAAAAGUUAUUAUGAUGCUAAGAGGUUAGUGUCAAUGUUGGGGUUGAAGGCUAAGAGGAUAGAUUGUUGUGUAAAAGGUUGUAUGCUUUUUUAUGAAAAUGAAUAUGGGAAAAAUGAUGGACGACUACUACAGUGUAAAUUUUGUCAUCAUGCACGAUAUCAUGACCCAAGAGUUGGAACAAGUAAAAGAAAACCAAUUCCUCUGAAAAGAAUGUUCUAUUUUCCAUUCCAAGAUUACAAAGAUUGUUUGCAUCUAUGCAAACUUCAGGACAAAUGACAUGGCACUAUGAUAAUAGAAGACCUUCGGGUGUGCUACGACAUCCCUCAAAUGGUGAAGCUUGGAAACAUUUUGAUCAAUUACAUCCUGAAUUUGCCGUUGAGCCACGUAAUGUACGACUUGGUUUAUGCUCUGAUGGAUUUAAUCCAUAUAUUCAAGCAUCAGCAAAACCUUACUCUUGUUGGCCAGUAAUUGUCACCCCAUAUAAUCUUCCUCCUGAAAUGUGCAUGUCUAGACCCUAUAUGUUUUUGAGUUGUCUCAUUCCCGGUCCACAUAAUCCGAAGGCUCGUAUCGAUGUUUAUUUGCAACCACUUAUCGAUGAUCUUAAAAAGUUGUGGAGUGGUGUUGAAACAUACGAUAUUUCAAGGAAGCAAAACUUUAUGAUGCGAGCAAGUCUAAUGUGGACAAUUAAUGACUUCCCUGCAUAUGGCAUGUUGUCUGGUUGGGGGACUAAAGGUAAAUUGGCUUGCCCAUAUUGCAUGGAGCACACAAAGGCCUUUAGAUUAGAACAUGGACAAAAAAAUAGUUGGUUUGACUCACACCGUAGGUUCUUGCCUAAUGAUCAUACAUUUAGGAGGAAUAAAAAGGCUUUAAAAAAGGACAAAGUUGAAAUGGGUGGACCACCACCUAUGUUGACAUCUGAAGAGGUUUGGAAUAUAGUUAGGAAUCUACCAACAGUCAUAGAUGAGCCUCACAGGUCGAAAUUACCAGGUUAUGGAGAGUGGCAUAAUUGGACAAAAAGAAGNNNNNNNNNNNNNNNNNNNNNNNNNNNNNNNNNNNNNNNNNNNNNNNNNNNNNNNNNNNNNNNNNNNNNNNNNNNNNNNNNNNNNNNNNNNNNNNNNNNNNNNNNNNNNNNNNNNNNNNNNNNNNNNNNNNNNNNNNNNNNNNNNNNNNNNNNNNNNNNNNNNNNNNNNNNNNNNNNNNNNNNNNNNNNNNNNNNNNNNNNNNNNNNNNNNNNNNNNNNNNNNNNNNNNNNNNNNNNNNNNNNNNNNNNNNNNNNNNNNNNNNNNNNNNNNNNNNNNNNNNNNNNNNNNNNNNNNNNNNNNNNNNNNNNNNNNNNNNNNNNNNNNNNNNNNNNNNNNNNNNNNNNNNNNNNNNNNNNNNNNNNNNNNNNNNNNNNNNNNNNNNNNNNNNNNNNNNNNNNNNNNNNNNNNNNNNNNNNNNNNNNNNNNNNNNNNNNNNNNNNNNNNNNNNNNNNNNNNNNNNNNNNNNNNNNNNNNNNNNNNNNNNNNNNNNNNNNNNNNNNNNNNNNNNNNNNNNNNNNNNNNNNNNNNNNNNNNNNNNNNNNNNNNNNNNNNNNNNNNNNNNNNNNNNNNNNNNNNNNNNNNNNNNNNNNNNNNNNNNNNNNNNNNNNNNNNNNNNNNNNNNNNNNNNNNNNNNNNNNNNNNNNNNNNNNNNNNNNNNNNNNNNNNNNNNNNNNNNNNNNNNNNNNNNNNNNNNNNNNNNNNNNNNNNNNNNNNNNNNNNNNNNNNNNNNNNNNNNNNNNNNNNNNNNNNNNNNNNNNNNNNNNNNNNNNNNNNNNNNNNNNNNNNNNNNNNNNNNNNNNNNNNNNNNNNNNNNNNNNNNNNNNNNNNNNNNNNNNNNNNNNNNNNNNNNNNNNNNNNNNNNNNNNNNNNNNNNNNNNNNNNNNNNNNNNNNNNNNNNNNNNNNNNNNNNNNNNNNNNNNNNNNNNNNNNNNNNNNNNNNNNNNNNNNNNNNNNNNNNNNNNNNNNNNNNNNNNNNNNNNNNNNNNNNNNNNNNNNNNNNNNNNNNNNNNNNNNNNNNNNNNNNNNNNNNNNNNNNNNNNNNNNNNNNNNNNNNNNNNNNNNNNNNNNNNNNNNNNNNNNNNNNNNNNNNNNNNNNNNNNNNNNNNNNNNNNNNNNNNNNNNNNNNNNNNNNNNNNNNNNNNNNNNNNNNNNNNNNNNNNNNNNNNNNNNNNNNNNNNNNNNNNNNNNNNNNNNNNNNNNNNNNNNNNNNNNNNNNNNNNNNNNNNNNNNNNNNNNNNNNNNNNNNNNNNNNNNNNNNNNNNNNNNNNNNNNNNNNNNNNNNNNNNNNNNNNNNNNNNNNNNNNNNNNNNNNNNNNNNNNNNNNNNNNNNNNNNNNNNNNNNNNNNNNNNNNNNNNNNNNNNNNNNNNNNNNNNNNNNNNNNNNNNNNNNNNNNNNNNNNNNNNNNNNNNNNNNNNNNNNNNNNNNNNNNNNNNNNNNNNNNNNNNNNNNNNNNNNNNNNNNNNNNNNNNNNNNNNNNNNNNNNNNNNNNNNNNNNNNNNNNNNNNNNNNNNNNNNNNNNNNNNNNNNNNNNNNNNNNNNNNNNNNNNNNNNNNNNNNNNNNNNNNNNNNNNNNNNNNNNNNNNNNNNNNNNNNNNNNNNNNNNNNNNNNNNNNNNNNNNNNNNNNNNNNNNNNNNNNNNNNNNNNNNNNNNNNNNNNNNNNNNNNNNNNNNNNNNNNNNNNNNNNNNNNNNNNNNNNNNNNNNNNNNNNNNNNNNNNNNNNNNNNNNNNNNNNNNNNNNNNNNNNNNNNNNNNNNNNNNNNNNNNNNNNNNNNNNNNNNNNNNNNNNNNNNNNNNNNNNNNNNNNNNNNNNNNNNNNNNNNNNNNNNNNNNNNNNNNNNNNNNNNNNNNNNNNNNNNNNNNNNNNNNNNNNNNNNNNNNNNNNNNNNNNNNNNNNNNNNNNNNNNNNNNNNNNNNNNNNNNNNNNNNNNNNNNNNNNNNNNNNNNNNNNNNNNNNNNNNNNNNNNNNNNNNNNNNNNNNNNNNNNNNNNNNNNNNNNNNNNNNNNNNNNNNNNNNNNNNNNNNNNNNNNNNNNNNNNNNNNNNNNNNNNNNNNNNNNNNNNNNNNNNNNNNNNNNNNNNNNNNNNNNNNNNNNNNNNNNNNNNNNNNNNNNNNNNNNNNNNNNNNNNNNNNNNNNNNNNNNNNNNNNNNNNNNNNNNNNNNNNNNNNNNNNNNNNNNNNNNNNNNNNNNNNNNNNNNNNNNNNNNNNNNNNNNNNNNNNNNNNNNNNNNNNNNNNNNNNNNNNNNNNNNNNNNNNNNNNNNNNNNNNNNNNNNNNNNNNNNNNNNNNNNNNNNNNNNNNNNNNNNNNNNNNNNNNNNNNNNNNNNNNNNNNNNNNNNNNNNNNNNNNNNNNNNNNNNNNNNNNNNNNNNNNNNNNNNNNNNNNNNNNNNNNNNNNNNNNNNNNNNNNNNNNNNNNNNNNNNNNNNNNNNNNNNNNNNNNNNNNNNNNNNNNNNNNNNNNNNNNNNNNNNNNNNNNNNNNNNNNNNNNNNNNNNNNNNNNNNNNNNNNNNNNNNNNNNNNNNNNNNNNNNNNNNNNNNNNNNNNNNNNNNNNNNNNNNNNNNNNNNNNNNNNNNNNNNNNNNNNNNNNNNNNNNNNNNNNNNNNNNNNNNNNNNNNNNNNNNNNNNNNNNNNNNNNNNNNNNNNNNNNNNNNNNNNNNNNNNNNNNNNNNNNNNNNNNNNNNNNNNNNNNNNNNNNNNNNNNNNNNNNNNNNNNNNNNNNNNNNNNNNNNNNNNNNNNNNNNNNNNNNNNNNNNNNNNNNNNNNNNNNNNNNNNNNNNNNNNNNNNNNNNNNNNNNNNNNNNNNNNNNNNNNNNNNNNNNNNNNNNNNNNNNNNNNNNNNNNNNNNNNNNNNNNNNNNNNNNNNNNNNNNNNNNNNNNNNNNNNNNNNNNNNNNNNNNNNNNNNNUUCAUCAUUAAACAACAAUAUUGUCAGCCAUGGCUUACAUGGGGUUCAAUGACUGAUGAAGACAGAGAAAUCUUCUUCAAACGUUUUAAAGUAUUUCUUCUUAUAUUUAAUAUUAACAAUACUUUUUCUAUGUUUCUUUUGGUAUUUGGCAUCUUCCAUAAUUGAAUUCUCAGUUAUUAUUUAUUUAAAGUGUUGUAUUAAAAAAUUCUUCACUUUUUUAACUAUAAAUUUUGUGUUUACAUAGAAAAAAGUCUGUUGGAAACCUGAACAUGAGGAAAGGAUUAAAAAAAACUUCCACUCAAAAGCCGCACAUAGGUUAUCUGAAAUGUUCAUGGAAGCUAGAAAAAAUGGGAAAAAGCCUAUUUGGAUGUUUGAUGAUGUCUGGACUUCUUUACUAUCUCAGUGGAAUUUACCUGACUUUCGUUCCAAGUGUAGUCAAAACCAAAAAAACCGAACAUCUGACACAGGUGGUUCUUUACACACAGGUGGCUCCAUUAGUACACAUGAGCAUGCCAUUCGCAUGGUAUGUAUUCACGAAACAUAUAAGUUACAUUGGACUUUGUUUGUAAUUGGUUUUGAAUUAUGUUUUAUGAUUACAUAUUAUUCUAUUAUACAAUGUUUGAAGGUUAGAUAUUUGAUAAUACUACAUUGGAUUAUAUCAAGUUUAAGAAGUUGGAUGGUAUUGUUUUGCAUAAAAAUAAUAUUAUUUAUGUUUGUUGUUUAUAGGCAAAACAGUUGGGUCGUCCUGCAUAUAUUGAUGAGGUAUUUAUGCAGACUCAUACGAAAAAGUAGUGGUGAAUUUGUUGAUGAAAGAUCGAGACGUACACACGUGAGUUACAUUUUGUUGUUAUUUUUCUUUAUUUUAGUUAUAUAUUGUACAUAUGACAUUAAUUUUGUGUAUCAAUAAUAGGAAGAAUUUCAGAGUAAACUUUCCCUAUGUUGUUGUUUAGGAUCCUUCAAGAUCUCAAAUAUAUAGGAAGNNNNNNNNNNNNNNNNNNNNNNNNNNNNNNNNNNNNNNNNNNNNNNNNNNNNNNNNNNNNNNNNNNNNNNNNNNNNNNNNNNNNNNNNNNNNNNNNNNNNNNNNNNNNNNNNNNNNNNNNNNNNNNNNNNNNNNNNNNNNNNNNNNNNNNNNNNNNNNNNNNNNNNNNNNNNNNNNNNNNNNNNNNNNNNNNNNNNNNNNNNNNNNNNNNNNNNNNNNNNGAAAUCAUUGGUUAGUAUCAUUCUUCCUUUCCUUCCUUCCGAAGCACGAAGUUUUGUUGCUCAACAAUCUCAACAAGUAUUGUCGCCACAAGAACCGCCAAGGCAAAAGGAACCACCUACGCAACAACAAGAUGACGAUAAUCAUUAUGCAGAUUAUUAGGAUUAUGUUUGUAGUUUUUUUGAACAACAAAUUACAUUACAAGUUCACUAGACUUUUGAAUUAGGAUUUUUAGUUAUGUUUCAAGUUUGUUUUGAUUUUUAGAUGUUUCAAGUGGACUUGACUUUAUAUUAUGUUAUCUUUUAUAUGAUGAGACUUUAAUUAUGUUAUAUUUGAAUUUGAAAUUAAAUGUGUGUUGGAUAUGUUAAAUUAUACAGGUUUUAAAAAAGGCAUUCAUUUAAAUGUAUGAAUAGACAUUUUGAUGGAUGCAUGAUUACAUACGGAAUUACCUACGGACUGAUGUUCGUGGGUAUUACCCACGGACUGAUGCUCGUGGGUAUUACCCACGGACUGAUGCUCGUGGGUAUUACCCACGGACUGAUGCUCGUGGGUAUUACCCACGGACUGAUGCUCGUGGGUAUUACCCACGGACUGCUGUUACCUACGGGUUCAUAUUUCGUAGGUAAAUUACCGACGCCAACAUUACAUACGAAUUUUUUUCCGUGGGAAAUCCGUAGGUAAUGUUGAUUUACCUACGGAUUUCUGCUGUUACAUACGGAUUUUGUCCGUAGGUAAAUCGGUUUUUUUUUGUAGUGUGACGAAACUUGACACCCACAUCUGAAAGAACCUUCGCUUUCAAGGUUUCCACAUUCGGGAUGUUGUAAUGCGUCUACAUUGUUUGAAAGAAUUAGUUCAUAAACAAAAACAAAGUAUAAAAGAACUUUAGAUUUAGCAAAGUAAAAACAGUUACAUACCAGAAUAUCUUGCCAAAUCAUGUUUUUCUCGUGGUCAGUCACGUGAUCCCAGGAUUGAGUUAAGAUAGAGAUCCUUUCACGAGAAAGUACUCUGAGAUAACUCCUAUAUUUCUUUGCAUGUUGCCCAGUGGGCACACCAGUGUGGAUAUCAAUAGACAAAGGUAUUUUGUCAUCUUUAGUUAUCUUCUUAAACAUAUUCUUCAAUCUUGUAGGUCCUCUACCAGUUUUUGANNNNNNNNNNNNNNNNNNNNNNNNNNNNNNNNNNNNNNNNNNNNNNNNNNNNNNNNNNNNNNNNNNNNNNNNNNNNNNNNNNNNNNNNNNNNNNNNNNNNNNNNNNNNNNNNNNNNNNNNNNNNNNNNNNNNNNNNNNNNNNNNNNNNNNNNNNNNNNNNNNNNNNNNNNNNNNNNNNNNNNNNNNNNNNNNNNNNNNNNNNNNNNNNNNNNNNNNNNNNNNNNNNNNNNNNNNNNNNNNNNNNNNNNNNNNNNNNNNNNNNNNNNNNNNNNNNNNNNNNNNNNNNNNNNNNNNNNNNNNNNNNNNNNNNNNNNNNNNNNNNNNNNNNNNNNNNNNNNNNNNNNNNNNNNNNNNNNNNNNNNNNNNNNNNNNNNNNNNNNNNNNNNNNNNNNNNNNNNNNNNNNNNNNNNNNNNCUGGACGACAUUGAUUCUUCACAUAUCCCUUCAAAAUCUUCAUGUAUCGUUCAAGUGGAUACAUCCAUCGCAUAUAAACUGGCCCACACAAUCUGAUUUCUCUUACAAGAUGAACAACCAAGUGUACCAUAAUAUCAAAAAAAGAUGGAGGAAAAAACAUCUCGAGUUGACACAAGAUAACAAUUAUUUCUUCUUCAAGUUCAUCCAACUUCUGAGAGUCAAUCUCUUUACUACAUAUGGAAUUGAAAAAUGAACAUAGUCGAGUGAUUGUAUGCCUAACAUUUUUGGGCAAGAUUCCACGAAUAGCCACUGGUAAUAAUUGUUGCAUUAGAACGUGACAAUCAUGUGACUUUAAGCCAAUUAGUUUCAAAUCAUUCAUAGAUACAAGACUCUUCACAUUUGAAGAGUAGCCUUGUGGUACCUUAACACCUUUAAGACAUUCACAAAAACUUGUUUUCUCUUUCUUUGACAAAGUGUAACACGCUGCAAGCAAGUAUGUACGUUUACCAACUUCUCUCGGUGCCAAUUCCUCUCGUAUAUUCAUUUCAAUCAAAUCCAGACGUGCAUUCACACCAUCCUUUGUUUUCCCUUUAAUGUUCAGAAGUGUUCCUAUUAGACUGUCACACACAUUCUUCUCUACGUGCAUUACAUCUAGACAGUGUCUAACAUCCAACUUACACCAAUACAGAAGAUCAAAAAAGAUUGAUCUCUUCUUCCAUAUUUCACUCACCGUUUGCUUCUUCUUCAUUUUUCCAAAAGUCACAUUAACAUUUUUGAUUUUUUCAUAAAUUUCAACACCACUUAAUGGAGUGGGACAAAUGUCAUGUUCUUGGUAUCCGUUANNNNNNNNNNNNNNNNNNNNNNNNNNNNNNNNNNNNNNNNNNNNNNNNNNNNNNNNNNNNNNNNNNNNNNNNNNNNNNNNNNNNNNNNNNNNNNNNNNNNNNNNNNNNNNNNNNNNNNNNNNNNNNNNNNNNNNNNNNNNNNNNNNNNNNNNNNGUUCCCAUAAGCAGGGAAGUCAUUGAUAGUACAAAACAACAUCGCAUGCAAUCGGAAAGAUUCAUUUUUAAACGCGUCAAACACAUCAACCCCUUCAUUCCACAAUAAUUUCAAAUCUUCAAUCAAUGGAUUAAGAUAAACAUCUAUGUCAUUUCCAGGUUGUUUUGGACUAGAGAUCAUCAUAGAUAACAUCAUGUAUUUGCGCUUCAUACACAACGCAGGAGGUAAGUUGUAAAUCACUAACAAAACGGGCCAUGAACUAUGAUUACUACUUAAAUUUCCAAAAGGAUUCAUUCCAUCAGUUGCCAAUCCAAGUCUUAAGUUUCUUGAUUCUUUUCCAAAUUCAGGAAAUUCUUUAUCAAUAUUCUUCCACUGCAAAGAAUCAGCAGGAUGACGAAGUAAUCCAUCACAUUUUCUAUUAUCUGCAUGCCACCUAAGGUUUUUAGCGUCAUCUGCAUUUGCAAACAAACGCUUAAGCCUUGGAAUUAUCGGAAGAUACCAAACAACCUUAGCAGGAGGACCUUCCUUUGUCAAUUCAUCAAUUUCAUCAUUCUGACCAACCUUAACCUUACAGCGUGACAAACCACACCUGGGACAUCUUCUUAAAUCUUCAUACUCAUUUCUGUAUAAAAUACAAUCGUUAGGACAUGAAUGUAUUUUUCUAUACUCCAUACCCAUUGGACAAAGUAUUUUUUCGCCUCAUAAUUUCGAUAGGGCAAGGUAUUUCCUUCNNNNNNNNNNNNNNNNNNNNNNNNNNNNNNNNNNNNNNNNNNNNNNNNNNNNNNNNNNNNNNNNNNNNNNNNNNNNNNNNNNNNNNNNNNNNNNNNNNNNNNNNNNNNNNNNNNNNNNNNNNNNNNNNNNNNNNNNNNNNNNNNNNNNNNNNNNNNNNNNNNNNNNNNNNNNNNNNNNNNNNNNNNNNNNNNNNNNNNNNNNNNNNNNNNNNNNNNNNNNNNNNNNNNNNNNNNNNNNNNNNNNNNNNNNNNNNNNNNNNNNNNNNNNNNNNNNNNNNNNNNNNNNNNNNNNNNNNNNNNNNNNNNNNNNNNNNNNNNNNNNNNNNNNNNNNNNNNNNNNNNNNNNNNNNNNNNCAAUAUCCUUCCAUUUAAACAAUUGAUACAAGGGCACCUUAUCCUUACUCCAUUCUUAUAACUAACGGCAUUAUGUUAUGCGAAUUGUAUGAACUCUUCCACCCCUUUUUCGUAAGUAUCACUUAUUCGUGAUGUAUUAAUCCAACUCCGAUCCAUAGAACUGUUAAACUAAGAACCAAUACUUUCAAUAUGUAAUCAUGAAAAUAUAAAACAAAAGUGCCGAAGGUCGGACACCUCCGGACUCAGAACCAGUGCGUUCAAUAUGUCAAAACAAUAUAUAAUGACUGAAAAUUGCCGAAGGUCGAACACCUCCGGACUCAGAACCAGUGCGUUCAAUAUGUCAAAACAAUAUAUAAUGAAUGAAAAUUGCCGAAGGUCGAACACCUCCGGACUCAGAACCAAUGCGUUCAAUAUAAACAAUUAAUAUCAAACUCAAAACGAAUACUUUCAAAAUAUAGGUGAUAAUAAAUAAGAAUACACUAACCUCAAAUGGAUGGACGGUCACGUAGGCGUGGACGGCGGUCGCAGGCGCAACGUCAGCAGAGCGGCACGGGCGCGGCGGCAGAGGCGGGUUCGCUGUCGACGGGGGCGCGGCGCGCUGCGAGGUUCGCGAUCGGAGCGGGCGCGGGGCGCGGUGCGGUGCGGCGCGGGGUUCGCGACAGAGGCGCGGUGCGGCACGACGCGGGGUCGCGGCAGAAGCGCGGUGCGGCGCAGGGUUCGUGGUGCGGUGCAAUGCGGCGCGGGGUCGCGGCAGAGGCGCGGUGCGGUGCGGCCUUUAGUCGCGGCAGAGGCGCGGUGCGGCGCAGGGUUCGCGGUAGAGGCACGGUGCAGCGCGGGGUCGCGGUCGACGGUGGGGACAUGGCACGGCGCGGCAGAGGCGCGGUCGGCGGUGGGGCAUGGCACGGCGCGGUGAGGGCGCGGUCGGCGCUUGGGUCGCGGGUUAGAGUUGCGGUCGAGUAAGAAGUGAGAAAGGCAAGCAAAUUUCUAAAUGAAAGUGGGAGCGUGGCGCGGGGUUAGAGCGUGGCAAAUUUUGAAACAGACUUUUAACGACGAUUCUGGGUGAACCGUCGUUAUAACCCACACUUUUAACGACGGUUUUGGGGUGAACCGUCGUUAUAACCCACACUUUUAACGACGGUUCUGGGGUGAACCGUCGUUAAAAGUCCAAAAAAAUUUCAAAAAUAUUACAGUAUUGCCACCGCCUAGUUUUUAACGAUGGUUGUCUCCAAACCGUCUUUGAAAGGUGUCGUUAUUGAAGAAUUUUGUACUAGUGAAAACUGCUACAAACUCCUUCACGAAAAUUUCUAUUUCAAACACCUUCGAAUCCCUUAGAUCUAAGUUGGCAACACUAAGUUGGCAACACUGUCGUCGAUCCCGACCUUGCUCAACGAGAAUGGUAUUUUAAACAAUUUCUAUAUUAGUUUUUAUUAUUGUUAAAUAGUUUCUAAAUUGGUAUCUAAUUAACAACCAAAAUUUUAGAAACUAAAUAAUUGGUAGUUAAGUUGUCCUUUGUUACGAGACAUAUGGGAAGAUAAAUUAUUCGUCAAAGUUGGUCAAAGGAACCGAGGAAAAGGAGUCGAUUAUGGAUGAUGUAAAAGACGCACUGAAAGAGAAUAGUGUAAGAACAUUCUUUAUAAGAUUUUGAAACUUAUUUUGAAAGUGUUUCAUUUUUUCAAGUGCAAUGCAUGUCUUGUUUUUCUGUUAUGCUCAGCAUUAAGUAUAUGACAAAAAAACACUUUGAAAUCCAAAGUGGACUCUUAACUAGAUAAGUACACUUUUGACAAACAUAAUUUCAAAUAAAUAUAUGGAUAAGGGCAACAUCAGGAAUUACAUCAUUUGGUCAAUUCAAGGUGAGUUAUAAUUGCGAAAAAGAGACUUGCUAUCAUUGGUUACACUGACUCCAAUUUUUGUGAAUACCAAAACAGUACGAAAUACAUAUCAUGCUAUUUUAUACAUGCUUUUUAGCAGUGUUAUUUCGUAGGAAAGUGUUAGAGAGUCUCUUAGCUUCUUUAGCCAUAUGGUAGCUAAGUUAUUUUGUAAUAAUAAAUCAAUAAUUUUAUUUUUCAACAACAACAUAAGCUCAAUAAAUUCUAAAUGUAUAGACAUCAAGUUAUUAGUUGCUAAAGAAUGAGUUCAGAGAGUAGACAGUUGUUUAUAAAAUAUAUUAACACAACUCCAUGCUUAUGAAUCUGCUGACUAAAGGAUUAAUCCCAAUAAUUUUUCAUCAAGAUAUUGUUCGUAUGGGUAUUAUCUCUUUAAGUGAUAUUCCGUUUUAGCAGGAGCUUAAAAAUUUGUGUGUUUUCUUGACAUAGACACGUACUAAAUAUAUUUUCUGCAGAAAUAAAGUUUUGGUACAUUUGAACUCUGAUCUUGUUCUGGUUUGAUCUCACUAUGUUUAAGGAAGACCUAAUCCAUACUACAAAUUCAUAUCACAUUCAAGUUAUUCAAUGUUUAAGUGAUGUUUUUAUUUUAUUUAUUCAUUAUUUUUUGCUUAAAAAAAUGAAGUUAUUCAAUUGUGUUAACAUGUGACCAUUAUUAAAUUAGUAGUGUUAUUUUUAAACAACAACAUAUAAGCUUAAUAAAGUCUAAACAUAUAGAUAUCAAGUUUUUGGGUUGUUAGAGAAAGAAUUCCGAGUAAACAAAUACUAACAUAAUUCCAUGGUUGUGGAUCCGCUCAGGAAAGGAUUAUUUGUAAGAUCAAUAAAGUUUCUAAGUCUUUACACCAAAAUCAAAUUAAUUCACUUAGAGGAUUUAGAAUAGAGAAUUAGAAAUUUCUGAAAUUUGCUAAAAUUUGCUCAAUGAAAGAGUUUUUGCUUAGUAAAUCAAGGAAAUAAAUUUGAUGAAUUUUCAUUGCAACAAACUCACUUACAGAAAUUAUAAAGAAAAGAAAGGAAAAAAAAUACAAAUAUCUAGAGUUUUUUUCAUAAUCUACUCAAUCCAUUUCGCUCAGUGGUAAGUGUAUGGAGUGACUAGUUUUUUUUAUCAGCAAUAAAUUAAUAAAAUUAAAAGAGACACUUGAGGGGUGUCUCAACCCUUAUACAUACUAUUCUCUAGCUUAAGAGCUCAGCAAAUCAAGAUUACAAACCUAAAGGGAUCAAAAAGCACAUUAAAACCAGUCCUAACAGCAUUGCUUAAUAAAGCUAUAAUCACAUAAGAGAAUGCUUCCUUCACCCUAUGCAUGAGGUUGAGUUGCAUGUGCCUAGCUUACCACUAUAUCUCAGAUGACAAAGGGACUUGAUGCAUCAUAACAACAAGCCAAUUGCUUACGCAUAAACUACAGCACAUCACAUUUAGGUUCACUUCCCAUUCCAACAUAUCAACUCCUUCAAGGCUCAUUGCACUAAUAAAACAACCAUCAAAAACCAACAAAAACCAGCAUAUCACCCUACGUCCCUGCUUUUAGUUCUGCAUUUGGAUAGUUGUACCUGUAUCAGCAUGUUUUACCACCAACUAGGAUACUCCUGCCAUGCCAGAAGAGCACCACAGCCCAUCCAAUUUGGCCCAAAAAACCGCUGCUACUCCCACAAUGGUUGAUAACAUAACUGAAUCUGAACAUGGAGUCAUAGCUACAACCUGCUCACUUUAUCAAUCUGAGUCCACUAUCAUUGUUGCUCCAUGUUAGAGUACUCGGACAGACUUGUAACCAUUGCCAAUAAAGUGAGGUUGCUUGGAUCUGUGUUUAAAGAUUCAAGAAUUGUAGAAAAACUGUUUGUAACAGUUCCAGAGAGGUUUGAAGCCACCAUAACAACCUUGGAGAAUACGAAGGACCUAUCAAUGAUUUCUCUCGCAGAGCUCUUAAAUGCUUUACAAGCACAAGAACAAAGGAGAGCCAUGAGACAAGAUGGAGUAGUUGAGGGAGCUUUACCAGCCAAACAUGAAGGUGGGUGGAAAAACAAAAGCAAGCAUAACCAGGAAGAAAAUGGAGAACUUGCUACAUACAAUAACAACAAAAGGAGAAAUUAUCCUCCUUGCAAGCAUUGCAAUAAGUUAGGUCAUCCACCAUUCAAAUGUUGGAGAAGACCUGAUGCCAAAUGUUCUAAAUGCAACCAACUUGGACAUGAAGCAGUGAUAUGCAAAAACAAAAUCAGGUGGAGGAGGCAGAUGCUCAAGUUGCUGAUCAAGAAGAGGAAGAUCACUUGUUCGUAGCCACUUGUUUCUCAAGCAGAGAAUCAAGUGAGAGUUGGCUGGUUGACAGUGGCUGCACCAACCACAUGACACAUGAUAAGGAACUCUUCAAGGAAUUGAGAACCACUGAUAUUAAAAGGGUGAGUAUUGGAAAUGGUGAACACCUGACAGUAAAAGGAAAAGGCACAAUAGCUAUCACAAGCUAUAAAGGUACAAAAAUAAUUACAGAUGUUCUUUUUGUGCCAGAGAUUGAUCAGAAUCUUUUGAGUGUUGGUCAAUUGUUGGAAAAAGGCUAUAAAGUGAUGUUUGAAAAUAAACAUUGCUUAAUCAAAGAUGUUGAUGGCAGAGAUUUGUUUAAAAUUGAAAUGAAGGGAAAGAGUUUUGCUCUCAAUCCAAUGGAGGAGGAGCACAUGGCCUUUAAAUCCAAAGAAAGUGUCACUGAAAUUUGGCACAAAAGACUCGGGCAUUUUCAUCAUCGAGGGAUGCUUCAAAUGCAAUCAAAGAAGUUGGUAGAAGGACUUUCUGAUCUUGAUGAUGAAUUGACCAACUGUCGAGCAUGCAAAUUUGGGAAGCAACACAGGCAAUCAUUUCCUAAACAGGCUUGGAGGGCUUCGAAGAAAUUGUUGCUCAUUCACACUGAUCUUUGUGGUCCUCAAAGAACACCAUCAUUAAAUGGUAACCUUUAUUUUAUAGCCUUCAUUGAUGAUCUAACAAGAAUGUGUUGGAUUUUCUUUUUGAAACAAAAAUCAGAAGUUGCUGGUGUAUUUAUGAAAUUCAAGGCCAGAGUGGAAAAUGAAAGUGGUUGCACAAUUCAGAUUUUAAGAUCUGAUAAUGGCAAGGAGUACACUUCAAAAACUUCCAAUCUUUUUUGUGAGGAGGCAGGAAUUGAGCAUCAAUUAACGGCUCCAUACACUCCACAACAAAAUGGAUUUAGUGAGAGGAGAAAUAGAUUUAUAAUGGAAAUGACUCGUUGCAUGCUUCAUGAGAAGAAUCUCCCAAAGAAUUUUUGGGCGGAAGCAGCAAACACUGCUGUAUUUUUACAAAAUCAAAUUCCAACAAAGGCAGUGAAAGAGCAGACACCAUUUGAAGCUUGGUAUGAAUACAAACCAUCUUUAAAAUUUCAUAAAGUGUUUGGUUGCUUUUGUUUCACUUAUAUUCCACAGACUAAACGUGAUAAGCUUGACAAAAAGGCAACAACUGGCAUUUUUGUUGGUUAUAGUACCAGUUCCAAGGCUUAUAGGGUGUUUCAACCAGAUACUAGACGUUUUAUUGUGAGCAGAGAUGUGUAUUUUGUGGAAGAUGAACAAUGGAGUUGGGAAGACUCAAAUAAGUCAAAUCAGAUUCCUAGUCAAUCAAGGGAUUUAUCUAUUGUCAACACUCUAGAAGAACAUGUAGAUGAAGAAUGGCAGAAUGAACUAACAGAUGAUACACCGAUUAGAGAAACAAGAUCACUCUCUGAUAUAUAUCAAAGAUGCAAUGUGGCUUUUUGUGAACCUGCCGGAUACCAUGAUGCAAAAAAUAAUAAACAUUGGAUGGCUGCAAUGGAGGAGGAGUUGUCAAUGAUUAAGAAAAACAGAACUUGGGAGCUGGUUGAUAAACCACAUGACAGGAAAAUAAUAGGAGUGAAGUGGGUAUUUAAAACUAAGUUAAAUCCCGAUGGCUCAGUCAACAAGCUCAAAGAAAGGCUAGUAGUCAAGGGAUAUGCUCAAGUGUUUGGAGUUGAUUAUUCAGACACAUUUGCACCUGUUGCUAGGCUUGACACAAUCAGAUUGCUUCUCGCUCUCACUGCUCAAAAUAAUUGGAAAGUGUUUCAGUUGGAUGUCAAAUUAGCAUUCCUAAAUGGAUUUCUUGAAGAAGAAAUUUAUGUUGAGCAACCUGAAGGCUUUGUGGACAAAGGAAAUAAAGACAAAGUGUACUUACUGAAGAAGGCACUGUAUGGCCUGAAACAAGCCCCAAGGGCCUGGUACAGUAGAAUAGAUGAUCGCCUAAUUAGUCUGGGGUUUAAGAAAAGUUUGUCUGAACUUACUCUAUAUGUCAAGCAUGAUGGUACAGACAUUUUGAUCAUCUCUCUCUAUGUAGAUGAUUUGUUGGUCACUGGAAAUAAUCUUGAUCAAGUCAAUCAAUUCAAGUUGAACAUGAAGAAGGUCUUUGAAAUGACAGAUAUUGGUCUGAUGACUUACUUUCUUGGGAUGAAAAUUAAGCAAAGUCAAGAUGAAGUAUUCAUUUGUCAGAAGAAGUAUGCAAAAGAAAUACUUAAAAAAUUUCAAAUGGAAGAUUGCAAGUUAACAAGCACUCCUAUGAAUCAAAAGGAGAAGCUGGUCAAAGAAGAUGGAUCUCCCAAAGUUGAUGAAGUUGAAUUCAGAAGCUUGAUAGGAUGUCUAAUGUAUUUGACAGCAACUAGACCUAACAUUCUAAAUGCAGUAAGCAUUCUAUCCAGAUUUAUGCAUUGCCCAAACGAGACUCACAUGAGGGCUGCUAAGAGAGUCAUCAGAUACAUCAAGGGAACUUGGAACUUUGGAGUUAAGCUCUUGAAGCAUAAGGAGUUCAAGUUAACUGGUUUCUCUGACAGUGAUUGGGGAGGUUCAAUUGAUGACAUGGAAAGUACAUCAGGAUAUUGUUUUAGCCUUGGAUCAAGGAUGUUUUCAUGGAGCUCAAAGAAGCAAGAAACAGUAGUUCAAUCCACUGCUGAAGCAGAGUUUGUUGCUGUAUCAACUACUUUGAAUCAAGCUCUCUGGUUAAGAAAGAUCCUGACUGAUUUAAAUUUGGAGCAGAAGCAAAGCACAAAGAUUUUUGUUGAUAACCAAGCUGCUAUUGCAAUCUCUAACAAUCCAAUUUUUCAUGGCAAAACUAAGCACUUUAAUAUCAAGUUAUUUUUUGUAAGAGAAGUGCAGAAGAAUGGUGAUGUGUCUCUUUGUUACUGUAAAGCUGAAAAUCAACUUGCAGAUUUGUUUACCAAACCACUUCCAGCUAGCAAGUUUGAAUACUUAAGACAGAAGAUUGGAGUUUGCAGUUCAAAAAUUGUUGCUCCAUGUUAGAUAUUAUGAUUUUGUAACUGCACAUAAAUGCAUGUAACUGCAUGUGACUCUUUAUUUUUCUAUUUUAAUUGUUGAAUAAACAUUUCUAAGUAACUGCUCAUAAGCAUUUAGGAGACAGCUACUGAAAGUAUUAUAAAUGUAAUGGUUAGCAAAGAUAAUAAAAUAUCUUGCUCUGUUUUAUUCCCUCAACACCAACACUCCAGAUUAAGCCAGCAAGUACCUCUAUUAUAUUGGAUCCUCAGAAGUAAAACUGCAGUGGGAAUCCCCUUCACAACACCGAUUAGCACCUGCACUGCCAUGUUGGUUCUGCAGGAAUAAAUCUGCAACACGCGUCCCCUUCACAGCGCCUAUUAGCACCUGCACUGCCAUGUUGGUUCUGCAGGAAUAAAUCUGCAACAUGCGUCCCCUUCACAGCGCCUAUUAGCACCUGCAAUCAGACUCCACUGAAACCAGACCCACAUCCCAACAUAGAAUACACCAUAGCUCUAGUGGCGGGGCUAACACCCAAUACCAGCCAGUUACAGAGGACCAACACAGGGGACCCUCAGCCAGCGGCUACUUGAUUGCAUUCACCACACCACCAUUGACUUUUGCCUUCACUUACAACAUCUCCUUCCCACUCCUGCACUUUAGAGUGCCUCCACAGACCUUGCUAAUUGUAGCUUUUAAUGCAGCACAGUGGGUUCAAAACCCAAUCCACUAAGGAAUAGUUAAAGGAAUUUGUCUUAUACUUCAUCCAUUGCCAGGAUUUGAUUUGUGCUUGCUGAAAAAUUUCUUCUGCAUCUACAACACCUUGCUUGAACACUACCGCGUUCCUGUGAUCCCAAAUAUAUUUGACUAUCGCUGUCCAAACUCCUUUCCAAACCAGAUUUUGAUUAUGACUAACCUAAGGCAGGUUAAAGCUCUCAAAGUGGGCCAUAAUAUCAUUAUGUUGGACACCUAGAAUUCCAAUCCACCUAAAACACAUGGACCACACUUGAGAGGCAUAUUUACAAUCCAAGAAGAGGUGUUUACACGAUUCUUCCUUGGCCCGGCAUAGAGCACAAAGAGUUGUUUCCACCAACACCCCUUUCCUACUCAGAUAAUCUCUAGUGGGUAGUCUAUUCAGCAGAAUCCUCCAUGCUACAGUCAGCACACUUGGGAAAGCCUUAACCUAACACAGUGACUUGAAGACAUCAUGUUGGGGGCCUCUUCCAUGUUUUGCUAGACAUUCAUAGGUAGAGUUAACUGAGAAACACCCUUUCUCCUCAUUCCUCCACACCUUAACAUCCUUCUCUUCUUUAAGCACAACUGUCGAUGCUACGAGCAAAUCAAGCUCUUCUACCAGCGUGAAUUCCCACUCAAAUCUUUCUCGCCUCCACCUCAGCCGCCAACACCACCUCAACUUUUCCCAUACUCCUACCUCUUCCAUCUUCUGCCCCUGGUUUAGAGACAACGAGUACAAUCUGGGGAACAGGGUUUUAAGGUUGCAGUUCCCAAUCCACACAUCCUCCUAGAACUUUAUUUUGUCCCUGCAUCCUAGUUUCCAUCCAACCUCUUUAUGAAACCACCCUUCUCCUCCACCCUCCCGACAGACUUUGAGCAAGUCUCUCCACCACCAUGAUUGAAGUUUGACCAUAAUCUGCAUUUCCGAGCCAUACUUCGAUUCAAGCAGCUCCUUCCAUCUCCCCGUCUCCUCCGAUAUAUACCUCCACCUCCACUUAGCCAGUAGAGAUGUAUUGAACUUUCUAAUGUCUCUCACGCCCAGACCACCCUCCUCUUUAGGUUUACACACAACUUCCCAACUUACCCAAGAGAUGGACUUGUUCUCCUUCCCCCACCCCCAAAGAAACCUCCUCUGGAUUUUGAUAAUACUCUUGCAAAUCGAAGUCGGAGCUUUAUACAAAGAUAGGUAAUAGAGCAGAACUGAGGUGAGGACCGAUUUGAGUAGACACACUCUCCCUGCCAAUGAGAGAAAUCUACCUUUCCACACACUUAGUCUAUCUUUUAACUUGUUUAGCACAGGUUCCCAAAACUUUCUCUUCCUAGGGUUCCCUCCCACUUCAAGGCCUAGAUAUUUAAAAGGUAUCCCCAUCUGAGCACAAUUCAAAGUCUUGGCGUAACAAGCCAGUGAAUUCAUUUGAACAUUGAUACCUGUUAUUUUUUACUUGUGGAAAUUUAUCUCCAGGCCUGAAGCUAAUUCAAAACCCCUAAGGAUAGCCUUCAGUGUCACCACAUUAGUGUAUGAUUCCUCACAGAAGAACAUGGUAUCAUCCGCAAAUUGCAGGAAACACACCUCGACCUCCUUCGUUCCAAUCUUAAGGCCAGAGAGUAGAUUCGCCUUUACAACUUGUCUUACUAAACCUGCCAAACCUUCUGCUACUACUAUGAAUAGGAAAGGAGCAAGAGGAUCACCUUGCCUGAGCCCUCUAGAAGGUUUGAAUUCCUCUAUAGGACUCCCAUUAACUAGCACAGAAACUGUGGAACUUUCCAUACAUCCUCUGAUCCAGCUAAUCCACUUACUUUGGAACCCCAGCCGGUGGAGCAUAUCGUAGAGGAAUUCCCAUCUUACCAAAUCAUAAGCUUUCUCAAAAUCCACCUUCAGACACAAACCACUUCCCCCACUCCUCCUUAUGUCCUCCACCACCUCGUUGGCCAUAAGCACACUAUCCAGAAUCCCUCUUUCCUUGAAAAAAGUUGAUUGGCAAUCAUCGAUUACUGAGGAGAUGACAUUCCUAAUUCUGCCUGCCAACACCUUAGAGAUGAUUUUGUAUAUAGCCCCUACUAACGAGAUAGGGCGAUAUUGGUCCAGCGUAACAGGGUCCUUGACUUUCGGAACCAAUGCAAUGAUGGAUGUGUUACAUCCCUUCGGUACGACACCUGUGUCAUGAAAGAGAUUCAUGAUUGUCAUAACCUCCACUUCUAUAAAUUCCUAGCUUUUCUUAAUGAAAUUGAAGUUGAACCCAUCAGGACCUGGGCUCUUGGAGCCUUCACAGAGCCACACAGCAUCCCUGACUUCUUCCACAGAAAACUCCUAAAUAAGGCUCAUGUUGUCUUCCCAUGUUAAAGAUUUAAACUCAACCGCGUCAAGUCUAACUCCAAAGUCUUUUGUUGCUGCAAAUCUUCUUUCAAAAAGCCUAUUCGCUUCUACCCGAACUGUACAGGGUUCUUCACACCAUUGACCUCCCACCUCCACGCCUUUUACUUCAUUCCUGAGACGUCUCCACCUUAGAGAGGAGUGAUAGAAUCUAGUACAAGAGUCCCCAUUCUUGAGCCAAUUGGUCCUAGCUUUUUGGCUCAAAAGGGAUUCCAUCCUUCUAUCAGUUUCCUUUAAACGAACCAACAGGCCUAGCCUCUAUAGAUUCUCACAAGCAUCUAAUGCACCGUUACAUGCUUGACAAUCAAGAGUCUCAAUCUCCUCCAAAAUCUUCUUCUUAGUAGACUCAAUGAUACCAAAAACAUCCAUGUUCCAUACCUUCAUAUCUCUCUUCAGACAUUUCAGUUUCUCUUUAAGCACCAUAAACGCAUUCCCCUGAUCACGGUAGGAGGUCACCUAUCCUUCACCAUGUUUAGGAACCCCCUUUCCAUAAACCAUGCAUCAAUGGUUUUAAAGGGUUUUGGUCCCCAAUCCUUGUCCACUGACUUCACCACUAUCGUGCAGUGAUCGGAAACUUCCCUACGUUACACAUACGGCUUAGCAGGUUCCAGCUGGUGCCUUCGGUAUCUUGGAAUGUUUACAUGGAGUUUCAUAUUCCCAAUAUAUAGACUGUCCAACUCCCUCUCAAGGCGUUCCACAUUUCUUACUUUAAAUAACCUUACAAACCCAAACCUUCUCCCUCAUUUGUUCAAUCUGUGUGAUAUGAAGACUUCUUUAACUCUCCUUUGGAAGACCUUGAUCAUAUCCAACUCUCCGUAGCCAUAAGGGAAGUUCGAAAAGAAGAAUGUGGUAUAGUCAUUUGAGCACCUGUAUACACCUCCCCUCUUGGAUCGAUCUCUACUUCUCAUGCUUCUCUUUUUUAUGAAGUUAUCGCUAUAUAAGUUUAACCUAAAAGGCUAAACUCACUCGACGUCUCCUUUUGUCUUCCUUUUCUUUCACCUUCGAAGGGAAGCUGCUGUAUGGAGUGACUAGUGUUUGAACUCAUUGAUCUAGAGAGAAAGAAGUAACAAAAGAAAGAAAAUUGAGGAUAAAUGGAAAUUUCAGUUGUUUGAAGAUAUUUGCUUAUGUGAUAUUGUUUACCUUUAUUCUGUUUUUUUUUUGUAGGAAUUUAUUGCUCUAUGUCCUCUGAUGCAGGAAUGUGAUUAUCUGAGAAUAAAUUUGGAUAUCAAAGAAAAUGAUUUACCUUAAUGGGAGGAAAAGCUUAAUGCUAAAAAAAAGUAUGUUCUUAUAUUUCCUUAAUGUUUGAUCUUGGAAAUUAUGACAAUGGACGGUAUCACUGGUCCUAUGUAAGUUGCAAAAUUUUAUUGAUUUAUUUUUUCUAUGACUUUUUGCAAAUUUUGGUCGUUCAAAAUUUAGCAGUGGUGGUUGGGUAUAUGUUUCUGAGUACUUGUGCAAUUGAAAUGCUAUUAAAUUUUCAAAUUAACCAUGUUUUCCUAUAAAAUGAUUUAUGUUAAUGGUCUUCUACUUUUUCUUUUCUUUGUUGAAUACAGCUUGGAUCUUUGAAGGUUGAUGCAGAAACUUUUAGAUGGUAAUAUACCAAAUCAUAUAUUAUUGGUACAACAGUUUUGACUGAUGAAUCUCAUCACGAGUAUCAUCUGAAAAUGUUUGACUUUGAUAUCUGUCUGUGAAUGCUAAUAAAAAAUUAUUAGUAAAUCUUAAUGUCAAACAAAACUUAGAAAGAAUUGAGCACCAAACCUAACAUAGGUUAACAGAGACAGUGCUUUUAUUUUUUUACAGCAUUUCAAAUAAAGAGUACAAUAUUCCUAUACAGUGUCACAAUAAACUUUUUAAUUAAUUUGUUAUAUGAUAAUAAUUAUAUUAUAAAUUACAUUUAAACUCAUAUCAUAGAUGACAUUCAAAAUCAGAAUUAAAAGUAAUAAUUAUUGAACAUUCAAUUUUUUACGGAGAAACAACAUUGAUGGUAAUUUUGAGUUUAAUGCUUAAGAAAUGGCUCCCUUAAGAUCAAACACUUUCUAUUCUUCCACUACAAGAAAAUCAUGAAAUAGAAACCAAUUUUUAGAAACCAAAAUAAUUAGUUGCAAUAGUAACUAAAUUAGAGACCAUUUUAGAAACUAAAAGGAAAAUUGGUUUAUAUAUUAGUUUAUAUUAUUUUCUAUUAUUGUUAAAUAGUUUCUAAAUCUGUAUCUAAUUAGCAACCAAGGUUUUAGAAACCAAAUUUAGAAACUAAAUAAUUGGUAUCUAAAACCUUAGUUGCUAAUUAGAUACCAAUUUAGAAACUAUUUAACAAUAAUAGAAAAUAAUAGAAACUAAUUUAGAAACCAAUUUUUUUUUAGUUUUUAAAAUGGUUUCUAUUUUAGUUUCUAUUGUAACUAAUUAUUUUGGUCUCUAAAAAUUGGUUUCUAUUUCAUGAUUUUCUUGUAGUGUUCAUUCCAAUGAUCCUUCAAUUUUUCAAACAAAAUUGUUGGCAGAGACUUUGUAAAGAUGUUCUGCUACUUCGUCAUGACUUGCAAUAUGCAUUAUUUUUACUUUUUCAUUCUGAACACGUUCUAUUUUUUUUAUCGACAAAAAAUGAAUAAAUUAAAUUGAGGUAUUUCAAUGAUACAUCAACCCUUAUACAUAGUCAGCCAAUCCUCAAAAAACUAAGAGAUGUAGUUGACGAACAAAAACAACCCCGCAAUUCAACAUAAACCUCUACCAUUUUCUAACUGAUCUCAUGCAUACCAAAGGUUCAAGACAUCGAUCAGAAUACGAAAAAACUUACCCUACUGACUUUGGAAUUCACCCAUGACCAUACCUUCACUUGCACCAUAGAAAAAAAUUUCAAUAUGAUUUAUCCUGCCACUUUUAAAAAUCUUCUUAUUCCUAUGAUUCCACAACUCAGCUACCACCGCUACCCAUACACAAUCCCAUAUUUGAUUAACGUUUUUGUUCAUCGCACUAAUCUUAAAACUCAAAAAAUGCAUAUUUGGCUCACGAUGCCAACCCCAACCAUGCGUAGCAAUAUGACCAUACUAGCCAGGUGACUCUGCAAGUACAAAAGAGGUGGGACAUAGUUUCCUCUUCCUCCCCACACAGGUCACACAUGUUACUAUCCAAGCUGAUUCCUCUUCUCACCAGAUUCGCUUUAGAACAUGUUCUCUAAUAAAAUGAAAACGAGCAUCAAUAUGCUUACUCCUCUCUUGAUGAAUUAGAUUCGUUGCUAAUUCAAUAGAUGAUUUGUUGUCAACUCGUAUUUCAGUUGUUUCAAGUUGUUGUAAAUUUAACUCAUAAGAAAUUUUCUUAACCAAUUCGUGUGACACACACUAAGAUGAGAUGAAUUUUGCCUCACAUAUUACAGACAAGUCUCAUAUUUCAGUAAUAUUUCAUAUCAAAAUACAAACGCUUAUGAAUAUUUAUUGAUAAAAUAACUAUAAUAUAACUCAUAAUUUAUGAAUUUAAACAUUUUUACAUAUUUGUGAUUAUAAUAUAAAGAAGAAGAAUUCCUUAUGUGAGGAUGCGUAGCAGAGGAGAUGAACGAUGGCGCUGGGGGGAGGAGUAGAGGAGGAAACUUGCCACACAUACAAAUCCUGUAUCUAUAAAGUCAUGUUCUACAUUCUUCUUCUCAAACUUCCCAAGUACUCAUGGUGAAUAUGAUAUGCUGAAAAUCUUCCAAAGAUGGGCUAGGGUGAAAGACGUGUUUAUAUCUGGGCGUAGAAACAGGUGGGGAAGAAGGUUUGGGUUUGUCAGAUUCUUUACGGUGCCAAAUGAACUCAGAUUGGAGAAAGAGCUAGACCAGAUAUACAUUGGCAAUAUGAAACUCUAUGUGAACUUGCCAAAAUAUAGGAGGAAUGAGAAUGUUUACCAUGGUGUGGCACCACAUGUGGAUGGUAAAGGCUCGAAUCCGUAUAACUACGCACAGGGGAGAAUGAAGAGCAAGGAGGUUUGGAGAGAAGUAAAGGGGAAGGAUGUUCGGAGGAAUCUUAACUACAAACAUUCAUACGCGGAUGCAGUUAGGAACGUUUCACAAGAACAGUGGAAAGGCCCAAUAAUUGAGACCUUAGUAAAAGUUCUCCCUUGGAUGGCUAAUAGCGCAGUCGGAUGGAUGAUACCAGAUAUGAACUUCAACCUGAUACGUGAAGAGUUUAUUAAAGGAGGGAUGUCUAUGAUUAAGGUGAGGUAUAUGGGUGACAAUCUUGUGCUUUUAACCCCGAAGAAGGAGAACAAAUGGAAGAUAUCAUUAAGUUAAACAACAAAGGGUUCACAAGUUUGUUUGAUGAUAUUGAACCUUGGUCUGAAUCUUAUGUAGCGGGUCACAAACUAGUAUGGGUCAGGUGUUAUGGUUUACCCAUAACUUUGUGGACUAAGGAUUGCUUGUCUAAGGUCGUAGGUGAAAUGGAAGAACUAAUAACCAUAGAUGAAGCCACUGAGCAAUGGGAGAACCUUGAGUAUGCACGCAUUCAAGUUCGGGUGUUGAAGUCUUGUACAGUAGAAGUGUCAAAAGGCUACCGUAUUAACGGUCAAAUAUUUAAUAUUAAUAUUGUGGAGGAGGAACCCAGCAAAGAAGGAGGACUAUGCAACUGCCCUGUCCAUCACUAUGCUUCUUCAGAUAGUAUCUCAUCAAUGGACACCUUCAUUGAGGAGACCAUCUUCUCGGAAAAGGUGUUUGACGAAGGAGUAGGGGACAUCGGAGCUACUUCCCGGCGAGACGUAAAGGUAAAGGAGGGUAGAAAAUCCUGGCCAUCACUAGAGACAAAUCCGCAACAAUUAAAGGAACUUUCUAAGGCAGAAAGGGAAUGUCAGAGCAAAAGCGAAUCACAUUUCGCAAAUUUGGUAAUGCGUGAGCAGCAGAAUUGCAGUAAUGGGGCAGCUUUAUCUGAGCCAGAAAAGGUCAAAGCAAUUUGCUCUCUCAUCCAAAAUUUGGUGGUUGACCUAAUGCAUACUACUCAAUGUUUUAACCAGCACUCAGAUAAACCCGAAAAUAGCACGGCCCAUAUAUCUCCAAAGUCCAAGAAAGUAUUGGGCUGGGCCCAGAGAACCAGAGAAUUGGGUUCGGGUCAGGAGAAGUAUGUGUAGGGAAUGGGCUAAGAAAUUUGGCUCCGACGAUUGCAGGGAGCGGAUCUUUCAAUUCGGAGAUGUCUGUGAAUUUUUCUGGAGGGGACAAUACGAAGGUGGAGUGUGAAUUACCAGGGGAUCAUACUCGAAGAGGUGAGGUUGAAGGAGGAUUGCCACACGACCCUACGUUCACCCAGGGAGAAACAAGCAGUGUGCUGGUGCAGAAACAUAAAACAAAUGCGGCUAUUUCGAAUUUAUAAAUGCGGCUUUAUAACCGCAUUUGAUCAACACGCAGUUGUAAAUCAAGAAAUAUAAAUGCAGUUAUAUAGCCGCAUUUAUAAAUACCAUUUACAAGUGCGGUUAUUUUCUUUAACUGCACUUGUAUAUGCCAAAUCAUAAAAAAAAAUUAAAAAUUUUAAAACAUCGUCAAUCUUGUGUGAAGCCAACGUUGAUGAAGAGUCACAGGAGCGAAAAAUGGUGGCGACAGCAGAAGCGACGACGGACAGGGAAGCAGCAACGGAGCAAACCAAAAAAUCCACAAGAAACCACGAAGACAAUGAAAGAGUACUGAGCAAUGCGAGAAACCAAACAAUGUAAGAAAAACGAAUGUCAGCCAACGAAACAGUGCUUCGAGACCACCAAUGCAAGGAAAAAAACAUAUAUAAGAAAAACGAAAAACAUUUAUGCAUAUAUUUGUGAAGAUGAAGAGCAAGAAAAAGAGUUCAAGAAACUUACAUUGCACAAAUGGAAUGCAGAUGCAGCAGAAGGAGACGAACUCAGAGAGCGAACGCGAAACGCAGGCAAAGACGAGAAAUAAAGUUUGAAAUUGUGUGUGGCGCGCUUCAAAAUUUAGGGUAAAAAAGGAUUUACGAAUGCGGUUAAAGGUAAAACCGCAUUCGUAAAUCAAAAUAAUUUCAAAAAUGCCACCAUGUUUUUUACGAAAGCAAGUAGCGCAAAAGCCGCACUAAAUAAAGCAUAUCCUUUUCUUGUUUUUGCACUAGUGCCGGGUAGUUCAAUGUCAGAGAGGAGAAAUCUGGCCAAGGGCAAAGAAGGGGUAAAUACCGAAGAUGGUUAUCAAACACCGGAGAAUGUCCGAAGAUUGCGAGAAAUUUGGGAACAAGGUACGAAGCAAUCCUGCCUACGAUGGAGAUCCAAAGGCGGUCUGGGACCUCUACACUACGGGAUUAAUUCCCCAUCCAGGUUAAACCGUUGUUCCUUUGCUGAUUCUGAAAGUGAUAUUAUACACUGCAAUAACCAGUUAAAGCAGGAGAUUAAUGAGGUUGAAUCGGUACGUAUAUGGGAGGCGGGUAGACAGCUAGGUGUUAGAUGUUCAGAUGAGGAGGUGGAUAUAGUAGUUGAAUUAGAAGGUAUGGAGGAAAGGGAUAAGGCAGUUAAAAAGUUGUCUGAGGAGGGUUCUUGUCAUGCUGUAUAAUGAUCAUAGUAAACCUCAAUAUUAGGGGCUUGGGGGGGGGGGGGGAACUAAAGCAAACUAUGUGAAACAUAUUGUAGCCAAUGGGGGGACAACAAUGUUGGUUGGUUGCAUAAUGAAGGAGACAAUGGGGCAGGGAGUAUACUAUCUAUGUGGCACAAAGGAAAAUUCAUUUAUCAUUCGCAUAUCAUGGGAAUCGGAUUCAUUGCAGUAAUAGGCCAGCAUGUCAAGUCUAAAUGUAUGUGUUUUGUGGUUAACGUCUACGCAACAUGCAACUACAAGGAUAAAGUUGCUCUAUGGGAAGCUUUAACAUCCUUCAAAACGUCUUAUCAAAACAUGGUAGGAUGUUUCUGUGGCGACUUUAAUGCAGUAAGAAAAGAAGAUGAAAGGAAAGGUGUAAGAGGAAAUCACAACCAGCGGAAGGAAAUCAUUGGUUUUAAUUCCUUUAUUGACACAAACUGUUUGAUAGACAUUCCAUGUGUGGGUAUAAAAUAUACUUGGUUCAAAUCAAAUGGUACAGCUAAAAGUAGAUUGGAUAGAUUCCUUAUCUUUGAAGAGUGGCUCCAAAAAUGGCCCUUUCACAAACAAUAUGUGCAACCACGAAUUGUGUCGGACCAUUGUGCUAUUGUAGCGAAGUCCUGGGUCAUAGACUGGGGCCCUAAACCCUUUUGUUGUUUAGAUGCUUGGUUCAUGGAGCCAGGGUUCAAGGACUUUGUGAAGGAGAAAUGAGGUACAUAUAGUGUUCAAGGAAAUAGCAUAUCUAAACUCAAGGAUAAGCUCAAACUUCUGAAGAGCGAUCUUAAAGACUGGAAUAAGAAUGUGUUUGGGUGUUUACAGUCAAAACAGAACGGGAUUCUAAAGGAAAUCGAGGACCUUGAUGUGAAGGAUGAUAACGAAGAUCUUAAGGAGAAUGAUCGGCUGAGAAGAAUGGAACUACUUAGUCAAUUGAGGAUGAUAGAUAAUAAGCUCGAUUCCCUUGCCAAACAAAAAGCAAGAGCAAGCUGGUUCAAAUAAGGGGACAUGAAUUCCAGAUUCUAUCAUUCAACCAUCCGAUGGAGAAGACUUAAAAAUGAAGUCAAAGGAGUGGAAGUGGGGGGCGAAUGGUGUGAGGAAUCGGAAGGAGUACAUAGAGAAGCUGAGGCUCUGUUCGAAAGAAGGUUCACGGCUACACAAGAAUUUGGAGUUAAUCUAGGCUCGGUGGAAUUUAAAUCCCUCCCAGCAGAAAUCAGUACAAGAAUGGUGGAUAAUUUCACAGAGGAAGAGGUGAAAGAAGCCAUAUGGCAGUGUGAAGGAUCAAAAAGCCUAGGACCGGACGGGUUUAACUUUACCUUUAUUAAGAACUGCUGGGAUUACCUUAAAUCUGAUAUUAUGGAAGCAGUGUACCUUUUCCAAGAAACGGGGGAUAUUCCAAAGGGGUGUAAUGCCUCUUUCAUAGCGCUGGUACCUAAAGUGAAUGAUCCCCUAUCCCUAGAGCAGUUCAGACCCAUUUCUCUGGUAGGAGUCUUUUAUAAGAUUGUUACUAAGGUGUUAGCAGGUCGUAUAAAGGAAGUGUUGGCUCUAGUUAUUGAUGAACAUCAAUCCGCAUUCUUGAGUAACAGAGGCUUAUUAGACAGUGUCCUUAUAGCAAACGAGGUAGUAGAGGAGGUGAGGAGGAAUCGGAGGUGUGCACUUUGCUUUAAGGUGGACUAUGAGAAAGCAUAUGAUUCAGUAAGGUGGAACUUUUAACUUGAUAUGCUACACAGGUUGGGGUUUCAUAGCAAAUGGAUAAAGUGGGUCACAGGGUGCUUGAAACCGUCUUCUAUCUCAGUGCUAGUUAAUGGAAGCCCGACUGAGGAAUUUACACCCUCAAGAGGGUUGAGGCAGGGAGACCCUCUGGCUCCAUUUUUAUUCCUUGUAGUUGCUGAAGGCUUAGCUGGGUUAGUGAGGCAAGCGUCUAGGCACAAUAUGCUCAAAGGUGUGAAGGUGGGGAGGGGCAUAGAGUGCAGUAUGCUACAAUUUGCAGAUGACACCCUAUUUAUGUGUGAAGACUCUUUUUCUAAUAUCUUCUCUAUCAAGACAAUUCUAUGAUGCUUCGAGCUUGCAUCAAGGCUGAAAAUUAACUUCCAUAAAUCGAAGCUGACAGGUGUAAAUGUGGAUAGAUAUACAUUAGAAACCUAUGCGAAGACUUUAAAUUGCAAUACUAUGCAGAUUCCUUUCAAGUAUUUGGGUCUUGAAAUAGGUGGUAACCCUGGUAAGGCUUCAUUCUGGGAGCCUGUCAUCAAUAGAAUUAAUGCUAAACUGAGUUCUUGGAAAGGAAAAUUCUUGUCUAUGGCAGGAAGAAUCUGCUUGAUUAAAUCAGUCUUCACAGCCAUUCCCUUAUUCUACCUGUCUUUCUUUAAAGCUCUGGUUUCGGUUUGUAACAAGAUUAAGAGUAUACAAAGGAGUUUUCUGUGGGCCUGGGGUAGAGACAACAGGUCUAUACCAUGGGUAAGCUGGGAGAACAUUUGUAAGCCUCUUGAACAAGGUGGGUUAGGAAUCAAAGAUAUUAGGAAAUUCAACUCUGCUCUAUUGGCGAAAUGGAAGUGGAGGUUGAUGAGUGAAGAAGAAGGGAAAUGGAAAGAUAUUUUGAAGUCUAAAUAUGUAAUGGUGUCUAGUAAUACCAAUGGCCAGAUGAAAAAACAAUCAAGGUGGUGGAGUGAUCUACUUAAAAUCUGCAGAGAAGGUGAGGGCGAAGGGUGGUUUCAAAAGGCCGUAGAAUGGAAAGUCCGGUCUAGUGACUCAAUUAGGAUGUGGGAAGAUCACUGGGUUAGUCACAGUAAGCUCAAGGAUUUAUAUCCCAGAUUAUACGCUCUGUCCCUACAUCCAGGCAUGAUAGUGGGGGAGACCGGUUUAUGGGGAAAAGGUGGAUGGCAAUGGAACUUAAAAUGGAGGAGGGAGAGGUUCCAAUGGGAAAUGGACCAGGAGGAGGAAUUAUUGGAAAUUCUAGAUAAGGAAGUCUUACAUAAAGAUGUAAAGGAUUUUAUUACAUGGAGAGGGGAUACCAAGGGGAUUUUCACUGUGAAAUCUGCAUACAACCUACUGACCAACCAAGACACUGGACCGAAUAGUGAUGUGUUUAGUUUGUUGUGGAAGACCAAAGCUUUACCAAAAGUUAUGAUUACUGCGUGGAGAAUUCUUUGGGACAGAAUACCAACUAAAAGGAACCUGGAAUCACGGGGCAUUAUAGUAAAUUCAGCUCUAUGUGUGUUCUAUAACAUGGCAGAAGAAACCACUCAGCACCUCUUUCUAGACGGUAUCUUGGGACCAAAUAAUAAGGAUAUUGGCAGCCAUUUUGAGAACUUCCACCUUGUCCACAUGACCGAGAAACAGAAUCAGGUAUGGAAAGGAGUGUGGGCAGCGAUUGUACGUUGUAUAUGGGAGCAUAGAAAUAGGGUGUUUUUAGAAAAGGGGUCCCCGAUUCUGAGGAAAUCUUUCAAGCGGCUCAGCUUCUCUCUUGGCUAUGGUUGAAAUAUAGGGCAAGUUCUUUCUCAUAUUCAUUUUCUGAUUGCCAUUUGAAUCCUAAUUAGUGCCUUAUGUGUAUCAAUUGAACCUGAUAUGAUGUAACAAGGAACAGGUAUGAUCGCCGAUCGAUGAAUUGGCGCUCUCCAUAUGUGAGUAGUCGGUGGUCGCCGAAGAUAUGCAAGGUCAACAUGAUCGCCGGUCGAUGAAAAGGCGAUCUCCAUGCGUGCGUAGUCGGUGGUCGUCGAAGGUAUGCAAAGGUCAACAUGAUCGCCGGUCGAUGAAGCGGCGUUCGGGUCAACAUGAUUGCCGGUCGAUGAAACGGCGAUCUCCUAGCGUGCGUAGUCGGUGGCCGUAUGCAAAGGUCAACAUGAUCGCCGGUCGAUGAAACGACGAUCUCCAUGCGUGCGUAGUCGGUGGUCGUCGAAGGUAUGCAAAGGUCAACAUGAUAGCCAAUCGAUGAAGGGGCGUUCUCCAUAGGUCAACAUGAUCGCCGAUCGAAGAAGCGACGUUCUCCAUAUGUGUGUAGUCGGUGGUCGCCGAUGUUAUGCAAGGUCAACAUGAUCGCCGGUCAAUGAAACGACGAUCUCCAUGUGUGCGUAGUCGGUGGUCGUCGAAGUUAUGCAAAGGUCAACAUGAUCGCCGGUCGAUGAAAAGACGAUCUCCAUGUGUGCGUAGUCGGUGGCCGUUGAAGUUAUGCAAAGGUCAACAUGAUCGCCGAAGUUAUGCAACGUGCAUGGGUAACUCGUCGUAUGGCGAGGUUAAUGUAGGUGGUCUCGGUUCUGGGUGUUUCGGUAAAGUUGAAUGUUGCUUUAAGGCAACCUGCUGGUUAUAUUUUUGGGUUUGGCUUUCUCACUUUAAGGUUGUUCUGCUCCAACCAUAAAGGAGAGUUUCUUUUGUGGAUGAUAUAGGAGGUCCACUUCAGGUUACUGUAUAUGGAUUAGGAUACCCCUGAAGUAUCCCCUUUAAUUUUAUUUAUUCAUUGCUGAUAAAAAAAAAAAAUAAUAUAAAGAAGAACUAUUUAUUCUUAUCCAUUUCGCUCCGUGGUAAAGUUUAUGGGUAUAUCUUCUUUUGAUAUACUUUGGAGUGACUAGUGUUUGAACUCAAUGAUCUCGAGUGAAAGAAGACAAAGAAAGAAAUUGAGGAUAAAUGGAAAUUUCAUUUGUUUUGAAGAUAUUUGCUUAUGUGAUAUUGUUUACCUUUAUUCUAUUUUUUUGUUGGUAGGAAUUUAUUGGUCCAUCUCCUCUUAUGCAGGAAUAUAAUUCUUUUAAAAUAAAUUUGGAUAUCAAAGAAAAGAAUUUAUCUAAAUAGGAGGAAAAUCUUAUGAUAAAAAAAAGUAUGUUGUUAUAUUUCCUUAAUAUUUGAUAUUGAAAAUUAUGAUAAUGGUCCUAUAACUUGCAGAAUUUUAUUGAUUUAUUUUUUCUAUGACUGUUUGCAAAUUUUGGUCAUUCAAAAAUUAGCAGUUGGGUAUAUGUUUUUGAGUACUUGUGCAAUUGGAAUGUUAUUAAAUUUUCAAAUUGACCAUGUUUUCCUAUAAAAUGAUUUAUGCUAAUGGUCUUAUGCUUUUUCUUUUCUCUGUAGAAUACAACUUGGAUCUUUGCAGUUGAGAUGCAGAAACUUCUUGACGGUGAUACUUCAAAUCAUAUCUAUUAGUGAUUAUCGGUACAACAUUACAGAUGAAUCUUAUCAUCAGUAUCAUCUGAAAAUGUUUGACUUUCUAUCUGUCUAUGAAUGCUAAUGAAACAAUUACCAGUAAAUCUUGAUGUCAAACCAAACUUAGAAACAAUUGAGCACCAAACCUAACCGAUGUUAACAAAGACAAUGUUUUUUUAAUUUUUUACUGCAUUUCAAAUAGAUGUACAAUAUUACUACAUAGUCUAACAAUAGACUUUCCAAUUCAUUUGUUCUAUGAUAAUAAUUAUACUAUAAAUUAUAUUUCAAAUUAUACUAUAAAUAAAAUUUAAAAUUUGUAGAGAAAAACAAAACUAAUGGCAACUUUGAAUUUAAUCCUUAACAAAUUCCUCCUUUAAACUCGAACAUUUUCUAUUUUUCAUUCCAAUCAUCUCCUUCAAUUUUUCAAAACAUUAUCGCUGACCAAAAAAAGAAACUGUUGGUAGAGGCUUUUGUCAAAAUGCAUGCUACUAGGUCAUGACUUGCAACAUGAAUUAUAGGUAUGCUAAAAAUAAAAAAGACAUUAUUGACAAGCUUAUGCAGAAAUAUUUGAAGUUUGGAAUAAUUCAAAACAGCAAUAACCCCUAUGCGAGUCCAGUAGUUCUGGUGGAAAGAAACAUGGAUCAUGGCGGUUAUGCGUGGAUUAACAGUUAAACAAGGGUACAGUGAAAAACAAGUUUCCUAAUCUAUGAUUUGUUAGAUGAACCUAAAGGUUCCACAAUCUUUUUGAAAAUUGACUUGAGAGCAGGAUACAAUCAAGUCAGAAUGGACCCUGCAGAUAUAUGAAAUACAUUCAGAACAUUCAGAACACAUUCAGGGCAUUAUGAAUACUUGGUAAUGCCCUUCGGCCUCACGAAUGCACCUGCUCAUUUUAAGGGACUUGUGAACACAAUAUUUCAACAGUUUUUGAGGACAUUUUUAUUGGUUUUCUUCUAUGAUAUUCUCAUUUAUAGUAAGAAUUUGAUAGAACAUCAACAACCGCGACAAAUCCUAGUAACCCUUAGACUCAAUUCUUUAUUUGCUAAAAGAUCUAAGUGUUAUUUUGCAGUGGAUAAUGUGGAAUAUUUGGAACAUAUCAUAUCGGAGAAAGGUGUUUCUACUGAUCCUAAUAAAAUUGCAGCCAUUGUCAAUUGGCCUUUACCUCAGACCCUAAAGCAGUUGAGGGUUUUUUUUGGGGUUAGCUGGUUAUUAUAGGCGAUUUGUUAAAGACUAUGGAGUCAUCACUAAACCCUUAACUGAUAUGUUAAGAAGAGAUAAUUUUACAUGGACUGAUAUAGCUGUACAAGCUUUUGACAAGCUGAAAACAUUAAUGAGUAGCACACCAAUUUUGACACUUCCAAAACUUCUCACAAAAUUUUGUUAUUGAGGUAGAUGCUUUUAACAAGCAACAACAGUCUUAUUCAAUUUAAGAAAAGGAAUUGUUGGGAGUAGUCUUUGUUGUACAAAGAUGGAUGCAUUACCAAUUAAAUAGGCAUUUUAUUAUCAAAACAAAUCAUUACAGCGUAAAAUACAUCCUGGACCAGAGACCACUGAUUUUCAGCAAAAAACUGGUUAGUGAAAUUGAUGGAAUUUGACUUCUCAAUAGAGUACAGAAAAGGGCAAGACAAUGUUGUAGUUGAUGCCUUUUCUAGACUGGAUAAUGGGGAAUGCAAAAGCCUUAAGUCACAUCUGCUAACUAGAAUAAAACAAUCUUAGACUACCGAUUCAAAUUUACAGAAAUUAAUUUCAGAGGUGUAGAAAAAUGUGAGUACCCAUAAGCAUAUACUUGACAGCAUGAUGAAUUGAGGAGAAAAGGAAGAUUGGUGGUAGGAAACGACUUCCUGUUGAGGACAAAAAUUCUGUAGUGGUUGUAUGCUUAAGCUAGUGGGGGACAUUUGGGAGUUAAUGCAACUAUAAAAAGAAUUAAAUCAGUGGUUUAAGAGGAUGAAUGAUUGAAAUCGAGGAGAGUGAAGGAGCAUCGAAUUAGAAUAAUUUACUGGAUGGAAUUUCUUUAGAAUUUGAGAAGUUAUAGGAGAAGAGUGAACAUGUUGCAGUAAUAAAGUAUUAAAGUUUUUCAAAAUAAAAAAUAAGAGAUGGACUUAAUUAAAAAAAUAAUAAAAACACUUUACUGAGAUUUAUUAGAAAAACUGUUUGAUGUUUACUGGAAUUUAAAAAACCUCUACUUGAUUAUCUUACUAGAGGUUAUUAUAACCUCUACUAAUAAACCCCUCUUAAAACUUUCAUAUCUUCUGAAAAUAUAAUUUUACUUCAGCUAAGCACUUUAAUCAAUAAAAGAUAUAUGGAAUUUAAUGUAGAGUGAUUGUGGGUGUGUGUCAUUGGGCACUUCGAGAUUACGUAUAAAAAAUAUUAAUCUUUGCAGCACUAACCUGGUUUUUUUAAAUAUAAUUAUCUUUUCUCCAACUCUUUUUGGUUCUUAAAACAAAAGUUAAAUGUGUUAUGGUAUUUCAACAUUGUCUUCAUCAACACUUUUGGUACAAAAUUUUUAUAAAGUGUUUUUUUAUUUAUAAUAAAUAAAAUAAAGUGUCCCCACCCUUUUUAAAAAAAGGGUGCCGAAUAAAAAAUUAUAAGAUUUUUUUAUCAUGACAUUUCUUUAUUAGACUCAGAGAUGAGAUGAUAAGUGCAUAAACAACUGUAAUUUUAAUAUCCUUAACAUUAUUGCGUUACAUUUGAAGUGUUGACUCCAAUUCCUUUGAAGGACUUCUGUUCUUCGUCAUCAUCAUCUUCUUCAAUCCUUUUUUGUUUUGUUUUAUGAGAACUUGUAAUUCGUGAAGUAAUUUUAAAUUUUGAAACGAAAUAUAUAGUUUUUCUAUCCACAAAUGUCUUAUCAGAUCUUAGAUCUUUGAAGAGUUUACUUCAAUUCCUUUGAUGGAGUUCACUUCUUCGUCGUCAUCAUCUUCAUCCUUCUCAAAGUCAGGACCCCAGUUCAUAUACGAUGUGUUCAUCAACUCUUGGGGAGAAGAAAUCUGUAGAAAGUUGGUUUCUCAUCUACAUUCUCUCCUUUUACAAGCUCAAGUCAAAACUUUGAUUAAGGAGGAGAAUCUGCAGGAGGGAAUAGAUCUGGAAGAACACAUGCGAGCAAUAGCAGCCUCUAAGAUUGCAAUAAUCGUUUUCUCCAAGUCAUACACUGAAUCUACCUGCUGCCUUCUUCAGCUUGAAAACAUCAUUGAAUGCCACGAAACAUUUGGUCAAAUAAUUCUUCCCAUAUUUUACGAGAUUGACCCAUUGGACGUACGUGAUCAGAAGGAUGAUUUGGGAAAAGCGUUGGAAGAAGCUGCACACAAAAGCUAUUCAGGAGAGCAACUGGAGCAUGCAUUGUCCAGGUGGAGCCGUGCACUCACCACAGCUGCAGGUAUCAGUGGUUGGGAUGUCAGAGAUUUCAGGUAAACAGAUGAAUCCUUCGUACUUUCUUCUGUUUGAGAUUGAAUGAAGCAUAUGCUAAGGUUUUAGUAAUACAUUACCCUUCAUCUUCAAGGCAUGAUGCUGAACUUGUGGAGAAAGUUGUUUUCCGCGUUCUUGAAUUGCUGGACUAUAAAGACUUGUCUAUUACCCAAUUUCCUGUUGGAUUAGACUCCCGGAUGGAAAUGGUGAUUGGAGGUAUUGAAAAUCAUUGCAGGAAAGUGUGUAUGAUAGGGAUAUGGGGAAUGGGAGGAUCAGGUAAAACUACCAUAGCCAAAGCCAUCUAUAAUCGAAUUUAUCGUCAAUUUAUUGGUAAGAGUUUUAUUGAAAAUAUUAGAGAAGUUUGGGAUCGAGUAGAUAAAAGGCAUGUUGAUUUGCAAGAAAAUUUUCUUUAUGGUAUCCUAAAACCCAAGCUCGAGGUGGAAAGCGUUGGGAUGGGAAGUACUAUGUUCGAGAAUGGACUUUCUCGAAAAAAGUUGCUGAUUGUGCUUCAUGAUGUGAUUGAGUUUGGCCAAUUAGAAAACCUAUGCGGAAAUCGUGAAUGGUUCGGUCAAGGAACUCUGAUAAUCAUUACAACUAGAGAUGUUUAUCUACUGAACCGACUCAAAGUUGAUUAUGUUUAUCAAAUGGAUCAUAUGAAUGAAAAUGAGUCUCUUGAGCUUUUUAGUUGGCAUGCCUUUAGAGAAGCGAAACCAAGAAAAGACUUCAAUGAACUUGCAAGAAACAUAGUUGCUCACUGUGGAGGACUACCAUUAGUUCUUGAGGUCCUUGGUUCCAUUUUAUGUAAUAAGACAAUAAAAGAGUGGGAAAGUCUAUCGUUAAAAGCAGAAGUAAUUCCCACUAAUAAAAUUCAAGAGAACUUGAGAUUAAGUUUUGACGGUUUAUACAAUGUCACGGAACAGGAUUUAUUUCUUGAUAUAUGUUGUUUCUUUAUUGGUAAAGAGAGAGGUUAUGUGACAGAGAUACUAAACGGGUGUGGACUAUAUGCUGAUAUUGGAAUAACGGUUCUCAUAGAACGUGGUCUUAUAAAAUUUGAAAGGAACAACAAACUUUCAAUGCAUCCUUUGUUACGAGACAUGGGAAGAGAAAUUAUUCAUCAGAGUUGGCCAAAUGAACCGGGGAAAAGAAGUCGAUUAUGGUUUCAGAAUGAUGUAGAACAUGUACUGGAAGAGAAUACUGUAAGAACAUUCUUUAUAUUAUUUUGAAACUUAUUUUCAAAGUGUUUUCAUUUUCAAGUUCAAUGCAUCUGUUGUUACCUUGUUAGACUCAGCAUUCAGUUUCAAUGAUCAAAAGAAAUUGAGAGAUUUCUCAAUUGUAUCUCUUCGCUAUAUUCAUCACAGGGGACAGAAGCUAUCCAGGGACUGUCCCUGAAACUGCAUUCAACCAGCAGAGAUAGCUUCAAAGCUCAUGCUUUCAAGAAAAUGAAGAGAUUAAGACUGCUACAACUGGAUUAUGUACAACUUAUUGGAGAUUAUGGAUACUUUUCUAAACAAUUGAGAUGGAUUUCUUGGCAAGGGUUUCCUUCCAAGUACAUACCAAAUAACUUUCAUAUGGAAAAUGUAAUUGCAAUUAAUUUAAAACAUAGUCAUCUUCAACUCGUCUGGAAACAACCCCAGGUAUUUAUUACAUGCUUUUUUUCUUUUAAAACUCACAUGUUAAUUAAAAUAGAUAUAGUAUAAUUGGUUCAGGUUAUAACUAUUGCAUUCUUCUAUUUUCUUCUCUAAUAUUUUCCAAAAUUACUAUCUUUGUAGGUUUUAAAGUGGCUAAAAUUCCUUAAUCUUAGUCACUCCAAGUUUUUGAGAGAAACACCUGACUUUUCAGGACUACCAAGUCUUGAAAAGCUCAUUCUAAAAGAUUGCCCAAGUUUGUGCAAGGUACACCAAUCCAUUGGAGAUCUCCAGAAUCUAGUACUGAUAAAUUUGAAAGACUGCACAAGUCUAAGCAAUCUGCCCAUAGAGGUAUAUAAGUUGAAAUCUUUAAGAACUUUAAUCCUCUCUGGUUGUUUCAAGAUUAAUAGUACUUCAUUUUGAAGAUUCUAAUUCACUGUGGUGGGUAUUUGUGAGUGGUUAUUGGCUUUUGGAGGCAGUGAAGGUUACUUGGUGAAGUGAAUUCUGUUUUUUUUUUCUCAUGGUUUCCUGUUUGUGUUUUUUUUUUACGUUUUCUUCUUGUAUAUCUAUUGACUUUUGGGCCUUCCAGUUCUGUAUCUUGGGCUAAAGCUCAACCUAUUGUAUUGUGUAAUUUAUAUAUAACGUGCACCAUACAAUGUAAUAACACACAUAGCAGUUUUAUUUUUCAGAAACAAUAUCAUCUUUGAAGGAUUAAGGCACUGCCUUCAAAACAACCACAACAACAUGGAGGAUUUUAGAAAAUAAAAUUGCUACAAAGGCCAAUUUGAAAAGAUGUAGGAUAAUUAUGAGUAAUAGUAUAUGUGGGGAAGAAGAUGAGACAACAUGUAAUAUGUAGAGUGGUUUGGCUAGUACGGGGUGGUAUGUUAUUAAUACGUGUUGUGAAAUAUAAAGGGCAAUGGUUUAUUGGAUUAUGCAGGAAACAAGAAUUAUGGUAAGUUAUACAGUUUAUUGGAUCAUAGCAUGAUGCUUUUUUAGUUUUCAUGGGCUUGCAAGCAUAAGGUAUAGGUUUUCUAUGAUUAUCUUUUUGUUUUUAAUCGUUUUUUUUUUUUAAUAGGAUUGAAAUCUUCAAAUAGUCCAUAUUUAUUAAUUUUUUUUGUCAUAAAAAAAAUUAUAUACAAAACAUAAAAGCCUAAACUAAUUGUCAAUAAAAAGUACACAUGGGUAAUUUUUUAACUAUUAGCGGUAAUUGUCUACAUGGUUAAUUUUUUGAAUUUUUUAAAGAUUAUAUUUAGACAUAUCAAAUGAAUAUUAAUUUAUAAGAAUUAAUUUUAAAAGAAUUCAUAACAAAUUAAAAUAAUUUGUAAGAUCAUGACUAUAUUUGAAAAUAAUUAGUUGAAAAUUUAAAAUUUAAAACAAUUAGGUGACUUUACGCAACAGAAAACAAUAAUGAAACUUAUAAAUGUAAAUUGAAAAAAAAAACAUGAAAUAUUUUAAAAUUAGACAUAAAAAAAUAUAAUCAUUGUAAAUAACGAGAAAUGAAAUCAAACUUUGUUUAAUUUAGUCUUUAAGGGAUGAGGCUACGGUGCUUCUUAUGUUGAAAAAUACGAGAAUUUCUGAAUGCAAUAUUAUAUGCUAAAAAGGCAAAAGAAUGGACAAAAGUAAAAACUACAAAGCAAAUACAAUAAACAGUUCAAGUAAAGCCAAGGAAGCAAGAACUGAGAAACAGGUAAAAUGAGUAUGAAUCUCAUAACUACGAGCUAUACUCAAUGAAAAACAAGGAAAGGAUCAGAAAAGAUAAAUUGCAAUGAAGGACACAAGGAUUAAACAGCAGCUGUCUUUAUAUCAUAAUGCAAUGUCUUAUUUUAAGAGGAUUCCUAUUGAAAUAUUAUAUGCUAAAAGGGAAAAUAAUUGACAAAAGUAAAAUCCAGAAAAAAAAAAAUACAAUAAACAGCUCAAGCAAAGCCAAGGAAGCACCACUGAGGACUGAGAAACAGGGUAAAAUAAACAUGAUUCAAAAAAGAACAUAAAUGACAUACCAGAAAAGUCACAUUACAAUUUUCUUUAUGAAUCUAAUGACGGAAUUUUUCCUUGGCUCACCAUAUAUCAGAUAGACAGCUGUGUUCUUAAUCACCAAAUCGUGACCAAAAUUCACAAAAAUCUCCACCUUGUCACCUGAUCCUAAACUUGACAAUAUGUCAUGCCAAUCUUCAUCAUUAAAGGAAAUUACUGUGCCAUGAUUGUGUAUCUGGCAUGUGCACUUCGUGUAAUUAACAAUUAAGACAGUACUAAGUUCAGGUUCAAUGAUUUCGGAGGUUGAUAAAUAAACAACACACAAAACCAUUCCCUUCACGACACGAUGUUGUGGCACAGUGAAAGAAACACAAUGUCCAUCACCCAUAUGGGCCAACCAAUAAGGAUCAUUGUCACCUGGGAGAGAAACAUCACAUGACUCACUGCUUCCAAAUACCUGUAUCAUGUCAUAAACAAGGGCAUGUUUGGUGAAACAAAAAUGCUAUACGUGAUUAAAACAAAUCUUGUUAAUAGUUUUGUUGUGUAUACAUCCCCAUCUUUUCUUUAGUGAUUUAGAAUGCAUUUCUGUUUUUGUCUUAGUUUAUAUUUCUAGGAUCAAUGGGAAUAAAGAAAUCAUGAAGCUAGUAAAGCAAGAAAGUGGAAAUCAAUUUGGUAGUACUUAGUAUAAGCAUAAUGACUUGUUAGUUGAUAACUAAAAUCAGAUACUUUUAGAUGAAGUCGUGGUGCUAAAAGUUCAGUAUUGGAGGUUCAACUAGAUACUUCAAAAGGAUUAUUUUAUGUUCUCAGAAAUAACAGCUAAAAUGAUGGUUAAGGUAAUAAACAAAGGGAAAGGUAGAGAAGAACCUUAGGUAUGAUAUCGCUUACAGUAUUGAAGAAUUCUUUGUAUCUUCCAACACCAGUCAGAAAAGACUUGAGAUGACUCUUUGAAAUUGCUGAUUCUGUAAUAUUUCCACCAUAUUCGACCACUAUAGUUUUUACUUGCUCAGAUAGAUGAAACUCCGUGUCACAUUCCACCAGAACACUUCGAAGAUUCGCAAGGCUGCUAAGAAAUGGUGCAAUAUCAUCCCUACUAUUAUCCUCCAUUUCUAUAAAGGAAUUAAUAUAAGAUAGAGGAUUCAUUGUUGGCGACAUCUUAGACCGAAUGAUAGAAGGAAAAAGAUUAUGUGACGAUCCCUCAAAUCCACGUAGGGAUAUAUAUCCAAUACUUUUUGGGCUUACAAUUGUAAAAGGCAAUUGUUUCAUAGUUGUAUUUUCAGCAAUUAUAGUUAAGAAGGAUUUCAUUUGCACGAUAUCUUUUUCCAUUAAGUCAAUCUUCGAACAACCAGAUAGAAUCAGAGUUUUUAAACAUUUCAGCUUAUAUAUCUCUUCAGGGAGAUUGCUUAGACUUGUACAGUCCUUCAAAUUUAGCAGUAUAAGAUUGCAGAGAUAUCCAAUAGAUUGGUGUACCUCGCGCAAUCUCGGACAAUCUUUGAGAAUGAGUUGUUCAAGACUUGGUAGUCCGGAAAAGUCAGGGGUUUCUAUCAAGUAAUUGGAGUGACUAAGAUUAAGAACUUUUAGCCACGUCAAAACCUUCAAGAAGAUAAUUUUUGGUAAUAUAUUAGAGAAGAAAACGAGAAAACGAAAUAAUCAUAAGUGGAAACAAGUAAUAAUUUUUAAGAGAAUGGCACGUGAUAAAAACCUGGGGUUCUUUCCAAACGAAUCGAAGAAGACUGUGUUUUACAUCAAUGGCUAUUGCAUCAUGCAGAUAAAAGUCGUUAGGCAGGUAUUCUGAAGAAAACCCUCGCAAACUGAUCCAUCUCAGUUUCUUAAAAUGGUACUCAGAAUCUCGUUUCAGCAGUCUUGAUGGGUCUAUUACCUCUAAAGGAUAGCGUCCGAAGAAAUCUAUUCCGGUAGGCAAUCUCUGAAUGACUUUUGUGCCAUUAGAUGAAAAGAGCUAAGAAAAAGGAAUAUAUUGCACAUGAGAAAGCAACAACUUCCAAACGAAGUUUUAAAACCAUAGAUAAACGAUGUUCUUACCGCAUUCUCUGACAGUGCAUAUUCUGCAUCCGUAUCAAACCACAGUUGACUGUUCUUCCCAGUUUCCUUUCUUGAAAUUUGACGAAUAAUGUCUCUUCCCAUUUCUCGUAGCAACGGAUGCAUUCCUAAUUUGUUGUUCUUAUUAACUUGUAUGAGACUACGCUCUAUCAGAACUCUUAUUCCACUGUCAGGGUCUAUUCCACAGCCAUUUAAGAUCUUCCUAACAUAGGCUCUGCCCUUACCAACAAAGGAACAACAUACAUCAAGGAAUAAAUCUUUUUCCAUUUGAUUGCAUAAACCCUCGAAGCUUAUUUUCAAUAUCUGAUCAAAUUUAAGCUUAGGAAUUUUCUUUAAUUUUAAGAGUACUCUAUUCCAUUCUUCUUUAGUCCUUUCAUAUAAAUAACUUCCAAUGACUUCAAGAGCAAGAGGUAGUCCUCCACAAUAAGCAACUACUCUUUCUGCAAGGAAAUGAUAAUCUUGUUUUGGUUUUGCUUCUCUAAAUGCGUGCCAACUAAGAAGCUCAAGGGACUCGUUUCUGUUCAUUGGAAUCAUCCGAAAAACAGAAUCAGCUUGAUAUAUCCUUGGUAGGUUUUCUGGUCUUGUUGUAAUGAUUAUUACACUUCCUCUUCUGAACCAAUGACGGCAUUCCCAUAGUAAUGUCGCAUCAAACUUAGGCACAUCGUCAAGUACAAUGAGCACCCUUUUCCCAGAAAGUUUUUCCCGAAUCAUACUUCUUCCCAUCUCAAAGCUAUCUAUCUCUACCUUUGUAUUUAGGACAUCUGAAAGGAGUUGUUCUAGUAAACGAAGAUCCCCUCUUAUUCCGCUAACUUGUCCAAUAUCUUCAAUGAAACUUUUGUUCGUGAAUGUACCAUGAAUUUGAUGGUAAAUGGCUUUAGCAAGGGUGGUCUUACCAGAUCCUCCUUGUCCACAUAUCGCUAUCCUACAAACUUCCGUGGAUUUAUAUUUGAUAGUUCGAAUCAGAUCCUCCAUGUGCGAUUGUAAUCCAACUGGAAAUUUAGUAACAGACAAGACUGGUAAACUAAGAACGGUCUUAACAAUGUUGUCCACUAGUUCAGCAUCACUCCUUCAAGGUCAAUAACAAUUAUAGAACAAGUCAUGUAUUACCAAAAUUGAAGUACACGCUUAGUAAGUGAGUGAUUUACCUGUAAUUGCUCUCAUCCCAUCCAAAGAAAUUUGCAGCUUUGGUGAGUGCGUGGCUCCACCUGGACAUGCCAUGCUCCAGUUGUUGUCCUGAGAAUGCUUGCUCUGCAGUUGCUUUGAAGGCUUUUCCAAAAUCACCCAUCUGAAGACGUACAUCAGAUGGCUGGAUUUCGUAAUAAACGGGCAGAACAUGUCGGCGAUAAGUUUGGUGCCAUUUGAUGAUUUGUUGAAGCUGAUGAAGACACCAAGUAGAUUGAGAAUAGGAUUUGGUGAAAACAACAAUUGCUACACGAGAGAGAUUGAGAAUAGGUUGUUGGAUGUGAAGAGGGUUGUCUGCAUUAGGGUGGUUAAGGAAAGUGGUGAAGCCAACAGCAGAGAGAACAGAAUCGAGAUGAGAAACAAAUUUCCUUUGGAUGUCUUCUCCAUUAAAGUUGAUAAGCACAUCGUACAUCCGUGGCAGAUUUGAUGAUGAAGAUGACGAUUCCAUAGAAGAAAUUGAUGAGGUCAACUGUUAGAAGAAGAGAAAGCAAUAAUGCAACACAGUCAAAAAGACUCAAAACCAUUCAAAUUAGCCCAACAUUAAUACAUUUAUUUUUCAUAGUCGUUGAAGCUCGUGAAUUGCAGCACCCAUUUUACUCUAGAAAAAUAAUAUAUUUACAACUUAUUCUAUUAUACAACCUUCAAUUAAAAAAAAAAUUACUUUCAUUAUUUUAUAAAAAACUAAAAUUUUAAACAGAAAAAAAAAAUUAUAUACUAGAAAAGGCUCUCAAUAUAUUAAUAUUAUUUACUUUAGCCAUUUAAGAAAAUAGACCAACACCCACUAUGAACCAAAAAAAAGUAUUACACUAUUUUUUCUAAUUAUAUUCUCCUUUUUCCUAAAUUUACCUAUUAACUUUACUUUUUAUUUUAAAAAGCAUUAUGUUAUCUCUCUUUUUACGUUAGGCACGUAUCUCUUUAAAUUUUAAAAGAAUAAAAAAUAAUACAUUUUCUUUCCACAUAUAUUUAAAGAGGCCACUGUAAUAAUGUAAAAAAUAGAAAGUAUAAAUACAAUUUAGAUAAACGUCACUACACCUGAAUUUAUUUUUUAAAUAAAUAAAAUAAAAGAAUUGGACGUCAGUUUACUAAAAUUUAAGAAGUUUAUUAUCAAUUACUAAAAAUACAAAUGAGGUGAGUGUAAUUGAUUUUAUUAAGAAGACAAAGUAAAUGUAAUUUUCCCUUUUAUUUGAAAUAUAAAAUUAUAUGGUAUUUUUUUUUUUUAUCAACAAUGAAUAAAUUAAUAAAAAAAAGAUACUUUAAGGUAUCCAACCGGUAUAUAAAGUCUCUUAGUUACUCUUCUUUAUGGCUUAAACAAAACCCCGAUAUGCGGCUUAACUUACUUCAUUACAACCCCAAACAGUGUACACUUAACUACAUCCACACAACACCUAUUCUACAAGCAUGUACCAGCCACUUGGAGCAGCAACCAUAGGGUGCGCCAAACAUCUUAGAAAAGUUUGGAGAAAAAGUGGCCUCAACCAAACCAGAUAGGAAAAACAGCAAUCACCCAAUUAAGUUAUGCAGCAACAAUUAACUUGGCCUACAGCUUUGCUAGCACUAAAUUCUGCUGUGUAGAUCAGCAGGUCAAUACCACCAAUUGACUUGCUCAUGGCCACUUACCCUUGCAUGCAGCAACCUUCAACAUCGAGCCUGCUAGUUCCUUCAGCUUAUGCAUCAAAGAGAAAUCAUCUGUGUGUACGGAGGAUGGCAAGGUUAGAAACCUUCUUUCAACCACCUAUACACUAUGCCAAUAGUUACCACACUUCAGCUGCUACAUGACAAAUACCCUGCAACCUUGACUCCAUUAGGCACCCAAUCUGCAUGAAUAAUACACCUGCAGUCCACACCUACACCUAACUUCCACACGUACACAUGAAUAACAUUAUUCCAAUAUCAUUAUGUUAGAAUUAUUAAACAAAUAUAUUUUUAUUGAAAAGUUAGAGGUUGCAGGGUAGGGUUUGAAAAUGGUUCUCUAGUUUCUAUUCUGCAAGUGCAACCAAGCAAUUAUUGUACUUUUACGCACAAUGGCGGAAGUGAAGUGUUUUUUCACAAAUUUUCCUCAUGAGUACGCGAAGAGGGACAUGUGGAAGAUUUUUCAAAGGUGGGGAAGGGUUGCCGACGUCUUUAUCUCAAGAAGACUCAACUCCGGAAACGGGCGUUUCGGGUUUGUGAGUUUUCAAGGGGUGGUGGAUGCACACGCUUUAGAGAGGAGGCUUGAUGCUAUUUGGAUUGGGAUGUGGAAGUUGUGGGUAAAUCUACCUAUGUUUAGCAGGAAGGAAACACUCAAACCUGAGGUGGGUGGCAUAAGGAAGCAUGAACAGGUAAGGAAGACUUGGAGGCAGAAGAAUCAACAAAGAACAUUUGCUCAGGUGGUUAGGGACGGAGAUGAGUCUGCCUCUAAGAAGGUCGAGAACGCGAGCAUGGAUUGCUUCCAAGUUGCAGUAGAGUCUACAAAGUGGUUGGAGGAGUGUUUUGUAGGGAGACUUAUUGAGUUAAAAAAUGUGAUGUCCAUUAAGGAAAGUUUUAUGUUGUGUGGAUUUAAUUCAGUGAAGUUGAGGUCCUUAGGGGAGAAGUUUGUGUUGUUAUCCUCUGAUGAAGUGGGAGUGUUAGAGAAGAUAGUUGUUGGAAACAAAGACUUGUUAGAUGGAAUUUUCGAGUCUCUCGUCCCCUGGGAUGCUAGUUUUGUGGUUGAUGAAAAAUUCGUUUGGGUCCGAUGUAGGGGUGUCCCACUGGCACUUUGGAGUUGCCAGUGUUUCGAAUCUAUUGGGUCUCUUGUUGGUUCGUUAGUAGAGAUUGACAACGCCACGAUAACAAGGGAGGUGGUUGAGUUUGCUCGGUUGCGUGUCAGAAUCCCGAUAGGAAGUGUGGCAAAGUUGGUAAAGCAAGUGCAGAUUAAUGGCAAGUUAUGCAACGUAUCCUUUGAAGAAGAGUUACAGGUUCCGGUUGCCAUGCAGAGGCUCCUUGAUCGUCAAUGGGGAGUGGUUUGUGAGGAAGAAUCCGAAGCAAGCUUAGUUGAAUUCGAAGGAGUUGGUUCUGUCAAUUCUCUAGACUCGGAGCUUGGUGAAGGAUUUGAACCAAAAGAAGGAGAGGAGGAAACGGUUCAGUAUCCUGUGGAGGUGAAUGGAAGCUUGCUAGAUGGUGAAGGUGGCGCAUGCAAAUACAAUCAUUGCGGAAAGGGUCAGUCUAUGCUAGGUGGAGUAAGUGUUAUGUGUAAUUCUAAGUGCAAUAUUAAUUUUGGGGUAAAUCUGUCCAACUUGGGUUAUGAUUUUUCCCACUUUGGUAACCCCACAGUUUCUUCAAAAAAGGUAGAGCAGAGUAAUAAAGUUAGUGGGGCCCAGUCAGAUGGUUGUGCAGAAAAGAAUAUUGGUCUUAAUGACACAUUAAUUUCUCAGGAGAAGGAAUGGUUUGAUGACCUAAUUUGUGUUGUGCCUAUUCUGGCCCAAGAAAGAAACGCGUCUAGGGUUGGGACUGAGUCAGCGGUGGCGGCGGCUGCCACGUGCGUUGUCGCAGGGGAGCUUGCAAGCGUAGAGGCGAUGCGGUCUGCGGUGGUUGGCGGUAAGGAGGUGUCGCGACCUAUAGUGGUUGGCGGCGAAGAGGUGUCGCGGCCUGCACUGGUUGGUGGCGGUUCUGGUGGAUGCUCCGCCUGUCUAAACGGAAGGUUAUCACCGUCCGAUAGGGGCGUUCGCGGAGCGGCGCUUUCCAGCAGUGGAGUUCUUUAUGUGGACUUGAGUGCGGCGGCAAGUGGCAGUCUUGUGUCCACGCCGUCGUCGGCAAUUGGAGCCAAUUCCAUCGACGAAGUCAGAAGAUUGGGAUGGAGCGGAGACGUAGGAGGUUGUGAGGGUGCGAGUCUGGUGAAUGGGAGGGAAGAUGAAGUAGGUCACCAGUUUAGUAGUGCGGUGGCGGACGGUCAGAGGAGUUUAAAUGGAAGUGAAAACAAGGUCUUGAAUCCUUUUUAUUCAAUCAAUGGUGCGACCCGUCAAGUGGAUGGAAGUUUUGUAAGUCGCGAGUUCAACCGUGUCCCUUUGGUCAGUUUUGGAGGAACAGGCUCACAACCUCGAGCUUUGUUGGACAUCAAUGUUAGUCGUGAGUCCUAUGUUCCUCUCAGCCGAAGCAUCGACAGUGCUGUCCAAUAUGGAUCUAGGCUUAAUCGGUUGAAAAACGAUAACUUUGAAGCUGCUAGAAUGUGGAGCAUAGGAAAGGAACUCGGGUUCUCCUUUAUUGGUGACGAGGAAAUUAUUAUUAGCAAGUUAAAACCUUUGGAAAACUGAGACAGCAGUAUGCAGGAAGUUGUUGAGAAGGAGAGCAGUGUUUCAGAUGAUGAAGGUUGUUAGUCUGAAUAUAAGAGGGAUAGGAGGGGGUAUUAAAUGAAAAUAUAUUAAAGAUCUGAUCAGCAAAGAACAGGCAGAUAUGUUAUGCUUACAGGAGACUAAAUGCGACAAGGUUAGUAAGGAGUUGGUUUUUCAUUUGUGGGGAUCUAAUGAUAUUGGGUGGAUUGAAGUUGGUGCUAGAAAUAAUGCAGGAGGGAUCAUAACUAUGUGGAGAAACAACCAAUUCCAACUCGUCAAUUUUGUCAGAGGUAACAAUUUCUCUGCUGUAGAAGGGGUGUGGAAGGGUGGUGGAGGGGUUCAGGUUGUUAUAGUUAACGUUUAUAGUCCAAGCUUGUUGAGGGAAAAGAAGGUUCUUUGGGAAGACAUCGGUGAGCUUAGACGACGCCAGAACAAUAGGGUGUGGUGCGUGAUUGGAGACUUUAAUUCUGUUAGGAGACAAGAAGAGAGAAGGAGUUUAUUCUCCACGUCUGAUUACAGCAGAGAUAUCAGAGGGUUUAAUGACUUUAUUGAAAAUUCUGAGCUUGUGGAUGUACCGAUGGUAGGGAGAAAGUUUACUUGGUACAAGCCAAAUGGGUCAGUUAAAAGUAGAAUUGAUAAGGUCUUGGUGUCCAGGGAAUGGCUGGAUGUGUGGCCGGAUUGUAAACAAUUUGUUUUAAGCAGAAUUGUUUCUGAUCAUUGCGCCUUAGUGCUUAAGGUCUCAAAAGUGGAUUGGGGUCCGAAACCGUUCAGAAGUUUGGAUGCGUGGCAGAGUGACGGGAGGUUUAAAGAUUUUGUCAAGAGCAAGUGGCAUGGUUACGAGGUACAUGGGGGAGGCAUGUUUGUGUUUAAAGAAAAAUUGAAAAAGCUGAAGGCUGAUUUAAAAAUAUGGAAUAGGGAGGUCUUUGGUUAUGUGAACCUUGAAGGGGAUAAGCUGGUCAAGAAAGUUCAAGAGCUGGAUGAAAGAGAUGAUGAAAGUGAUCUAGACGAGCAGGGUAGGGAGGAGAGGCGGGUGUUGCUGGUCAUCAGUGGUUGCAACAUGGGGAUCUCAAUACAAGCUUUUUUCAUUCGGUUAUUAAGUGGAGGAGGGCGAGAAAUGGCUUAAAUGGAGUUUUUGUGGAUGGCCUGUGGUGUGAUAAUACAGAGGUGGUAAAGGAUAAGGUUAGGAAUUUUUUUAAAUCUCGGUUUGAUGAAGUUGAGGGGGUUCCUAUAAGGUUGGAUAAUGUUGCUUUCAGUUCAGUUUCUGGGGAGGAAAAUAGAAUGCUGGUAGAAGAUAUUUCUGAAAAAGAAGUUAAAUUUGCAAUUUGGAGUUGUGAAAGCUCGAAGAGUCCCGGUCCUGACGGGUUUAACUUUGGUUUUUUAAAGUUCUGUUGGGAGAUCUUUAGAGAGGAUGUUCUGAAGGCAGUGAAUGAGUUUGCAGAUAGAGGAAGUUGGCCCAGGGGGUCAAACGUGUCUUUCAUCUGUUUGGUUCCCAAGAUGGACAUCCGCAGCAGCUAAGCGACUUCAGACCUAUUUCUUUGGUAGGUUGUUUAUACAAAAUAGUCUCGAAGGUUUUGUCUCUCCGGUUGAAGAAGGUGAUGAGUAAGUUAAUUGGUCCCAAGCAAUUAGCUUUCUUGGAAGGAAGGGGCAUAUUGGAUAGUGUCCUUGUGGCAAAUGAGGUUUUAGAGGAGGUGAAGCGAAGGAAGAAGAGUUGUGUUUAUUUUAAAGUUGAUUACGAGAAGGCCUAUGACUCUGUAAGCUAGGAGUUCUUAUUCUACAUGCUUGGAAGGCUAGGCUUCUGCGAAAAAUGGAUCAGAUGGAUUAAAUCUUGUUUGGUUUCUUCCUCUGUGUCGGUGCUUGUAAAUGGGAGUCCAGAAUUUUGUCCAAAGAGGGGUCUUCGUCAAGGUGACCCUCUUGCGCCUUUCUUGUUUCUCAUUGUGGCAGAAGGAUUGGCAGGUGUUGUAAGGAUAGCUAUAGAGAAGAAUUUGGUGGAAAGUCUGGAGGUUGGGGCACAAAAGGUUAAGGUGAACAUGCUUCAAUAUGCGGAUGAUACUCUGUUUUUAUGUGAAGCGAAUUUUAAAUCGGUCUGCAAUCUGAAGGUUAUUCUGCACUGUUUUGAAUUAGCCUCUGGUUUGAAGGUUAAUUUCUCAAAAAGUAGAAUUGGAGGGGUGGGGGUUGAUCAUACUGUGAUUCAGUAGUAUGCUGCAAUCCUUAAUUGUGAAGUGAUGAAAACUCCCUUCAAAUAUCUGGGGUUGAUCGUUUGGGGGAGUCACAAGCGAAUCUCGUUUUGGGAUGGUGUAUUAGAAAGAGUUAAGAGCAGGUUGGGUAGAUGGAAAGGCAGAUUUCUCUCGUUGGCAGGGAGAGUGUGUCUUAUUAAGUCGGUGCUUUCUGCCAUUACGUUGUUUUAUUUAUCCAUGUACAAACUGCCUGUUGCUGUGUUAAAGGAGUUUGAAAAGGUACAGAGAAGGUUUUUGUGGGGAUGGGGAGACGAAGGAAGGAAAGUAGCGUGGGUCUCGUGGAGAAAGGUGUGUGAGUGCCUAGAGAAGCUGGUGGUCUUGAAAUUUUGAAUUUAAGGUUUUUCAAUGCAGCAUUGCUGGGAAAGUGGAUUUGGCGUAUGGAGACUGAGAAUGAUGGUCUGUGGAAAGAAAUUCUUGAAUCUAAAUACGGAGGCUGGAGAAAUUUACAAGAACAAAGAAGUAAUGCUAAGGAUUCCAGUUGGUGGAGAGACUUGAAGGGGGUUUGGGGGAUGGAGGAUUGGGGUAAAUCCUUUGAGAAUUGUUGCAAGUGGAGAGUGGGAGACGGGAAGGAUAUUUUGUUUUGGAAAGAUGUUUGGGUGGGCAACGAAGAUUUGAAAAGUAAAUUCCGAAGAUUGUUCUCUUUGUGUGGUAAUAAAGAAGGUAGUUUACAGUCUUGUGGGGAGUAGGUUAAUGAUAGAUGGGAGUGGAAGUUUAUUUGGAGGAGAGGUCUGUUUGAUCGGGAAAUAUAUGCCAGGAAGUCCAUCUGUUACAAGAAGUGCAUGGAAAGACCCCUAUCUUGAUUCUGCAGAUAGUCGAGUUUGGAAGGCUGGUAAGGAUAGUGGUUUCUCGGUAAAAUUUGCCUAUGCUCUUUUAAGAGGCCCUGUUGAGGGAAAAAGUGUGUUUGUCUUCUUCUGGAAGACUCCUGCUUUGCCCUCAGCACAGAUUAUCACUUGGAGGGUGUUGAUUAAUUCGAUUGCCACAAAAGCUAACUUGGAGAGGCGUGAGAUUUUGGUGGAUACCAAUCUAUGUAGUUUUUGCAGGAUGGCUGUGGAGUCGACAAAUCACAUGUUUUUUUAUUGCAGGAUUGCUUGGUUAGUCUGGAAUCAGUGCUAUACAUGUUUAGGGAUUGCGUCGGUUGGCCAUGUUGUCCCAACAACUCACUUCUUGUAUUUUAUUUUGCUAAAUGCUCCUGUCCAAGUUAAUGUAGUUUGGAAUUGUGUUUGGAUUGCUGUACCUAGUAAAUUAUGGAAGCAUAUUUUUCAAGGAGGGGGUGAUCGAUCCUUCGAAAGUGUUCACUUUGGCACAAUUAAAUGUUUGGUCUUGGGUAACUUCUAAAACUGUUUCUGCUAGUUUUACUUACUCUGAGUGGCGUAUUGAUCCUAGGGAUUGUAUGUUUUCAAUAAAGUGAGCUUUUAUAAGAGUUACUCCUUCAAUUGGGUUGUUUGUUGUUCUAAGCUUCUGUUGUUCUUUUUGCCCCUUGAUAUGGUUGCAAAGAGAUUGUAUUGGGUUUGGUUUUGAGUUUGUACGGGUUAGAUUUGAAUUUGUACGGGUUAGUUUUGAAUUUGUACGGGUUAGUCUUGAAAGUGUACGGGCUGUACGGGGUUUUAGUGGUAGAUUUGUUUGUCUCUCUAUUUGUUGGUUUGGGAGACCAGAGAAAUUGUCUCAUAUUUUUUUAUGUAUCUAUAAGGGUUGAACCACCCCUUAAGUGGUUCCUGUUAUUCAAUCCUUUUUGCUGAUAAAAAAAAAUAUAUUUUUAUUGAAAAUAAGUUGGAAUUAUCUUAAAUGCAUGACAAGUUAUUUAGGUUAGUUUGUUAAUAUAUUUAAUUUUCUAUUUUAAAUUAUUGGGCUUUGCUUGUUUGACCCAACUUUCCUUUUCUGUUUCAGCUAGGUCUUAAUAUUUUUCUUAUAUAUACACCAUGUAUUUUACUCAAUAAUAUACAAGUGAAUAAAAGUUUCUUUUAUAUUUAUUUUUCUCUACAAUUAGGGUUCAUCAAAACCUCUCUUUCUUCAUUACGAUUACGUGUGAUUACGUACGCUACAUUAAAGCAUCACAUCAGACAAGGAAUAUUCAUCUUCAUUUACUGUAAUAUGGUAUCAGAGCUCAUCGAAUGAAGAGUUCUGUUGCGCUUCUCUCUGAUUUUUAUUUCCCUCUUUGCUGUUCUUGGUUAUUUUUUAUUUUUUUUGUUCUCUUUCAAAAUCUUGAUUGGUUUUAAAAUCUUUUAGGCAAUGUUUAAUGAAAACCCUAGUCUUCAUAGUCUUAAUAGUAGUCACACUAUUACAUGCAAUUUUUGUGGUAAAUAUGGUCAUACUGAGGCUUUUUGUUUUCGCAAAGUGGGUUUUCCUUUUGUUAAUGUUAAAACCUCGAAGUUUUCUUUUACAUGAAAAGUCUGCACUUUUUGUAAUCGUCUUCGCCACACUGUCGACACCUGUUAUAAAAAGCAUGGGUUCCCUCCUGGCUACAAAUUCACCAAUUGGACAUCCCAAGCCAAUAAUAUGAUUACUACUGACACUUUUUCUAAACUUUUUCCUAAAGAACAGGAUGUAAAGGGGAUUCAACUUACAUCACAAUAGUGUCAAUUCCUUACCAACAUUUUGCGUCAGCAAAACCUUGAGGAUCCUGCCCCUCACACUCAAAUUAAAGUCGGCACCAUCUCUACGGAUGAAAUCCUUAAUACUGAGCAUUCUUCAAUAGGUAAGUUUCUCUCUUCAUUAUCUUCUAUAAAAGAAUCUUGAAUUAUUGAUUUUGGUGUCACUGAUCAUGUUUGUCACAAUUUGAACGUUUUUACUACUUAUACUAAAAUUAAACUUGUCUUAAUUAGUCUUCCAAAUGGCCAAACUGUUUAUGCCACAUAUUCUGGUUUAGUACGUUUUUAUGAUAAGUUUCAUUUGUGUGAUGUGUUAUACGUGCCUCAUUUUCAAUUAAACUUAAUAUCUGUUUCUAAACUCACACACCAACUUAAAUGCACUUUAACUUUCACUUCAACCCACUGCAUUAUACAAGACAAUCUCACCCAAGAGAGGAUUGGUACAGUUAAAGCCACCGCUGGCUUGUACCUUGUCACUACCUUGCCUGCUUCUAGUCGUUCUAAACCGCAUUGUUUUGCUCAUUUUAUUAAUUGUAAUAUCACAGACAAAACACUAUGGCAUUAUAGACUAAGACACCCUUCACAUGAAAGAUUACAUGUCUAAGCAAACAAUACUAUUUUAUUACUGUUGAUACUCAUCAUGUAUGUGACACUUGUAGUCGUGCAAAACAGAGAAAACUUCCUUUCACUUUAAGUAAUAUUGUUACCUCUGCUAUUUUUGAUCUUGUACACUUUGAUAUUUGGGGACCAUGCUCCAUAAUUUCUAUGCAAGGUUUUCGUUAUUUCUUGACUAUUGUUGAUGAUUACUCGCGUUAUACUUGGGUUAUUCUGCUGCAUAACAAAUUUGAAGUGCGUCAGCACAUCAUUAACUUCACUGUUUUCGUUCAAAAUCAUUUCAAAACUAAUAUCAAAACGAUUCGUACUAACAAUGAUGUUGAGUUUGCUAUGUCAAAUUUUUAUGCUUCAAAAGGUAAUUAUACAUCAAAAAUCUUGUGUUGAAACACCACAACAAAAUGACAUUGUAGAACUAAACAUCAACACAUACUAAAUGUAACCCGGACUUUACUUUUUCAAGCAAAUCUUCCUCCUAUUUUUUGGGAAUUUGCUGUAAAUUAUGUUGUUUUCUUAAUAAAUGUUAUUCCUACUCCAUUACUUAAUAACAUCACUCCUCAUGAAAAGUUGUUUGGAAAACCAUAUGACAUUUCAUUUCUAAAAGUGUUUGGUUGUCUCUGUUAUGCUAGUGCCAUUACUGCACAUAUGAAAAAAUUAGAUGAUAGAUCUAUCAAAGGUAUUUUUCUUGGCUUCCCGCAAAAUACAAAGGGUUAUAUUAUCUUAAAUUUAAAUUUUCAUAGCAUAGAGAUAUCAAGACAUGUAAUCUUUCAUGAAAACCACUUUCCAUAUAAAUUGGACAAUGGCUUGCCUAAGGACCCUAACACUUUAUCUCUCCCUAUUUCUAAUGCAUAUAAUUCUGCUUUUGAUUUUUUUUUCUGAUACUGCAUCUCCUGUCGAGCAAUGUGCCUCUACUCCUGCACCCAAUACUGUCCCUCCACCAACCUCAUUAUCCUAUGAUCUUCCAACAAAUAGUGCCUCUGCUCCUGCAUCCAACAUUACACCUCCAUCAGAAUUAUCAUCGCCUGCAUCUUCAGGAAGCAUCUCACCCCAAUUUUCAAGAAGAUCAGCUCGUCCUCACCAAGAACCUGCCUAUCUUGCAGAUUUCCACACUGCAACCAACAUUGUAAGUAGUAGAUAUCCUAUUCAUAAUUACUUGUCUUACAAUUCCUUAUCUUCCAAUUUUAGAAAUGUUAUUUCCUCUAUCAAUUCUCAUCCUGAACCUCAAACAUAUAACGAAGCCUCCAAACAUGCUUCUUGGAAAUCUGCCAUGCAAGAUGAGCUUCAAGCUCUUGCUGCUAACAAUACUUGGCAACUUACCCCUCUCCCUUCAGGAAAGAAAACAAUUGGUUGUAAAUGGGUAUAUAAAAUAAAAUACCAUUCAGAUGGCACUAUUGAGCGCCACAAAGCUAGAGUUGUUGCCAAAGGGUUCACCCAACUUGAAGGACUUGAUUUCUUAGACACUUCUGCACCUGUUGCUAAACUCACAACCCUUCGCCUUCUCCUUGUUGUUGCCACUACCAAAAAUUGGAUUUUAAAACAACUUGAUGUCAAUAAUGCCUUUUUUCAUGGUGAUCUCCAUGAAGAGGUAUACAUGAGCCCCCCACCUGGCCUCUCUCUUCCUCCUCCCUAGCAUGUUUGCAAGCUUCAACGGUCUUUGUAUGGCCUUCGUCAAGCUGGUCGCCAAUGGUACGCCAAACUUUCUACUUUUCUUUUAUCAAAUAAUUACUCUAUUUCUGUUGCUGAUCACUCUCUUUUUCUUAAAUAUAAUAAUAAUAAACUCACUGUUAUUCUUGUUUAUGUUGAUGACUUGGUCUUAACUGGUGAUGACACGGAGGAAAUCAAUACAAUUACUGCAUCCCUUCACCAUCACUUCAAGAUAAAAAAUUUAGGUAAUCUCACUUACUUUUUGGGACUGGAAAUUGCUCGCAACAGUACUGGUCUUCAUUUAAGUCAACGCAAGUAUACUUUUGAUCUCCUUCAAGAAACUGGCAUGCUUGACUCUGCACCUGUGGCCACUCCUAUGACUCACACCUCCCGUCUCUCUUCCGACCAAGGCUCACCUCUCGAUGCUGAUGCCACUUCCCAAUACAGAAGACUCCUUGGACGUCUAAUUUACUUAACCAACACGCGACCAGGCAUCGCCUUCGCUGUCCACAAUUUAAGCCAAUUCAUAUCUGCACCCACAACUCAUCAUCAGCAAGCUGUCUCACGUCUUUUGCGUUACCUCAAGGGCACCCCUGGUGAAGGACUAUAUUUUUCUGACACUAGUUCACUUCACCUCUGUGGUUUUAGUGACUCUGACUGGGCAACAUGUCCUACCACACACAAAUCUAUCACUGGAUAUUCCAUCUACUUAGGAGACUCCCUAAUAUCAUGGAAAUCAAAGAAGCAGCCAACUAUAUCUCGCAGCUCCUUUGAAGUCGAGUAUAGAGCCCUUGCUACCACCACAUGUGAGUUACAAUGGUUGUCUGACCUCCUUCAAGAUUUACAUCUUUCUCUCUCCCAGUCUGCAACCCUAUACUAUGACAACAACUCUGCCCUUCAAAUAGCUUCCAAUCAAGUUUUUCAUGAACGAACCAAGCACAUCGAAAUUGAUUGCCACCUAGUUCGUGAAAAACUUAACUCUGGUCUCCUCAAACUACUGCCCAUUACUUCUGCAAUGCAAGUUACUGACAUAUUCACCAAGCCCCUUGCUUCCGCACAAUUCUCUACUCUCAAAUCCAAGUUGGGCCUGAAAAAUAUCUACUCCCCAGCUUGAGGGGGGUGUUAAUAUAUUUAAUUUUCUAUUUUAAAUUAUUGGGCUUUGUUUGUUUGACCCAACUUUCUUUUUCUGUUUCAGCUAGGUCUUAAUCUUUUUCUUAUAUAUACACCAUGUAUUUUACUCUCUAAUAUACAAGUGAAUAAAAGUUUCUUUUAUAUUUAUUUUUCUCUACAAUUAGGGUUCAUCAAAACCUCUCUUUCUUCAUUACGAUUACGUGCGGUUACGUACGCUACAUUAAAGCAUCACAUCAGACAAGGAAUAUUCAUCUUCAUUUACUGUAAUAAGAGUUGUCGAGUUUAUAGUUGAAAACUAAAUAAUAAUUUAACUGCAGAAAACUCUCAGACACUCAAGUUCAUAAGAGUUAUGAAUGAAAGCAAAAUAAUAAUAAAAUAUUAAAUUGAACUAAAAAUAUUUCCCAAAGUGAUGUGUAAACUUUAAACCCUAAACUAGAUAACUUAUCUCAAUCAUUCUUAUUGUUCUGAGUGGAUAUUAUUAUAGUCAAUGAGGAUGAAUAUUCAUGGUCUGAUGUGGUACAUCAAAUGGAGCACAUGUAAUCGCACGUAAUCGCAAUGAAGAAAGGGAGGUUCUGAUGAACCCUAAUUGCAAAUGAAAAAUAGACAAUGACUUAAGCAUAAAAGAGAGAUAAUAAAAUACAAAAGAAAUUAUUAUUUACUUCUGUAUUAGAGAGUAAAAUACAUGGUGUAUAUAUAAGAAAAAGACUAAGACCUAGCUGAAACAGAAAAGGAAAGUUGGGCCAAACAAACAAAGUCCAAUAACUUAAAACAGAAAAACUAAAUAUGUUAACACCCCCCUCAAGCUGGGGAGUAGAUAUUCGUCAGGCCCAGCUCGGAUUUGAGAGUAGAGAACUGUGCGAAAGCAAGAGGCUUGGUGAAUAUGUCAGCAACUUGCAUGGCGAAGUAAUGGGCAGCAAUUUGAGGAGACCAAAGUUAAGUUUAUCACGAACUAGGUGACAAUCAAUUUCGAUGUACUUGGUGCGUUCAUGAAAGACUUGAUUGGACGCUAUUUGAAGGGCAGAUUUGUUGUCACAAUACAGGGUUGCGGGAUGGGAGAGAGGAAGAUGUAAAUCCUGAAGGAGGUAAGACAACCAUUGUAGCUCACAUGUGGUGGUGGUAAGGGCUCUAUACUCGGCUUCAGAGGAGCUGCGGGAGAUAGUUGGUUGCUUCUUUGAUUUCCAUUAUAUUAGGGAAUCUCCUAAGUAUAUGGAAUAUCCAGUGAUAGAUUUCUGUGUGGUAGGACAUGUUGCCCAAUCAGAGUCACUAAAACCAAAGAGGUGAAGUGAGCUAGUAUGAGAAAAAUAUAGUCCUUCACCAGGGGUGCCCUUGAGGUAAUGCAAAAGACGUGAGACAGCUUGUUGAUGAUGAGUUGUGGGUGCAUAUAUGAAUUGGCUUAAAUUGUGAACAGCGAAGGCGAUGUCUGGUCGCGUGUUGGUUAAGUAGAUUAGACAUCCAAGGAGUCUUCUGUAUUGGGAAGUUAAAUCAGCAUCAAGAGGGGAGCCUUGGUCGGGAGAGAGACGGGAGGUGUGAAUCAUAGGAGUGGCCACAGGUGCAGAGUCAAGCAUGCCAGUUUCGUGAAGAAGAUCAAGAGUAUACUUGCGUUGACUUAAAUGAAGUUCAGAACUAUUUCGAGCAAUUUUCAGUCCCAAAAAGUAAGUGAGAUGACCUAAAUUUUUUUAUCUUGAAGUGAUGGUGAAGGGAUGUAGUAAUUGUAUUGAUUUCCUCCGUGUCAUCACCAGUUAAGACCAAAUCAUCAACAUAAACAAGAAUAACAAUGAGUUUAUCGUUAUUAUAUUUAAGAAAAAGAGAGUAAUCAGCAGCAGAAAUAAAGUAAUUAUUUGAUAAAAGAAAAGUAGAAAGUUUGGCGUACCAUUGGCGACCAGCUUGACGAAGGUCAUACAAAGACUGUUGAAGCAUGCAAACAUGUUGGGGAGAAGGAAGAGAGCGGCCAGGUGGGGUAGUCCAUUAUACCUCUUCAUGGAGAUCACCAUGAAAAAAGGCAUUAUUGACAUCAAGUUGUUUUAAAAUCCAAUUUUUGGUAGUGGCAACAACAAGGAGAAGGCGAAGGGUUGUAAGUUUAGCAACAGGUGCAGAAGUGUCUAAGAAAUCAAGUCCUUCAAGUUGGGUGAACCCUUUGGCAACAACUCUAGCUUUGUGGCGCUCAAUAGUGCCAUCUGAAUGGUAUUUUAUUUUAUAUACCCAUUUACAACCAAUUGUUUUCUUUCCUGGAGGGAGAGGGGUAAGUUGCCAAGUAUUGUUAGCAGCAAGAGCUUGAAGCUCAUCUUGCAUGGCAGAUUGCCAAUAAGCAUGUUUGGAGGCUUCGUUAUAGGUCUGAGGUUCAUGAUGAGAAUUGAUAGAGGAAAUAAUAUUUCUAAAAUUGGAAGAUAAGGAAUUGUAAGACAAGUAAUUAUGAAUAGGAUAUCUACUACUUACAGUGUUGGUUGCAGUGUGGAAAUCCACAAGAUAGGCAGGUUGUCGGUGAGGACAAGUUGAUCUUCUUGAAAAUUAGGGUGAGGUGAUUCCUGGAGGUGCAGGCGGUGAUAAUUCUAGUGGAUGUGCAAUGUUGGAUGCAGGAGUAGAGACACAUGGCUCGACAGGAGGUGCAGUAUCAGAAAAAAAAAAAAUCAAAAGCAGAAUUAUAUGCAUUAGAAAUAGGGAGAGAUAAAGUGUUGGGGUUCCUAGGCAAGCCACUGUCCAAUUUAUAUGGAAAGUGAUUUUCGUGAAAGAUUACAUGUCUUGAUAUCUCUAUGCUAUGAUACUUUAAAUUUAAGAUAAUAUAACCUUUUGUAUUUUGCGAGAAGCCAAGAAAAAUACCUUUGAUAGAUCUAUCAUCUAAUUUUUUUCUAUGUACAGUAAUGGUACUAGCAUAACAGAGACAACCAACACUUUUAAAAAGGAAAUAUCAUACGAUUUUUCAAACAACUUUUCAUGAGGAGUGAUGUUAUUAAGUAAUAGAGUAGGAAUAACAUUUAUUAAGAAAACAACAUGAUUUACAGCAAAUUCCCAAAAAAUAGGAGGAAGAUUUGCUUGAAAAAGUAAAGCCCAGGUUACAUUUAGUAUGUGUUGAUGUUUACGUUUUACAAUGUCAUUUUGUUGUGGUGUUUCAACACAAGAUUUUUUAUGUAUAACUCCCUUUGAAGCAUAAAAAUUUGACAUUGCAAACUCAACAUCAUUGUCAGUACGAAUUGUUUUGAUAUUAGUUUUGAAAUGAUUUUGAACGAAAACAGUGAAGUUAAUAUUGUGCUGACGCACUUCAGAUUUGUUAUGCAAAAGAAUAACCCAAGUAUAACAUGAGUAAUCAUCAACAAUAGUCAAGAAAUAACGAAAACCUUGCAUAGAAAUUAUGGAACAUGGUCCCCAAAUAUCAAAGUGUACAAGAUCAAAAAUAGCAGAGGUAACAAUAUUACUUAAAGUGAAAGGAAGUUUUCUAUGUUUUGCACGACUACAAGUGUCACAUACAUGAUGAGUAUCAACUGUAAUAAAAAAAGAGUAUUGUUUGCUUAAGACGUGUAAUCUUUCAAGUGAAGGAUGUCCUAGUCUAUAAUGCCAAAAUGUUUUUUCCGUGAUAUUACAAUUAAUAAAAGGAGAAAAAUAAUGCGGUUUAGAACAGCUAGAAGUAGGCAAGGUAGUGACAAGGUACAAGCCAGCAGUAGCUUUAAUUGUACCAAUCCUCUCUUGGGUGAGAUUGUCCUGUAUAAUGCAGUGGGUUGAAGUGAAAGUUAAAGUACAUUUAAGUUGGUGUGUGAGUUUAGAAACAAAUAUUAAGUUUAAUUGAAAAUGAGGCACAUAUAACACAUCAGACAAAUAAAACUUAUCAGAAAAACGUACUAAACCAGAAUAUGUGGCAUAAACAGUUUGGUCAUUUGGAAGACUAAUUAAGACAGGUUUAAUUUUAGUAUAAGUAGUAAAAACGUUCAAAUUGUGGCAAACAUGAUCGGUGGCACCAGAAUCAAUAAUCCAAGAUUCUUUUAUAGCAGAUAGUGAAGAAAGAAACUUACCUGUUGAAGAUUGCUCAGUAUUGGAGAUUUCAUUCGCAGAGAAGGUGCCAACUUGAUUAAUUUGAGUGUGAGGGGAAGGAUCCUCAAGAUUUUGCUGACGCAAAAUGUUGGUCAGGAAUUGACACUGACACUAUUGUGAUGUAAGUUGAAUCCCCUUUACAUCCUGUUUUUUAGGAAAAAAAACUCAGAAAAAGUGUCAGUAGUAAUCAUAUUAUUGGCUUGGGAUGUCCAAUUGGUGAAUUUGUAGCCAGGAGGGAACCCAUGCUUUUUAUAAUAGGUGUCGACAAUGUGGCCAAGAUGAUUACAAAAAAAACAAACUUUUCUAGUAGAAGAAAACUUUGAGGUUUUAACAUUACCAAAAGGAAAAUCCACUUUGCAAAAACAAACAACCUCAGUAUGACCGUAUUUACCACAUAAAUUGCAUGUAAUAGUGUGACUACUAUUAAGACUAUGAAGACUAGGGUUUUCAUUAGACAUUGUCUAAGAGAUUUUGAAACACAAUCAAGAUUUUGAAAGAGAACAGAAAAGAUAACCAAGAACAACAAAUGGGGAAAUAAAGAUAAGAGAUAAGUGCAGUAGAACUCUUCAUUCGAAGAGCUCUGAUACCAUAUUAUAAUCAAUGAAGAUGAAUAUUCCUUGUCUGAUGUGGUGCAUCAAAUAGAGCACAUCAAAUAAGAACCCUAAUUGCAAAUGAAAAAGAGACAAUGACUUAAGCAUAAAAGAGAGAAAAAUAGAUAAAAGAAAAUACAAAAAAAAAUUAUUUACUUAUGAGAGAGUAAAAUACAUGGUGUAUAUAUAAGAAAAAAGAUUAAGAGAAACAGAAAAGAAAAGUUGGGUCAAACAAACAAAGUGUAAUAAAUUAAAAAAAAACUAAAUAUUAAAUAUGUUAACAGAUAUUAGUUAUAUAUUUUCCUAUAUUAGGUAGUAGAAAACAUUUUAUUUUUCUUAAUUUAUACUCACUUGGAAUUAUAGUUUGCUGGUCUAGUAUGUCUAAAUAAAAAAAACAUGUAAAGUUAUCUCAUUUUAACUUUUUUCAUCUAGUUUGCUCAUGUCAUUUAGUUAUUAUACUCAACAGUUUUAUCCUCUCUCUUUUUUGUUUCUCAAAGUUUUUUUUCUCUAAAAUCAUUGAAGUGUUUAACAAGGUUCUUAUUCCGCUGUUCCAUAUUUAACUUGUGACAAAAGCUCAAAAGUGUCAAUGAUCUUGAAAUAAAAGCGUGUUUGGUGAUGUUAAUAAAAUUUGUUAGUUUAAUUACCUUUUUCGUCUUUUACAUUAGAGUUAAUAGUUAAAUAGUUAAUUUAGUAAAGAUGUUUAUGUAUCAGAGAAAAGUGAUUACCAGAGAAAAGUGAUUACGUGGAUUGUAAAGUAAAAACACGUCAGAUUAAUGUUUAGGGUUUGAAAUAAUGAGAUUGAGAGAAACGUUUUGAAUGCUGGCUUCUUCACAUAAACGAGGAUGUUGACAGAAACAGGGGAGGAGUAAUUAGCGUUUGGGAUUUAUGGUUGCGUGGUGGAAGAGUUUGAAGAAAAGUUUAGCUAAUUUGUUGAGUUGUCCCAUUGUGUGGUUGUGUGGUGGAAGAGUAUGGUGAGGGUGUAAGCAUAAAUGGAGAAGAUGUUAGAGAGAGUAAGUGAGGAGAGAGAAAGGUGGAGUUGUUGAGAGGAAUAAGAAAAUAGGGUAAAAUCUGCAAUCUGACAGAGGAAGAUGAUGAAGAUAAAGGAUUACCCACCCUUAGUUUUUUAAAUAAUUCAGAAGAAGAUAUUUUAUUAUCUUUACUGACAAUUAUAUUUAUAAUAUGACAAUUAUAUUUAUAAUACUUACAGUAAUAAAUUCUUAACUAAUUUAAUGAGCAGUUACCUAAAGAUAUUAAAUUAACAAUUAAAACAGAAUAAUAAAAUAUGACAUGUACUUAUGUACUUGCAGUUAAAAAACAGAAUUUUCAACACAGAUGACCCAUGUGACCAACUUCUAGAGAAUUCUAGACUCAACUACAAUUAUAGAUUGCCCAUGCCAUAACUCCAGUUAUUAGAUUCGACUUUUUCAAGUUAAAAUAUAAAUAUGCAUUAUUAUUUUCUCUCAAAUAAAUAUCUUCUUAAAAUAAAUUUAAACAACAAAUGUGAAAUUUGUUAAUUUUCUUUUAAAUUUUAACUAGGAGUUUGGUUCCAGGUUUAAUUAUGGAAUAGAAUUUCUUUCACACUGUAAUAACAAAAAAAUAAUCAUUCCAUAACUAUAAUAAAUAUUAUAUUAUAAUAAAAUAAUAAUUUUUUUUAUAUGAAAUUGAUAAAGUUGGUAUCAAAAUAUAUUUGUCUUUUAACAUUGUAUAUAAAACAAGACAAAUAAACUUAUUAUCUUAAAAUUUCAGAUUAGAAAUAUUAUUUUAUUCUUUUAUAUAUAAUUUUUAUGAUUUAUCAGUGAUUAUCAUGAUGUUUUGGAUUAGAAAUGUUAUAGAGAUUUGUCUAACAUUUCUAAUUAUUAUAAGAUAAUUCUGAUUAUUAAGUGUAGAUAUAGAUGUAGAUUAUUAUUUUAAUAUAAAUGAAUUAUAUAAAUGAAAUGGAGAGGGGAGGGGUAUAUUUGUCCGUUAAGGGAGAAAUGAGGAAAGAGGGAUCUGUAUAAUGAAUUAUGGUUGUGCAGAUGGUUUGGCGAGUGAAUCAGAGUCACUAUCUCUCUCUUUCUCUUACACUACACAGUGGAACAACUCACCACACUAACUAAACUUUUUUCACUCUAUAAUUAAAUAGUGAAGGUCAAGAAAUGGGAUUAAUGAUUUGCUAGAGAAUAGUCAAUGGUGUCAGGAUCAAGUGGUUGUUAAGGAAAAGGUUAGACAAUUUUUUCAGGGAGAGAAUAGCAACAAGUCAGGUUAGAUAAUACAAAUUUUAAAACUAUUCAUGGAGAAGAUGAAAUGUUGGUAGGAAGUAUUACAGAAGAUGAAAUGUUGUGACGACUUUAAUUUUGGUUUUAUAAAAUUUGUUGGGAAGAGAUCAAGAAUAAUAUACUCACAUAAAGUUAUUGAUCUUAGGCAGUCAACACUCAUAUAAUGUAAGGGUUUAAUGGAUAGUGUUAUGGCCAACGAAGUUCUACUGAAGAGAAAAAAGAAUAUUUUUUAAAGUGGAUUACGAGAAGGCUUAAGAGUCACUAAGAUGAGAGUUCAUCUACUAUAUGUUAGGAAAGUUAGAUUUUUGUGAAAGAUGGAUAGUCUGGGUAAAAGCAUGUUUAGAAUCAUCUUUGGUGUCAGUAUUAGUGAAUGGGAGUCCAACUCAGGAAUUUAAACCACAGAAGGGACUGAGACAAGGAGACCCCUUAACACAUUUCUCGUGUCUUAUAGUUGUAGAAGGAUUAGUAGGGGUUUUAAGAAAAGAAGUUGAGAAAAAUAUGAUAGAAAGUAUGGAGAAUGGGGAUAAGUUGGUUAAGGUGAAUAUGCUACAAUACAUGGAUGAUACACUAUUUUUCUGUAAAAUCAAUACUCAAAGUGUGUUUAUUAUAAAGGUAAUUCGAAACUGCUUUGAAUUAGCAUCUGACUUUAAGGUAAAUUUUCAAGGUAAAUUUUCUAAAGAGUAAAAUUGGAGGGGUGGUAGUUAAUCACAAUCUGAUUCAAUGUUUUGCGAAAAUUCUUAAUUGUGAUGUGAUGAAAACACCAUUUAAAUAUCUGGGAAUGUUAGUUGGGGGGUGCCACAAGAGAUAAAUUCUGGAAUGUGAUGGAAAGAAUGAGGAAUAAAUUUGGUAGAUGGAAAGGUAAAUUUAUAUCUAUGGCAGGUAGGAUAUGCUUAAUUAAAUUAGUGCUUUCAUCUCUCCCUCUGUUUCAUUUAUCUUUAUAUAGAAUGCCAAUAAUGGUAAUGAAGGAGAUAAUGAAAUUGCAGAGAAAAUUUUUAUGGGGUUGGAGUUCGGAAGGUAUGAAAAUAGCAUGGGCUUCAUGAGAAAGUAAAUUUGAUGAUAAUAUAACUUGAGAGGUAGGAAAUGGGAUGGAGAUUAGUUUUUGGGAAGAUAAAUGGGCGGAUAAUGAAGAACUAAAAAAUAAGUUCCCGAGAUUAUUUUCUCUAAGCACAAUCAGAUAUUUUUAAGUUGUAUCAUGUUAGGGAGUGGAAUAAUAACAAUUGGUUAUAGAAGCGGAGAAGGAAUUUAUUUGAGUGGGAAAAGAACCAAGCACAUCAAUUGACACAAGUUUUGGAAGACACAAGUUUAAACAUGGAAAAAGACGAUAAGUGGGUAUGGAAGUAAGGAGAGACAUCAAAUUAUACGGUUAAAUCAGCAUAUAGAAUCUUAAAGGGUGAAGUAGAGGGGAAAGGCAAGUCCAUGUACGAGAAUUUUGGAGAAUUAAGGCACUGCCUUCAACAUAUACCACAACUUGGAGGGUUUUGGAAAAUAAGAUUAAUACAAAGGUUAAUUAGAAAGAUGUGGGAUAGUUAUGGUGAGUAAUAUUUGCAAUAUGUGUGGGAGGAUGAUGAGACAAUAUGUCAUUUAUUUUUUAAGUGAAGAGUUGUUUGACUAGUACGGAUAUGUUAUUAAUAUAUGUUGUGAAAUAUAAUGGGCAAUGGUUUAUUGGAUUAUGAAGGAAAGAAGAAUUGUGGUAAGUUAUACAGUUUAUGGUUGAGAGGGGUGGUUUGAUGCAGGUACGUGCCUAGUACAUUGUAGCAGUGAAGGUAUGAACAUUGUAGCAGGAUUGGUGUUGGUGGAUCAAGUGCUAUCAACAUGGUGGCCAUUUGAGAAAAGAAAGGGCAUCGAGGAUCAUAUGUUUCAAUGGUUUUUUCUGGUGAGGAACUUGUGCAGCAGGCUCAAAUCUGACUCACUAUUUGGCACAAAGUUGUUUUCAUUAUUUGAAAAACUUUUGGUAUAAAGAAUGGUUAAUUAGAUGUAUCUGUUAAUUAUGUCCUGCUUGAGUCUUGCUGGUUUUCGCUUCUCCUUCACUGGUUUCACUAGAUGGAUGGGGUUGUGUGGGUUAUGACUCACCUUUAUUGUUAUCUUGGCAUUAAUGGGAGGUUACUUGCCACACUAAAUUGCAAUCAAUGGGAGGUUAAUUGCCACAAUCAAUUGCAAUCAAUGGGAGGUUAAUUGCCACAAUCAAUUGCAAUCAAUGGGAGAUUAAUUACCAUUAAUUGUAUUUAUUAUUGUUGUCUCCUAGAACCACUAUAUAUAGUGGCUUCCUUCAAGCAAUGUAACACACAACAUACAGCAACACACACUUGCUUCCUCUCUCUUUUCCUAUACUCUCUAUUUCAUCUCUUGGGUGUAAGUGUUUAACCCAUAUAUAAAGAGGAUUUGUUUUGGGGCUAUUUAUCUAUUAGCUAGAGAGGAAUUCAUUGUACUCCCAGUACCAUUAUAGUGGAAGUUUUGGCUCUCUCGCCGGUAGUUUUUUACCUCUAUUUAAAGGGGUUUUCCACCUUAAAAUUCUGGUAUCAUUCUCACUUUACUUGUUACUUUAAUUUCUCAUAAUCUUUGGUUGAAAUUAUCACGCUUCCGCACACGAUAUCCCUACAAAUUGGCAUAAGAGCUUUUUCGAUAAUUCAACCAGGAUCUGUUGUUCAAUAAUGUCGAAAUUGGAUAUUGAGAAAUUUGAUGGUAAAAUCAACUUUGCUAUCUGGCGAGUCCAGAUGCUAGCUGUUCUCACUGAAUGGUUUAAAGAAUGUUCUGGCAGGUAAAAUGAUGAGACCAACCACUAUGACGGAGGAGCAGUGGGAUGAGAUGGAUGAAAAGGCAUUGUCUGCAAUCCAGUUAUGCUUGUCCCGUGAGGUGUUGCGUGAGGUCAUCAACGAGAAAAGUACAGCAGGCAUAUGGAGUAAAUUGGAGUCUAUAUACAUGACCAAAAGUCUUGCAAAAAAACUCCAGUUAAAGGAGCGACUCUUUACACUCCGAAUGUCUGAAGGUACUCCCAUCCAAUCUCACCUUGAAGAAUUUAAUUCCAUCAUAAUUGAUUUGGAAAAUUUGGAUGUUAAAAUUGAUGAUGAGGAUAAAGUCGUUCUACUUAUUGUUUCUCUACCACCCUCGCAUCGACAAUUCAAAGAAAUUAUGUUAUACGGUAAUUAUCUUACCUUAAGCUUUGAUGAUGUCAAGACUAAUUUACUAGCCAAAGAAAAAUUUGAUACUCAAAUUCAUUCUGAAAGUUCUGGUGAAGGAUUAGUAGUUAGAGGGAGAAACCAAGAGAAAGGUAGGAACAAUAAAUAUAAAUCUAGGUCAAAAUCUAGAGGCAAGAACUCCAAAUAUUGUCGUUAUUGCAAGAAAAGGGGACACGAGAUCUCUGAAUGCUAUAAAUUGAAAAAUAAGCAAGAUAGAGAAGAUAACUAAAUGGUAAACAACCAGAAAAAUUUGCCGAAGCUAGUAUUGUUGAAACUAAAUCUGAUGGGGAUUGUUUUGUAGCUUUCAACACUGAACAAAGGUCUAAAAAUGAAUGGAUUCUUGAUUCUGGUUGUACUUUUCACAUGUCUUACAAUAGAGAUUGGUUUACCACAUAUGAACCAAUUUAUAAUGGUCUUGNNNNNNNNNNNNNNNNNNNNNNNNNNNNNNNNNNNNNNNNNNNNNNNNNNNNNNNNNNNNNNNNNNNNNNNNNNNNNNNNNNNNNNNNNNNNNNNNNNNNGCUCAAUACAAAGUUGUUGGUGAAGGAACAAUCAAAAUCAAGACACAUGAUGGAAUUGUUAGAACUUUAACAGGUGUCAGAUAUGUCCCUGAGUUGAAACAGAAUCUCAUUUCCUUAGGCACCCUUGAAUCUCAUGGGUGUAGAUACUCAGCUGAAGGUGGAGUUUUAAAAGUGUCUAAAGGAGCUCUUGUGUUACUAAAGGCAAUUCGAUGUGAUAGUUUGUAUGUGCUGCAGGGUUCAACAGUUACAGGUUCUGUAGCUGUUGCCUCACCCAACAAAGAUAACACCAAGUUGUGGCAUGAGAUUAGGUCACAUGAGUGAGAAGGGAAUUCUAAUCCUCAAGAAGAAGGGUCACCUUGGUAACCACUGUACUGGAAAGGUUGAUUUCUGUGAACAUUGCAUUUUUGGUAAGCAGAAAAAGGUUAGUUUUUCUAAAGCCAUACACAGAACCAAAGGUACUUUGGAUUAUAUUCAUUCGGAUCUUUGGGGUCCGUCAAAAGUUCCCUCCAGAGGUAAAUGUCGUUAUAUGAUGACAAUUAUUGAUGAUUUCUCACGAAAACUGUGGGUGUAUUUUCUCAAACAUAAGAAUGAAGCAUUUUCCACUUUUAAAGAGUGGAAAUUAUUGAUUGAGAAUCAAACUGGCAAGAAGAUAAAGAGGCUAAGGACAGACAAUGGCCUUGAGUUCUGUUCGAAUGAAUUCAAUGAUUUCUGCAAGAAGGAAGGCAUUUCUAGACACUUCACCAUCCCAAGUACUCCACAACAGAACGAGGUUGCAGAAAGAAUGAAUAAAACUAUCCUGGAGAGAGUUCGUUGCAUGUUCUCCCAUUCUGGUUUGAGCAAAUCUUUUUGGGCUGAAGCAGCUUCAACGACAUGCUAUCUGAUAAACCGCUCUCCUAACAGAUCAAAUGAUUGCAACAUUCCAAAAGAAGUUUGGUCAGGUAACCCUGUUGAUUAUUCUAAUCUUAAAAUAUUUGGUUGCCCUGCUUAUUUUCAUGUAAACGAGGGAAAAUUAGAACCUCGUGCUAAGAAGUGCAUUUUCUUGGGUUAUGGCUCAGGGGUUAAAGGUUAUCGUUUGUAUGACCCAGAAUCUCACAAAAUAAUUCACAGUCGGAAUGUGACCUUUAAUGAAAAUGCUAUGCUCUCUUCUGUAAAAGAUACUGUCAUUUCCUCAAUUGAUACAGGUGGCCAGGAAGAGGCUCGAGAGAAAGUGGAGUUUGAGAUUAAAACACCCGCUCAUGAGGAAGACGUUCCCAAUUCCUCCAGUACCCAAGAUGAUCAAGUCAUUACUAUUGAUGGUACAAGUGAACAUUUGAGUCCACAUGAGCAAUGUCCACCUAAACGACGAGGAUUACCACAGUCGUGGUCUAUGGCUCAAGAACUUCCACAACAGAGACCAAGAAACCAACUCAAAGAUUAAUUGCAGAAUUUGCCAACAUUGCUUAUGCUUUAACUAUUGCACAAGAGAUGGGUGAAGAAGGUGAACCCAAUAAUUACUCUGAAGCUAUCUCUGGUGACGACUAAACAAAGUGGAUUGCUGCUAUGCAAGAAGAAGUUGAGAGUCUUCUAAAAAACGAAACAUGAGAAUUGGUGAAGUUACUAGAAGGAAAACGAGUCAUUAGUUGCAAGUGGAUCUUUAAGAGAAAAGAAGGGAUCCCUGGUGUUGAGAGUACAAGGAAUAAAGCAAGAUUUGUUGUAAGAGGUUUUGUUCAAGAGAGAGGUAUUGACAUUAAUGAAGUAUUUUCUCCUGUUGUUCGUCAUACUUCAAUACGUAUAUUACUUGCUUUAGUUGCCUUGUAUGAUUUGGAGCUGGAAUAGUUAGAUGUGAAAACUGCUUUUCUUCAUGGUAAUCUUGAGGAAGAGAUUUACAUCCAGCAGCCUGAGGGCUUCGUUGUUCCUGGAAAGGAGGACCAUGUAUGUCGUUUGAAGAGAUCUCUCUAUGGCUUGAAGUAAUCACCAAGACAAUGGUAUAAGAGGUUUGAUUCUUUCAUGAUUGGACAUGGAUACUCCAGAAGUAGCUAUGAUAACUGUGUUUAUUUUCAAAAGACAUCUGAUGGGUCAUUUAUAUACUUGUUGUUAUAUGUUGAUGACAUGUUGAUUGCCGUAAGAGAUAAAUCUUUAGUUAACAAGUUAAAGGCCCAACUUAGCAGUGAAUUUGAUAUGAAAGACUUAGGUCCUGCCAAGAAAAUUUUGGGAAUGGAGAUCAACAGAGAUCGACUAGCUGGAAAACUUUUUCUAUCACAAAAGAAGUAUGUUCUUAAGAUGCUUGACAAAUUUGGAAUGCGAGAUUGCAAAGUUGUUAAUACUCCAAUUGCCACCCACUUCAAGUUGUCAUCAGAUCAGUGUCCAAAACCAGACGAGGACAAAAGACGCAUGUCACAUGUCCCGUAUUCAAAUGCAAUUGGAAGUCUCAUGUAUGCAAUGGUAUGUACUAGACCUAAUUUAGCUUAUGCUGUUAGCAUUGUUAGCAGGUUCAUGCAUAAUCCAGGCAAGGCACACUAGGAAGCCGUUAAAUGGAUACUUCAUUAUCUGAAAGGUUCUCCAGAUCUUGGUUUGGUAUUUGAUCAACAUAGAGCCGAUCCCGGAGGAGCAGUUGGCUAUGUUAAUGCUGACUAUGGUGGUGAUUUAGAUCGGAGAAGGUCACUUUCAGCCUACAUUUUUACCCUAUGUGGGUCUGCUAUCAGUUGGUAUUCUUCACUUCAAGCCAUUGCGGUUUUGUCCACCACUGAAGCAUAAUAUAUUGCUGCUACAAAAGGAAUGAAGGAGGCUAUAUGGCUUCGAGGCUUGGUAAGUGAACUUGGUCUUCAACAAGAUGUUCUUGUUAUAUUUUGUGAUAGUUAGAGUGUUGUCCACUUGACCAGGAACAGUAAGUAUCACUCAAGGACCAAGCACAUUGAAAUUAAACACCAUUUUAUCCGAGACAUUGUUGAUACAGGAGAUAUAAUUGUUGAAAAAAUUCAUACGGCCGAAAAUCCUGCAGACAUGUUGACCAAGCCACUUCCAUCGGCUAAGUUCGAUCAUUGCCUGAACUUAGCUGGUAUUAUCCAUACUUAAUCAAGGCUUCAUCUUUAUUGUGGAGAUUUGUGGGUUAUGACUCACCUUUAUUGUUAUCUUGGCAUUAAUGGGAGGUUACUUGCCACACUUAAUUGCAAUCAAUGGGAGGUUAAUUGCCGCAAUCAAUUGCAAUUAAUGGGAGGUUAAUUGCCACAAACAAUUGCAAUCAAUGGGAGAUUAAUUACCAUUAAUUGAAUUUAUUAUUGUUGUCUCCUAGAACCACUAUAUAUAGUGGCUUCCUUCAAGCAAUGUAACACACAACAUACAGCAACACACAACAUACAGCAACACACACUUGCUUCCUCUCUCUUUUCCUAUACUCUCUAUUUCAUCUCUUGGGUGUAAGUGUUUAACCCAUAUAGAGAGGAUUUGUUUUGGGGCUAUUUAUCUAUUAGCUAGAGAGGAAUUCAUUGUACUCCCAGUACCAUUAUAGUGGAAGUUUUGGCUCUCUCGCUGGUGGUUUUUUACCUCUAUUUAAAGGGGUUUUCUACCUAAAAAUUAUGGUAUCAUUCUCACUUUACUUGUUACUUUAAUUUCUCAUAAUCUUUGGUUGAAAUUAUUACGCUUCCGCUCAUGGUAUCCCUACAGGUUGGUUUGGUAGCCUUGUGUUACUUUUUUAUUGUAGCCUUACAGCUGCUGGUUUGGUUUCCCUUUGGAUCACAACAUCAUGCUUUUUUUAGUUUUCAUGGGUUUGCAAGCAUAAGCUAUAGGUUUUCUAUGAUUAUCUUUUUUUUUCUAAGUUCGAUUUUAACAUGAUUGAAACAUUCUUGAAAUAGUUUAUAUUUAUUAAUUUUUACUUGGAUAAAAACUUUAUAUAUGAAACAUAAAAGCCUAAUCAAUAAAAAGUACACAUUUGUAAUUUUUAACCAUUAGCGGUAUUUGUCUACAUGGUUAUUUUUUGAAUUUUUUAAAGAUUAUAUUUGGACAUAUCAAAUGAAUAUGCUAAAAAUGAAAAAAAUUGACAAAAGAAACAUCGACAAAGCAAAUACAAUAAACAGUUCAAUUCAAGUAAAGCCAAGGAAGCACAAUCUGAGGAGUGAGAAACAGGGUAAAAUAAGUAUGAAUCUCGUAACUAUGAACUAUACUCAAAGAAAUACAAGGAAAGGAUUAGAAAAAAUAAAUUGCAAUGAAAGACACAAGGAUUAAUUCCAUAACUCAGUUCUCAAAAAAACAUAAAUGACUUACUAGAACUCACAUUAGAGUUUUCUUUAUGAAUUUAAGGAGAGAUAUUUUCUUUGGUACAGGCUCCUUUUCCAAGUCAUUUGAUUCAUCACAUAUCAAAUAGGCAGUUGUGUUCUUGACCACCAAUCCAUUACCAAAACUCACAAAAAUCUCCACCUUGUCUCCUGAUCCUAAAUUUGACAUUAUGCCCGGCCAAUCUUCAUCAUUAGAGGAAAUUACCGUGCCAUGGUUGUGUAUUUGGCAUGUGCAAUUCGUGUAAUUAACAAUUAAGACAGUAGUAAGUUUAGGUUCAAUGAUUUUGGAGGUUGAUAAAUAAUCAACACAGAAAGCCAUUCCCUUCACGACACGAUCUUGUGGCACAGUUAAAGAAACAGAAUGUCCAUCACCCAUAUGGGCCAACCAAUAAGGAUCAUUGUCACCUGGGAGAGAAACAUCACAUGACUCACUGCUUGCAAAUACCUGUUUCAUGUCAUAAACAAGGGCAUGUUUAGUUAAGCAAAAAUGUUAUACAUGAUUAAAACAAAUCUGGUUCAUAGUUUUGUUGUGUAUACAUCCCCAUCUCUUCUUUAGUGAUUUAGUCUGUUUUUGUCUCUUAGUUUAUAUUUCUACGAUCAAUGGGAAUAAAGCAAUCAUGAAGCUAGUAAACCAAGAAAGUGGAAAUAAAUUUGGUAGUAGAUAUUAUAAGCAUAAUGCCUUGCUUGGUUGAUUACUAACAUCAGAUACUUUCAUUAGGAAUAUAUUAUGAUCUCAGAAAUAAUAGCUAAAAUGAUGGUUAAGGUAAUAAACACAAGGAAAACUAGAAGAACCUUAGGUAUGUUAUCGCUUACAGUAUUGAAGAAUUCUUUGUAUCUUCCAACACCAGUCAGAAAAGACUUGAGGUGAUUCUUUGAAAUUGCUGAUUCUGUAUUAUUUCCACCAUAUUCGACCACUGUAGUUUUUACUUGUUCAGAUAGAUGAAACUCGGCGUCACAUUCCACCAGAACAGUUCGGAGAUUCGCGAGGCUUCUAAGAAAUGGUGCAAUAUCAUCCCAACUAUUAUCCUCCAUAUCCAUGAAGGGAUGAAUAUAAGAUAGGGGAUUCAUUGUUGGCGACAUCCGAGACCGAAUGAUAGAAGGAAAAAGAUUAUGUGACAAUCCCUCACUUCCACGUAGGGAUAUAUAUCCAAUGAUUUUUGGGCUUACAAUUGUAAAAGGCAAUUGUUUCAUAACUGUAUUUUCAGCCAUUAGAGUUAUCAAGGAUUUCAUUCGUACUAUAUCUUUUUCCAUUAGGUCAAUCUUUAAACAACCAGAUAGAAUCAGAGUUUUUAAACAUUUCAGCUUAUAUAUCUCUCUGGGGAGAUUGCUUAGACUUGUACAGUCCUUCAAAUUUAGCAGUAUAAGAUUGCAGAGACGUCCAAUAGAUCGGUGUACUUUGCGCAAUCUUGGACAAUCUUUGAGAAUGAGCUGUUCAAGACUUGGUAGUCCGGAAAAGUGAGGGGUUUCUCUCAAGUACUUGGAGUGACUAAGAUUAAGGAUUUUUAGCCACGCCAAAACCUUCAUAGUUUUGAUAAAAUAUUAAGGAAGUAAAUGAGAACGAAAUAGUUAUAAGUGAAAACAAAUAACAAUUUUAAAAGAGAAUGGCACGUGAUAAAAACCUGGGGUUCUUUCCAAAGGAAUCGAAGAAGACUGUGUUUUACAUCAAUGGCUAUUGCAUCAUGCAGAUAAAAGUCGUUAGGUAGAUAUUCUGAAGAAAACCCUCGCAAACUGAUCCAUCUUAGUUUCUUAAGAUGGUAAUCUCUACCUAAUUUCAGCAGUCUUGAUGGGUCGCUUACAUGUAAAGGAUAGCUUCCGAAGAAAUCUCUUCCGGUAGGCAAUCUCUGAAUGAUUUUUGUGCCCUUAGAUGAAAAGAGCUAAGAAAAAGAAAUAUAUUGCACAUGAGAUUCCAAAAGGAGUUUAAAAAAGCAUAGAUAAAGGAUGUUCUUACCGUAUUCUCUGACAGUGAAUAUCUUGCGUCUUUAUCAAACCACAGUUUACUGUUCUUCUCAGGUUCCUUUCCUGAAAUUUGACGAAUAAUUUCUCUUCCCAUUUCUCGUAGCAAUGGAUGCAUUAUUAAUUUGUUGUCCUUAUUAAUUUGUAUGAGACUAUGCUUUAUGAGAACUCUUAUUCCACUAUCAGCGUCUAUUCCACAGCCAUUUAGGAUCUUCGUAACAUAGCUUCUGCUCUUACCAACAAAGGAACAACAUACAUCAAGAAAUAAAUCUUUUUCCAUUUGAUUGCGUAAACGGUCGAAACUUAUUUUCAAUUUCCUUUGAAGAUCGUGCUGGGGAAUAUUGUCUAAUCGUAACAAUACUGAAUUCCAUUCUUCUUUCGUCCUUUCAUAUAAAUAACUUCCAAUGACUUCAAGAGCUAGAGGUAGUCCUCCACAAUAAGAAACUACUCUUUCUGCAAGUACAUGGUAUUCUUGUUUUGGUUUUGCUUCUCUAAAUGCGUGCCAACUAAGAAGCUCAAGGGACUCGUUUGCGUUCAUUAACUUUACCUGAAAAACAGAAUCAACUUCAUAUAUCCUCGGUAGGUUUUCAGGUAUUGUUGUAAUGAUUAUUACACUUCCUCCUCCGAACCAAUGACGGUAUUCCCAUAGUAGUUCUCUAUUAAACUCAGGCACAUCGUCAAGUACAAUGAGCACCCUUUUCCCAGAAAGUCUUUCCCGAAUCAUAGUUCUUCCCAUCUCAAAGCUAUCUAUCUCUACCUUUGAUUUUAGGACAUCUGAAAGGAGUUGUUCUAGUACACGAAGAUCCCCUCUUAUUCUGCUAACUUGUCCAAUAUCUUCAAUGAAACUUUUCUCCGUGAAUGUAUCAUGAAUUUGAUGGUAGAUGGCUUUAGCAAGGGUGGUUUUACCAGAUCCUCCCUGUCCACAUAUCGCUAUCUUACAAACUUCCGUAGAUUUGUAUUUGAUAGUUCGAAUCAGGUCCUCCAUGUGCGAUUGUAAUCCAACUGGAAAUUUGGUAGCAGACAAGACUGGUAAAUUAAGAACGGUCUUAACAAUUUCGUCCACUAGUUCAGCAUCACUCCUUCAAUUCAAUAGCAAUUAUAGAAGAAGUCAUGUAUUACAAAACAAAAAUCAGAAGCUUAAAUAGUUCNNNNNNNNNNNNNNNNNNNNNNNNNNNNNNNNNNNNNNNNNNNNNNNNNNNNNNNNNNNNNNNNNNNNNNNNNNNNNNNNNNNNNNNNNNNNNNNNNNNNAGUAUUACACUAUUUUUUUCAAUUAUAUUCUCUUUUUUUCUAAAUUUACCUAUUAACUUUACUUUUUAUUUAAGAAAGCAUUAUGUUAUCUCUCUUUUUCUGUUAGGCACGUAUCUCUUUAAAUUUUAAAAGAAUAAAAAAUAAAUUUUCUUUCCCUAUUAACGUAUAUUUAAAGAGGCCACUGUAAUAAUGAAAGAAAAAUAGAAAGUAUAAAUACAAUUUAGAUAAACGUCACUACAUCUGAAUUUAUUUUUUAAAUAAAUAAAAUAAAAGAAUUGGACGUCAGUUUACUAAAAUUUAUGAAGUUUAUUAUCAAUUACUAAAAAUACAAAUGAGGUGAGUGUAAUUGAUUUUAUUAAGAAGACAAAGUAAAAGUAAUUUUCCCUUUUAUUUGAAUACAAAAUUAUAUGGCAUAUUUUUAUAACAUUAUUUCAAUAUCAUUAUGUUAAAUUAUUAAACACAUUUUUAUUGGAAAUAAGCUGAAAUGGAUGACAAGUUGUUUAGCUAAGUUUACAUUUUUGGUAAAGGAUUGUCGAACUUUAUGGUUGAAAUUGAGUGAUGAUCUCUACAUUCAAAUCCGUAAGAGUUAAGAAUGAAUGAGCAAAUAAAAAAAAAAAUAUUGAAUUAAAUUAAGAAUAUUCUCCCAGGUGAUAUUUAUAAAGUUUUGAACCUAUAACUUAUUUCAAUAAUGACUACUAAGCCGAUUGUUAGGAAAAUGUGGAGUGAUUACUUUUCAAGUACUAGAGAUAUAAGUUGUACUAGUUAGUUGUCAUGGUUAUGGGUGGAUAUUAACUGCUAUAUAUUUUCCUAUACUAGGUAGUACAAAACAUUUUCUUUUUUUUUCUUCAUUUAUAAUCACUUGGAAUUGUAGUUUGCUGGUCUAGUAUGUCUAAACUCAAAAAAAAAAAAAACAUGAAAAGUUAUCUCAUUUUAACUUUUGUCUUCGUGUCAUUUAGUUAUUCUCCUUUAUGAAGCGGCGUUCUCCAUAUGUGUGUAGUCGGUGGUCGCCGAAGUUAUUUGAAACGGCGUUCUCCAUAUGUAUGUAGUCGGUGGUCGCCAAAGUUAUAUAAGGUCAACAGAAUCGCCGGUCGUUGAAACGACGAUCUCAAUGCGUGCGUAGUCGGUGGAUGUCGAAGUGAUGCAAAGGUUAACAUGAUCGCCGGUCGACGAACGGCGAUCUCCAUGCGUGCGUAGUCGGUGAUCGUCGAAGUUAUGCAAAUGUCAACAUGAUCGCCGGUCGAGGAAGUGGCGUUCUCUAUAUGGGUGUAGUCGGUGGUCGCCGAAGGCAAUGUGCAUGGGUAACUCGUCGCGUGGCGAGGUGAAUGUAGAGGGCCUCGGUUUUGGGCGUCUCGAGUUGUAUGUUGCUUAAGGUAACCUGUUGGCUGUUUUUUGAGUAUGGUUUUCUCACUUUAAGGUUGCUCUGCCCCAACCAUAAAGGAGAGUCUCUUUUGUAGAUGAUAUAGGAAGUCCACUUCUGGGUUACUGUAUAUGGGUUGGGAUACCCCUGAAGUAUCCCUUAAUUUUAUUUAUUCAUUGCUUAUAAAAAAAAACAGUUUUAUCCUCUCUUUUUGUGUUCCUCAAAGUUUGGAAUGACCAUGUUGAUUGCUCUAAAAUCAUUAAAGAUGUUUAACAAUGUUCUUAUUUGAGUUAUUCCACAUUUAACUUGUGACAAAAGCUCAAAAGUGUCAAGGUGGCCUUGAAAUGUUGAAACAAAAGUGUGUUUGGUGAUGUUAAUAAAAUUUGUUCUUGAUAAACAAGUUGUUCUUAUUGGCAUUCAAAAUAAAUUGUGGCACAAAGUGAUUGUGUUUUGGCUGACUUGAUAUCUUUAUGAUCUAACUUUGGCGUUAGAUAUACAAUAAAAACUUUGGCAAGUGAAAGCUUGUGUUGUUGGUACAAUGAUGGUGAUAGAGGUACUAAUUUUUUUUCAUGUUAUUUUUAAGGGUGUUUCUUUCUACAUUCUAACAACUUUUUCUCUGCACCUCAUAUUUUUUUAAAACUUUGUUUUACCUUUUAAAAAUGACUUUUAAAUUACUCUUUCUAAAAUGUUUUGGAACAUAUUUUUUGGAACAAUUUUAUGAAUUUCGGAUUUACCAUUUUAGAAGUAAAAAAAAUUAGUCCCCUAAUAGAUUUUUUGUUUUCUGAAUUUCCUAUUCCGAAAACACCUUUUAUUUACCUAACACUUCCUAUUUCGAAAUCAUCCAAAAUUGUCUAAGAGUAAUUUAGGUAUUUCAAAAAAAUAUAGGAUAUAGAAAGAAACACCCUGCUUUUAAAUAUAGAAGGGUCGUCACAUUUCAAUGUUGGUUGAGUAUAAUAUUAUCUUGACUGAAAAAUAACAAAGUGAUUCACUUAUUUGCAUUGGCACUAAUCAUAAUUUGAUUGCUAUGAAUAGUUUUGUGUACUCUUAUGGUUUCUAACUUUGGAAAUGAUUUAAUUACUCUUGAUCCUACUAACGAAGAGAUAAAGAUUCUGAUUUUCAAUCUUAAUGUUGUUCUUUGUCUUUUUUGGAGGUUUCUUUUUUAAAACUUACUAGGAUUUAGUUUGCAAUAACAAUUAUAAAGUUAUCAAGUAAUCUUUCUCUCAAAAUUGGAUCUCCCUAAUAAGAACUCUAGUGUUAUCUCUCUUUUUUCUUAAGUGUUAGGCGUUGAGAAUCUUAAAAGACUUUCAUAUCCUAAAACUAUUACUAAUUUUUGUUUUAAAAUCAUUACUAAAUUUUUGGCCGAUAGACUAAGUAAUAUUGCUAGUUGUAUUAUGUACCCUCAUUAAAAUAGUUUUGUUAAAGGAAGGUGAAUUAGUGAUAGUAUUUGCAUUGCCUCCAAGGGUAUUAAUAUGCCCUAUUCUAAAGCUAAAGGAGUAAUGUGGCCAAUGAUAUAAAGAAGACUUUUUGACACUCUCAAUUGGGACUUCCUACUCUCUAUUUUGCAUAAAUUUAUUUUCAUGAUAAGUUCUGCAACUGGGUUAAAACUAUUUUGCACUCGACAUUUAAUGGUGGACUGGUUGACUAUUUUACUUUCAGGGAAUCAAAGCUCACUACAUAGCCGAAAGCCACAAACAAAAUUGAAAAGAUUGGACAAAGCUUGUACUUUGGUACCAAUUUUUGAACUGCACUAUGCAUGAAAUGUGCAAAAUUCUACUGCAGCAACAUAAAUUCUUCAAAUUGGUAGUGCAGCAAAACUGCACUAUUCUAAUUUCUUAUGCAGCAAAAUAUUUCUAAUAAACCACGGUGCCAUUACCUUAGUAUAAAGGAUGAAGCUACGGAGCUUCUUAUGUUGAAACAAAAACAGAGAAUACAUAGCAUAUAGCAAGGCGAAACACAUAACAAAUUAUCGAACCGCAGCUAUCUUUAUUUCAUAAUGUAAUAUCUUUUAAGAGGAUUUCUGAAUGAGAUAUUAUAUGCUAAAAAGGGAAAAGAAUUGACAAAAGUAACAACGACUAAGUAAAUAUAAUAAACAGUUCAAGUAAAGUUAAGGAAGCACAAUGUGAGGAGUGAGAAACAGGGUAUAAUAAGUAUGAAUCUCGUAACUAUGAGCUAUACAAAGAAAAACAAGGAAAGGAUGAGAAAAAAUAAAUUGCAAUGAAGGAGAUAAAUGACUUACAAGAACUCACAUUAGAGUUUUCUUUAUGAAUUUAAGGAGAGAGUUUUUCUUUGGCACAGGCUCCUUUUCUAAGUCAUUUGAUUCACUACAUAUCAGAUAGACAGUUGUGUUCUUAACCACCAAAUCGUGACCAAAACUCACAAAAAUAUCCACCUUGUCUCCUGAUCCUAAAUUUGACACUAUGUCAGGCCAAUCUUCAUCAUUAAAGGAAAUUACCGAGCCAUGGUUGUGUAUUUGGCAUGUGCAAUUCGUGUAAUUAACAAUUAAGACAGUACUAAGUUUAGGUUCAAUAAUUUCCGAGCUUGAUAAAUAAACAACACACAAAGUCAUUCCCUUUACGACACGAUCUUGUGGCACAGUGAAAGAAACAGAAUGUCCAUCACCCUUAUGGGCCAACCAAUAAGGAUCAUUGUCACCUGGGAGAGAAACAUCACAUGACUCACUGCUUGCAAAUUCCUGUAUCAUGUCAUAAACAAGGGCAUGUUUAGUUAAACAAAAAUGUUAUACAUGAUUAAAACAAAUCUGGUUAAUAGUUUUGUUGUGUAUACAUCCCCAGCUUUUCUUUAGUGAUUUAGUGUGUUUUUGUCUCUUAGUUUAUAUUUCUACGUACGAUCAAUGGGAAUCAAGCAAUCAUGAAGCUAGUAAAGCAAGAAAGUGAGAUCUAUUUGGUAGUAUAAGCAUAAUGACUUGUUAGUUGAUUACUAAAACCAGAUAUUUUUAGAUGAAGUCGUGGUGCUAAAAGUUCAGUAUUGUAGUUUCUACAAGAUACUUAAUUAUGAUUAUUUUAAGUUCUCUCAAAUAAUAGCUAAAAUGAUGGUGAAGGUAAUAAACAAAGGGAAAGCAAGGGAAGAACCUUAGGUAUGAUAUCGCUCACAGUAUUGAGGAAUUCUCUGUAUCUUCCAACACCAGUCAGAGCAUACCUUAGGUGAUGCUUUGAAAGCACUGAUUCUCUAACAUUUGCACCAUAUUCGGCCACUAUGGUUUUUACUUGCUCAGAUAGUUGAAACUCGGCAUCGCAUUGCACUGAAACACUUCGAAGAUUUGUGAGGCUGCUAAGCAAUGGUGAUAUUUCAUCCCAAUUAUUAUCUUCCAUAUGCAUAAAGGAAUGAAUAUAAGAUAGGGGAUUCAUUGUUGGCGACAUCCGAGACCGAAUGAUAGAAGGAAAAAGAUUAUGUGAAAAUCCCUCAAAUCCACGUAGGAAUAUAUAUCCAAUACUUUUUGGGCUUACAAUUGUAAAAAGCAAUUGUUUCAUAACUCUAUUUUCAGCAAUUAUAGUUAUCAGGGAUUUCAUUCGCACUAUAUCUUUUUCCAUUAGGUCCAUCUUCGAACAACCAGAUAGAAUCAGAGUUUUUAAGGAUUUCAACUUAUAUAUCUUUCUGGGAAGAUUGCUUAGAUUUGUACAGUCCUGCAAAUUUAGCAGUAAAAGAUUGCAGAGCCAUCCAAUAGAAGGGUGUACUUGUCUCAAUCUUGGACAAUCUUUGAGAAUGAGCUGUUCAAGACUUGGUGUUCGAUAAAAGACAGGGGUUUCUAUUAAAUACUUGGAGUGACUAAGAUCAAGGACUUUUAGCCACGUCAAAACCUUUAAGAACAUAGUUUUUGGUAUAUUAGAGAAGAAAACGACAAAACUAAAUAGUUAUAAGUAGAAACAAAUAAUAAUUUUAAAAGAGAAUGGCACGUGAUAAAAACCUGGGAUCCUUUCCAAACGAAUCGAAGAAGACUGUGUUUUACAUCAAUGACUAUUGCAUCAUGCAUAUAAAAGUCGUGAGCUAGAUAUUCUGAAGAAAACCCUCGCAAACUGAUCCAUCUCAGUUUCUUAAGAAGUCUUGAUGGGUCUCUUGCCUGUGAAUGAUCGCGUCCAAAUAAAUCACUUCCAGUAGGCAAUCUCUGAAUGACUUUUGUGCCAUUAGAUGAAAAGAGCUAAGAAAAAGAAAUAUAUUGCACAUGAGAAAGCAACCACUUUCAAAAGAAGUUUCAAAAGCAUAGAUAAAGGAUGUUCUUACCGUAUUCUCUGACAGUGCAUAUUCUGCAUUAUUAUCAAACCACCACAGUUGACUGUUCUUCCAAGGUUCCUUUGUUGAACUUUGAUGAAUAAUUUCUCUUCCCAUUUCUCGUAACAAUGGAUGCAUUCUUAAUUUGUUAUUCUUAUUAAUUUGUAUGAGACUAUGCUUUAUGAGAACUCUUAUUCCACUAUCAGCGUCUAUUCCACAGCCAUUUAGGAUCUUCGUAACAUAGCUUCUGCUCUUACCAACAAAGGAACAACAUACAUCAAGAAAUAAAUCUUUUUCCAUUUGAUUGCUUAAACCGUCGAAACUUAUUUUCAAUUUCCAUAGAACAUCAAGCUGGGGAAUAUUUUCUAAUAGUAACAAUACUGAAUUCCAUUCUUCUUUGGUCCUUUCAUAUAAAUAACUUCCAAUGACUUCAAGAGCUAGAGGUAAUCCUCCACAAUAAGAAACUACUGUUUUUGCAAGGAAAUGGUAUUCUUGUUUUGGUUUUGCUUCUCGAAAUGCGUGCCAACUAAGAAGCUCAAGGGACUCGUUUGCGUUCAUUAACUUUACCUGAAGAACAGAAUCAGCUUCAUAUAUCCUCACUAGGUUGUCAGGUCUUGUUGUAAUAAUUAUUACACUUCCUCCUCCGAACCAAUGACAGCAUUCCCAUAGUAAUUGUCCAUUAAAACUCAGGCACAUCGUCAAUUACAAUGAGUACCCUUUUCCCAGAAAGUCUUUCCCGAAUCAUACUUCUUCCCAUCUCAAAGCUAUCUGUCUUCACCUUUGUUUUUAGGACAUCUGAAAGGAGUUUUUCUAGUAAACGAAGAUCCCCUCUUAUUCCGCUAAAUUGCCCAAUACCUUCAAUGAAACUUUUCUCUGUGAAUGUACCAUGAAUUUGAUGGUAGAUGGCUUUGGCAAGGGUGGUUUUGCCAGAUCCUCCCUGUCCACAUAUUGCUAUCCUACAAACUUCCGUGGAUUUAUAUUUGAUAGUUCGAAUCAGAUCCUCCACUUGGAAUUGUAAUCCAACUGGAAAUUUAGUAGCAGACAAGACUGGUAAGUGAAGAACAGUCUUAACAAUUUUGUCCACUAGUUCAGCAUCACUCCUUCAAGUUCAAUAGCAAUUAUAGAACAAGUCACGUAUUACCAAAAUUAAAUCACAAACUUAAAAUAUGCGUGAGUGAUUUACCUGUAAUUGCUCUCAUCCCAUCCAAAGAAAUUUGCAGCUUUGGUGAGUGCGUGGCUCCAUCUGGACAUGCCAUGCCUCAGUUGUUGUGGUGAGAAUGUUUGGUGUGCAGUUGCUUUGAAGGCUUUUCCAAAAUCACCCAUCUGAAGACGCACAUCAGAUGGCUGAAUUUCGUAAUAAACGGGCAGAAGAUGUCGACAAUAAGUUUCUUGCCAUCUAAUGAUUUGUUGAAGCUGAUGAAGACACCAAGAAGAUUGAGAAUAGGAUUUGGUGAAAACAACAAUUGCUACACGAGAGAGAUUGAGAAUAGGUUGUUGGAUGUGAAUUGGGUUGUCUGCAUUGGGGUGGUGAAGGAAAGUGGUGAAGCCAACAGCAGAGAGAGCAGAAUCGAGAUGAGAAACAAAUUUCCUUUGGAUGUCUUCUCCAUUAAAGUUUAUGACCACUUCGUACAUCAGUGGGAUUUUGAAUGAUGAAGAGGCCAAUUCCAUGGAAGGUCAACGAUUAGAAGAAAAGAGAACAAAAAUGCAACACAGUCAAGACAAAAAACCAUUCAAAGAAGCCAAAGAUUAAUACAUUUCUUUUUUAUAGUCGUGGAAGCUCAUGAAUUGCAGCACCCAUUUUACUUUAGAAAAAUAAUAUAUUUACAACUUGUUCUAUUAUACAACUUUCAUUUAAAAAAAUAUAUAUAUUUUCAUUAUUUUAUAAAAAACUAAAAUUUUAGACCAAAAAAAAAAGAUUAUAUACUAGAACAGGCUCUCAAUAUAUCAAUAUUAUUUACUUUAGCCAUUUAAGAAGUUAGACCAACACCCACUCUGAACCAAAAAAACGUAUUACACUAUUUUUUUCUAAUUAUAUUCUCUUUUUUUCUAAAUUUACCUAUUAACUUUACUUUUUAUUUUAGAAAGCAUUAUGUUCUCUCUCUUUUACGUUAGGCACGUAUCACUUUAAAUUUUAAAAGAAUAAAAAAUAAUACAUUUUCUUUCCACAUAUAUUUAAAGAGGCCGCUGUAAUAAUGUAAAAAAAUAGAAAGUAUAAAUACAAUUUAGAUAAACGUCACUACAUCUGAAUUUAUUUUUUAAAUAAAUAAAAUAAAAGAAUUGGACGUCAGUUUACUAAAAUUUAUGAAGUUUAUUAUCAAUUACUAAAAAUACAAAUGAGGUGAGUGUAAUUGAUUUUAUUAAGAAGACAAAGUAAAAGUAAUUUUCCCUUUUAUUUGAAUACAAAAUUAUAUGGCAUAUUUUUAUAACAUUAUUUCAAUAUCAUUAUGUUAAAUUAUUAAACACAUUUUUAUUGGAAAUAAGCUGAAAUGGAUGACAAGUUGUUUAGCUAAGUUUACAUUUUUGGUAAAGGAUUGUCGAACUUUAUGGUUGAAAUUGAGUGAUGAUCUCUACAUUCAAAUCCGUAAAUGUAACUUAUAUCAAUAAGUGUCAUUGUUAUCAGAUAUUAGGUGUGGAGUGGUGUCAUUGUUAUCGGAUAUUAGGUGUGGAGUGGUUAUUUUCCAGUACUAGAGAUAUAAUUGGUACUAGUUAAUUCUCACCGUUGUGGGUGGAUAUUAACUGUUAUAUCUUUCCCUAUACUACGUAGUAAAAAAAAAAUCUUCAUUUAUAUUCACUUGGAAUUAUAGUUUGCUGGUCUAGUAUGUCUAAACUAAAAAAAAACAUGAAAAGUUAUCUCAUUUUAACUUUUUUUUCAUCUAGUUUGCUCAUGUUAUUUAGUUAUUGUAGGGAUAUCGAUCGUGUGUGGAAGCGUGAUAAUUUCAACCAAAGAUUAUGAGAAAUUAAAGUAACAAGAAAAAGAGAAUGAUAUCAGAAAUUUUUAGGUGGAAAACCCCUUUAAAUAGAGAUAAAAAAUCAUCGGCGAGAGAGUCAAAACUUCCACUAUAAUGGUAAUAGGAGUACAAUGAAUUCCUCUCAGGCUAAUAGAUAAAUAGCCCCAAAACAAAUCCUCUCUAUAUGGGUUAAACACUUACACCCAAGAGAUGAAAUAGAGAGUAUAGGAACUGUAUGUUGUGUGUUGCUGUAUGUUGUGUGUUACAUUGCUUGAAGGAAGCCACUAUAUAUAGUGGUUCUAGGAGACAACAAUAAUAAAUUCAAUUAAUGGUAAUUAAUCUCCCAUUGAUUGCAAUUGUUUGUGGCAAUUAACCUCCUUUGAUUACAAUUAAUUGUAGUAAGUAACCUCCCAAUUAAUUGUAGUAAGUAACCAAGUAACCUCCCAUUAAUGCCAAGAUAACAAUAAAGGUGAGUCAUAACCCACAAAUCUCCACAAUAAAGAUGAAGCCUUGAUUAAGUAUGGAUAAUACCAGCUAAGUUCAGGCAAUGAUCGAACUUAGCCGAUGGAAGUGGCUUGGUCAACAUGUUUGCAGGAUUUUCGGCCGUAUGAAUUUUUUCAACAAUUAUAUCUCCCGUAUCAAUAAUGUCUUGGAUAAAAUGGUGCUUAAUUUCAAUGUGCUUGGUCCUUGAGUGAUACUUACUGUUCCUGGUCAAGUGGACAACACUCUAACUAUCACAAAAUAUAAUGGCAGAACCUAAGUCCUUCAUAUCAAAUUCACUAUUAAGCUGGGCCUUUAACUUGAUAACUAAAGAUUUAUCUCUUGCGGCAAUCAACAUGUCAUCAACAUAUAACAACAAGUAUAUAAAUGACCCAUCACAUGUCUUUUGAAAAUAGACACAAUUAUCAUAGCUACUUCUAGAGUAGCCAUGUCCAACCAUGAAAGAAUCAAACCUCUUAUACCAUUGUCUUGGUGAUUGCUUCAAGCCGUAGAGAUUUCUUCAAACGACAUACAUGGUCCUCCUUUCCAGGAACAACGAACCCCUCAGGCUGCUGGAUGUAAAUCUCUUCCUCAAGAUUACCAUGAAUUUUAUUUUAUUUUAUUUUUUUUAUCGGCAUUUUUAUUCAAGAUUACCAUGAAUAAAAACAGUUUUCACAUCUAAUUGUUCCAGCUCCAAAUCAUACAAGGCAACUAAAACAAGUAAUAUACGUAUUGAAGUAUGACGAACAACCGGAGAAAAUACUUCAUUAAAGACAAUACCUUUCUCUUGAUCAAAAACCUCUUACAACAAAUCUUGUUUUAUUCCUUGUACUCUCAAAGGGAUCCCUUCUUUUCUCUUGAAGAUCCACUUUCUGUUGGAGGCAGUGAAGCUUACUUGGUGAAGUGAAUUCUGCGUUUUUUCUCAUGGUUUCCUGUUCGUGUUUUUUUUUUUUUACGUUUCUUCUUGUAUAUCUAUUGAGUUUUGGGCCUUUCAGUUCUGUAUCUUGGGCUAAAGCCCAACCUAUUGUAUUGUGUAAUUUAUAUAUAACGUGCACCAUACAAUGUAAUAACACAUAUAGCAGUUUUAUUUUUAAGAAACAAUAUCAUCUUUGAAGGAUUAAGGCACUGCCCUUCAACACAACCACAACAUGGAGGAUUUUAGAAAAUAAAAUUGUUACAAAGGCCAAUUUGAAAAAAGAUGUAGGAUAAUUAUGAUGAGUAAUAUUUUCAGUAUAUGUGGGGAAGAAGAUGAGACAACAUGUAAUAUAUUUUUUAAGUGUAGAGUGGUUUGCCUAGUACGGGGUGGUAUGUUUUAAUACGUGUUGUGAAAUAAAAUGGGCAAUGGUUUAUUGGAUUAUGCAGGAAACAAGAAUUGGCAAUAUUUUAAAAUUAGACAUAAAAAAAUAUAAUCAUUGUAAAUAACGAGAAAUGAAAUCAAACUUUGUUUAAUUUAGUCUUUAAGGGAUGAGGCUACGGUGCUUCUUAUGUUGAAAAAUACGAGAAUUUCUGAAUGCAAUAUUAUAUGCUAAAAAGGCAAAAGAAUGGACAAAAGUAAAAACUACAAAGCAAAUACAAUAAACAGUUCAAGUAAAGCCAAGGAAGCAAGAACUGAGAAACAGGUAAAAUGAGUAUGAAUCUCAUAACUACGAGCUAUACUCAAUGAAAAACAAGGAAAGGAUCAGAAAAGAUAAAUUGCAAUGAAGGACACAAGGAUUAAACAGCAGCUGUCUUUAUAUCAUAAUGCAAUGUCUUAUUUUAAGAGGAUUCCUAUUGAAAUAUUAUAUGCUAAAAGGGAAAAUAAUUGACAAAAGUAAAAUCCAGAAAAAAAAAAAUACAAUAAACAGCUCAAGCAAAGCCAAGGAAGCACCACUGAGGACUGAGAAACAGGGUAAAAUAAACAUGAUUCAAAAAAGAACAUAAAUGACAUACCAGAAAAGUCACAUUACAAUUUUCUUUAUGAAUCUAAUGACGGAAUUUUUCCUUGGCUCACCAUAUAUCAGAUAGACAGCUGUGUUCUUAAUCACCAAAUCGUGACCAAAAUUCACAAAAAUCUCCACCUUGUCACCUGAUCCUAAACUUGACAAUAUGUCAUGCCAAUCUUCAUCAUUAAAGGAAAUUACUGUGCCAUGAUUGUGUAUUUGGCAUGUGCACUUCGUGUAAUUAACAAUUAAGACAGUACUAAGUUCAGGUUCAAUGAUUUCGGAGGUUGAUAAAUAAACAACACACAAAGCCAUUCCCUUCACGACACGAUGUUGUGGCACAGUGAAAGAAACAGAAUGUCCAUCACCCAUAUGGGCCAACCAAUAAGGAUCAUUGUCACCUGGGAGAGAAACAUCACAUGACUCACUGCUUCCAAAUACCUGUAUCAUGUCAUAAACAAGGGCAUGUUUAGUUACAUGAUUGAAACAAAUUUGGUUAAUAGUUUUGUUUUGUAUAUAUCACCAUCAUUUUGCAUUUCUAUUUUUGUCUCUCUUAGUUUAUAUUUAUACGAUCAUUGGGAAUAAAAAAACCAUGAAGUAAACAAGUAACUGGAAAACAAUUUGCAUGUACUUAGGCUAAGCAUAAUCACUUGGUUAUUUGACUAUUCAACUAAAAUACUUUUAGAUGAAGUCGUGGGGCUAUAGAAGCGAAGGGUGCUAAAAGUUCAGUAGUGUAGUUUCUACUAAUACUUCAUUAGGAUUAUUUUAUGUUCUCAGAAAUAAUAGCUAAAAUGAUGGUGAAGGUAAUAAACAAAGGGAAAGCUAGAGAAGAACCUUGGGUAUGCUAUCGCUCACAGUAUUGAAGAAUUCUUUGUAUCUUCCAACACCAGUGAGAGAAGACCUGAAAUUAUUCUUUGAAAUUCCUGAUUCUGUAAUAUUUGCAUCAUAUUCGAGCAAUAUAGUUUUUACUUGCUCAUAUAGUUCAAACUUGGCGUCACAUUGCACCAAAACACUUCGAAGAUUUGCAAGGCUGCUAAGCAAUGGUGAAAUAUCAUCCCAACUAUUAUCCUCCAUAUCCAUGAAGGAAUGAAUAUAAGAUAAGGGAUUCAUUGUUCGCGACAUCAGAGACCGAAUCACAGAAGGAAAAAGAUUAUGUGAUAAUCCCUCAAAUCCAGGUAGAAAUAAAUAUGCAAAGCUUUUUGAGCUUACAAUUGAAAAAGGCACUUGUUUCACAUCUGUAUUUUCAGAAAUUAGAGUUAUCAAGGAUUCCAUUUGCACUAUAUCUUUUUCCAAUAGGUCAAUUUUGGAACAACCAGAUAUAAUGAGAGUUUUCAAAGAUUUCAACAUACAUAUCUCUCUGGGAAGAGUGCUUAGACUUGUACAGUCCUUCAAAUUUAGCAAUAUAAGAUUGCAGAGACAUCCAAUAGAUUGGUGUUCUUGGCGCAAUCUAGGACAAUCUUUGAGAACGAGUUCUUCAAGACUUGGUAGUCUCGAAAAGUCAGGGGUUUUUGUCAAGUACUUCGAGUGACUAAGAUUCAGGACUUUUAGACACGCCAAAACCUUCAAGAAGAUAAUUUUUGAUAAAAUAUUAGAGACCGUAAAUGAGAAAAUGAAAUAGUUAUAAGUGGAAACAAAUAAUUAUUUUAAAAGAUAAUACACGUGAUAAAAACCUGGGGUUCUUUCCAAACGAAUCGAAGAAGACUGUGUUUUAAGUCAAUCACUAUUGCAUCAUGCAGAUAAAAGUCGUUAGGUAGGUAUUCUGAAGAAAACCCUCUCAAACUGAUCCAUCUCAGUUUCUUAAAAUGGUACCUCAGAAUCUCCAGCGAGUUUCAGCAGUCUUGAUGGGUCUCUUACCUCUGAAGGAUAGCGUCCGAAGAAAUCUCUUCCGGUAGGCAAUCUCUGAAUGACUUUUGUGUCCUUAAUUUCAAUGUAGCACAUGAGAAAGCAACCACUUCCAAAAGAAGUUUCAAAACCAUACAUAAAGGAUGAUCUUACCGUAUUCUCUGACCAUGAAUAUCUGUCAUCCUUAUCAAACCACCACAGUUGACUGUUCUUCCCAGGUUUCUUUGUUGAAAUUUGACGAAUAAUUUCUCUUCCCAUUUCUAGUAGCAACGGAUGCAUUCCUAAUUUGCUGUUUUCUUUAACUUUUAUAAGGUUACUCUUUAUGAGAACUCUUAUUCCACUAUCAGGGUCUACUCCACAGCCAUUUAGGAUCUUCGUAACAUUGGCUCUGCUUUUACCAACAAAGAAACAACAUACAUGAAGGAAUAAAUCCUUUUCUAUUUGAUUAGCUAAACCGUCGAAGCUUAUUUUCAAUAUCUGAUCAAAUUUAAGCUUGGGAAUUUUCUUUAAUUUUAAGAGUACUCUAUUCCAUUCUUCUUUGGUCCUUUCAUAUAAAUAACUUCCAAUCACUUCAAAAGAUAGAGGUAGUCCUCCACAAUAAGCAACUACUUCUUGUGCACGGAAAUUAUAUUCUAGUUUUGGUUUUUCUUCUCUAAAUGCGUGCCAACUAAGAAGCUCAAGGGACUCGUUUCUGUUCAUUGGAAUCAUCCGAAAAACAGAAUCAACUUGAAGCAUACUCGGUAGGUCUUCAUCUCUCGCUGUAAUGAUUAUUACAGUUCCUUCGCCGAAUCGUGAACUACUUCCCCAGAGGUCUAAUUGGCCAUACUUAUUCAAAUCGUCAAGUACAAGAAGCACCCUUUUCCCAUAAAGUCUUUCCCGAAUCAUAGUUCUUCCCAUCUCAACGUCACUUAUCUCCACCUUUGUUUUUAGUACAUCUGAAAGAAGUUGUUCUUGUAAAUGAACAUACCCUCUUGUUUGACUAACUUGUGCAAUAUCUUCAAUGAAACUUUUCUCCGUGAAUGUAUGAUGAAUUUGAUUGUAGAUGGCUUUGGCAAGAGUGGUUCUACCCGAUCCUCCCAUUCCACAUAUCGCUAUAGUAAAAACUUGGGUGGAUUUACUUUUUAUGGUUAGAAUCACAUCUUCCACACGGGAUUGUAAUCCAACUGGAAAUUUUGUAGCAGACAAGAUUGGUAAAUGAAGAACGAUCUUAACAAUUUUGUCCACUAGUUCAGCAUCACUCCUUCAAGUUCAAUAGCAAUCAAAGAAGAAGUCAUGUAGUACCACCAUAAAAUCAGAAGCUUAAAAUACGGUUGAUUGAGUCAGUGUUUUACCUGUGAUUUCUCUCAUCCCAUCCAAAGAAAUUUGCAGCUUUGGUGAGUGCGUGGCUCCACCUGGACAUGCCAUGCUCCAGUUGUUGUCCUGAGAAUGUUUGUUGUGCAGUUGCUUUGAAGGCUUUUCCAAAAUCACCCUUUUGAAGACGUACAUGAGAUGGGUGAAUUUCGUAAUAAACGGGCAGAACAUGUCGGCUAUAAGUUUGGUGCCAUUUGAUGAUUUGUUGAAGCUGAUUAAGACACCAAGCAGAUUGAGAAUAGGAUUUGGUAAAAACAACAAUUGCUACCCGACAGAGAUUGAGAAUAGGUUGUUGGAUGUGCGUUGGGUUCACUGCAUUGGGGUGGUGAAGGAAAGUGGUGAAGCCAACAGCAGAGAGUGCAGAAUCGAGAUGAGAAACAAAUCUCCUUUGGAUGUCUUCUCCAUUAAAGUUGAUAAGCACAUCGUACAUCCGUGGCAGAUUUGAUGAUGAAGAUGACGAUUCCAUGGAAGAAGAUUAAUCUUUGCAGCACUAACCUGGUUUUUUUAAUAUAAUUAUCUUUUCUCCCACUCUUUUUGGUUCUUAAAACAAAAGUUAAAUGUUUUAUGGUAUUUCAACUUUGUUUUCAUCAGCACUUUUUGUUUUAUUUUAGCUUAUAAUUUUUUAUGUAAAUUUUGAUACACAAUAUUUAUAUAGGUGCCGACCAAAAAAAAAUUAUAUAGGUUAUUUUAUCAUAAAAUUUGCUUUUAGACUCAAAUGAGAUAAUAAGUUCACAAACAACUGUAAUUUUAACAUCUUUUAACAUUAUUACUUUACAUUUGAAGAGUUGACUUCAAUUCCUUUGAUGGAGUUCUCUUCUUCGUCGUCAUCAUCUUCAUCCUUCUUAAAAUCAGAAUCCAGUUCAUAUACGAUGUGUUCAUUAACUCUUGGGGAAAAGAAAUCGGUAGAAAGUUGGUUUCUCAUCUCCAUUCUCUCCUUUUACAAGCUCAAGUCAAAACUUUGAUUAAGGAGGAGAAUCUGCAGGAGGGAAUGGAGCUGGAAGAACACAUGCAAGCAAUAGCAGCCUCUAAGAUUGCAAUAAUCGUUUUCUCCAAGUCAUACACUGAAUUUUUACCUGCUGUCUUCUUCAGCUUGAAAAAAUCAUUGAAUGCCACGAAACUUUUGGCCAAAUAGUUCUGCCCAUAUUUUACGAGAUUGACCCAUUAGACGUACGCGAUCAGAAGGAUGAUUUGGGAAAAGCGUUGGAAGAAGCUGCACACAAAAGCUAUUCAGGAGAGCAACUGGAACAUGCAUUGUCUAGGUGGAGGUGUGCACUCACCACUUCUGCAGGUAUUAGUGGUUGGGAUGUCAAAGAUUUCAGGUAAACAAAUGAAUUCUUCGUACUUUGUUUGAGACUGAAUGAAGCAUAUGUUAAGGUUGUGAUUUACUUUAAUGAACUAGCAAGAAACACAGUUGCUUAUUGUGGAGGACUACCACUAGCUCUUAAGGUCCUUGGUUCCUUUUUAUGUGAUAAGACAAUGAAAGAGUGGGAAAGUGUAUCGUCAAAACUAAAAAUAAUUCCCAUGGAUCAAGUUCAAAACAUAUUGAAAAUAAGUUUCGACGGUUUACGUAAUCACAUGGAAAAGGAUGUAUUUCUUGAUAUAUGUUUUUC